AAAAAGAGAGAAGCCACUUUAUACAAAUCGGAGAAUAAGAUUUUUCUCUCUAUUGUUGAGAGAAAAAUUUUCUCGUGCUAGUUGCUUUGGUAGUGAUAAAGGCGCCCACACGUCAAGUGCAGAUCAAACCUGAGUCAUAACCUGGAAGAUCAUUGGUGACAGUUCGUGAUCUAACAAGCGUGGUGGUGACGGAUCGUGAUCUAACAGGAGUGGUGGUGGCGGAUCGUGAUCUAGGAGCCUAAAUCACUUCAGCGGAAAAAGCCAACUCGGAUUUUCAAGGUACGAUUUCUAAAAUACAAAUUCUUAUAUAUUAUAUGAGAGCGAUCUUCAACAGGUUUUAUAAAAAUUUAAAAACCUGAUUUUUCCCCAACAACAACAUCUCCCGUCAUCCCAUUCCCACCAUUCGAUUGUCUACUGUUUAGUUUCUCACUCCACAUCCAACGGCUGAUGCUGCAGUCUGUAGCUUACAAAUUCUGUAAGCUAGUCAAGUCUAAUUGUUGAGUGCCCUGUGCCCAUGCUGUGAAAGUGAAAUUGACUAGUCACCUAGUCCUAUCAACUUUAUUAUUUUUUUUUUGAAAGACAUAUCAACUUUAUUGUUAAUUCAAUUAAUUCAUAAUUUUUUUUAUUCAAUUAAUUCAGAUUUUUUUUUGUCCGUUGGGUGAGUAAUGAAAAUAUGAAAUUAAUUUAAAAUUUUUUUGUCAUUAAAAAUCAUAAAACAUUAAUUGAUAAUCAGAGCCCGACUGCUUAUACGGUAAAAUUGAGUAGUCAUAUCAAUUUUACUGUUAAUUCCAAAAAAAAUUUGUCCGUUGGGUGAGUAAUUCAAUUAAUUCAGAAUUUUUUUUAUCCGUUGAGUGAGUAAUAAAAUUAAUUUAGAAUUUUUUUAUUAUUUAAUAAUUAGAAAAAAGUAAUUUCUAGGUGCACCGUUUUUAUUUAUUUUUUAAAAUAAUUUUAGUCAUUCAUUUUUUUUUUCAAAACAACUUAUUAAAUUAAAAAAAUUAUGGUUCAUUGUUACAAGAGAAUCACGUAACUAUCACAAUGUUAAUAAAUCCUAUCACAAGUGUGUUGAUGAGAUAAUAUUAUAGUAGUAUUUUAUUUCUUUGAAUUUAAAUUCUCAACUCAAAUUUUCAACACGGUAGUUGACUUGUCAUAUAGUGCACAUGAAAACGUGCAGAUUGCAGAUUUUUAAAUAAUUUAAGAUUUUUUUUCCACAUGCCAACCAAGCACUUGCCGCACGGCUAUAUUUAUAUUUCACUAAAUAUUUUUUUACUUACUCUUUUUACUCCCACCGACAAAGUAAAUAAAAUCAAUUUUUGUCUUUUUAUUACUAUCUAAUAUUAUAUAUACACGCCAUUAUGCUAUGAUGCUUCACAAUUCUUAUUCUUCUUUUUUUUCCUCAAACUUUCCAAUAUUCUAAAAGCCAAAAUCAUUAUGAAUCCGCAGCAACAUAAUAUGAAUGCAGAAAAACCUCAACACCCUCAAGAAUACGGUGUUGAUGUAGUUGGACCUCAACAAAAUGCUAGGCCAAAUUAGCCCAGAAGUCGUUUUUUCAAUGAGCUUUUUCAAAAUUUUACUACAAUAAGGGAGGAAAUAAUAGAUAAUAGUUUACAUCGUCCUUAGAAGCGGAUGAUCUUGAGGUGCAACUAUUGUCAUCGAGAAGUUAUUUAUUCAAACAGCCAUGGCACCUUGGGUUUACGUCGGCACGUGCCAAAUUGUUUAGCUCGCCACCAGCCAAGAUAGAAUUAACCUUGCUCGUUUCCCGUAUCCAUAGUUGUGAUUAAUGAAUGUUUUUUUCGUGCUUGUUAUUCGUCAAUUGAUCGUAGUUCGUGUUUUGUAGUUGUAACUUGUAAGUUGUGACCUAUGAUUUGUUAUAUUAAUAUUUCGUAGUUAUGACUUAUUGUAAUGAUUAUUCGAGGAUUGUAUUUUUAAUUUUAAUUAAUUAUUAUUAUGAUCUAUGGAAUUAAAUUUAAUUAAAUUUAUGUAUUGUUGUGUUAUGAAUUAUGAUUGAUUAUUGUGAAAUAAAAUAUAUAGUUGUGAAAUUGUGAUAAACUAAUAAUAAAAUCUUAAUUGCUCUCUUAAUAAAAAUUAAUAUGAUUAUGAUUGUGAAUAUUAUUUUUAUUAUUAUUAUUAUUAUGAUGUUGGUGGGCUUAAAAAAGCACGUCAGGCACGUGGGCUUGAAUAAAGCACGCUAGGCACGUGGACUUUUUUAAGCACGCUAAAAAAAAAGUUGGUGGGUUUUUUUUGGGCACGGCACGAGCGGGCUCGUGUCGUGGGCCGUGCUGGGCUGAACUGAUAAAAAGGUAGGCACGGCACGGCCCACGACACGAGCCCGCACGGCACGGCCCAUUGGCCAUAGUUAUCCGUGAGUUCUAUGGAGGAGGAUCGGGCGGACAUAUUGGUUGAGAUAAAACCAAGACGCUUGUGAACGAGCAAUAUUAUUGGCCACAAUUGAAUAAGGAUGUUGAAAGAUCGUGCAAAGGUGUCGAAUUUGCUAAGAUGGCAAGGGACAUGUACAGAACACGGGAUUAUACAUGCCAUUGCUUAUUAUGAAAGAUAUUUGGUUGGAUUUGACCAUGGAUUUUAUAUUGGGGUUAAUGUGUUCAAGGACUAGUCGAGAUUCUAUAUUGGUUGUGAUCGAUAGGUUUAAGAAGAUAGAGCAUUUUUUUGCUUGUAAGAGGACCGAAGAUGAUGCUUUAGUUACCCAUUUAUUCUUUCAGGAGGUAGUGUAUUUGCAUGGUGUUCAAAAGACUAUAAUUUCUAACAAGGAGGUGAAAUCCAUUAUCAAGUUUUGGCGUCAUCUCUGGGAUAAUUUCGGCAUACAGUUGCAAUUUAGCAGUGCUUUUCAUCCGCAGAUAAACAGUUAAACAAAGGUGAUCAAUUACACUUUGGGCAAUACAUUGCACUGUGCUUAUGGUGACAAGCAAUGGAACUGGAAAGUUGCCUUGCCUCAAGUCAAGUUUCUUUACAACAGUAAGGUGAAUCGAUCUAUUGGCAAGAUCCCUUUUGAGAUUGUCUACUCUUGUUUCCUAUGCCAUGUUUGUGAUCUGGCUGUUAUGCCACCAGUAACUGGAGAAAAAAGCAAAGCAACGGAUAAUGAGUUAGAGAAGGCUCUGCAGAUUCAUGUCAAAGUACAAGCUCAGUUGGAGCUUGCCAUUACUAAAUACAAGGCUGAUGCAGACAAGCAUCGACGCAAGAAGGUAUUUUAGAAAGGUGAUUUAGUGAUGGCUCAUCUGCGGCGAAGUCAUUUUCUUGGUAUUCAUGCAAAGUUGGAGAAGUGGAAGUAUGAUCCAUUUCGUGUGGCACGGAAGAUUAAUCACAAUGCUUAUGUUCUUCAGCUAUAGACAACUGGAAUAUCUCUUACACAUUUAAUGUGGCUGACCUAUUUGAAUAUUAUCCAAAUAAUGAGGCUUGUACGGGCCAAAUUUAAGGACGAGCUCUUUUUCAAAUUGUGGGGACCUAAUAUAGCAUAGUUAUGUAAGAAGAGUAGGGUACCUUCCGAAAAGCAUAACUUGAACUACAAAUGUUCAUUUUAAGCAUAUAAUGUACUCUUUCGAAACUUGUGGUCGAGAUGAAUGCUUGUAUUGUUCUACCAUGUGGUCAAGUCAAAUAUUUUGAUUCUUUCCUAAUCAUUUUUUAGUUUUUCGAUUUUUCCUAUUUCUUAAGGAUUUUUAUCCUUUUUUUUUCUAAAUAUCAUACUUUGUGCAGUUUGUUUCAAAUUUUUUAUUUAGAUUAAGAGAAUUUUAUUAUGAAAUAAUAUUUUAAAUUUGCCUGCUAUAGUAAAUUCACGAUAUUUACAGUUAUUAUAUAAAGGGGCCCAAAACCUUAGCUUUGUUAAUUCAAAUAAAACUUCAUUAUUUAAAAACUUUUGUUUGUCUAUCUUUCAACCUCUGCAUCGUUAAAGACCACAGGAAGUGGCCAAGUAUUUAAAAAGAGAGAUAGAGGUUAAAAAUUAAUUUGGAAUUUAAAAAAAAGUGAGAUAUUUAUCUAUUAGGUUUGGUAAGCACUCACCCCAACUCUAUAUUAGUAAUAUAAGUACAACAUGCAUGAAUGAUUAAAUUCAAGCUUAUUUGUUGUUUGAAAUUUGGUUAAGUAAUCAUCAUUAUUAUUGAUUAAUUAUACAAGAUCCAUCAUUGUUUAUAGAACUAAACUAGUCGUUGCUUCAUUCCUUGCCAACAAUGAUACAAAUUCCACACAAAAUUAUCCAAAACUAAUAGGACAAUUCACAUUAUAUCAACCCGCUCCAAGCAUAUUGCGACUGAUCUUUUAUCAACAACAGAUUUUCAUAUAUAAUUUAUUAUUGUAUAUGGGUGGUAAAAUUUGGACCAUAUAAUUAGAGUGUGACAUGUGUACAAUAGUCUUUAGGUUUGAUAUACCCUUCCAAAGUGUGAAGAGGAAAUUGAAAGGGUAAGGCAAAAUAAGAAAUUAAAAAAAAAAGAGCACGAGCCACCCUAAACCUAGAAAAGUACAGAAAAUGUUUCCGAAGUAACUUAAGUUUGCCACAUGUGAAUAAAGGACUACUGUGACAGUGAUAGCUUCUUCACCAAAAUCGCUACACGUGAGCAUGAUAUGGUCUGCACUGGUACCAUCAUAAAAUAUCUAUUUAAAAGUCAUAUGCACCAAAAGUGAGAAAGGGAACCGACUCAGCUAUUAUCUUGGCCAACCUUAAUAAAAUCAAUAGCUUUUUCAACCCAAUUGGCUCAUUUGAAAUAGCCAAUCAAAUAUUAGGAUAUGUUGUCACUGGGACAGUUCACUGUUGACACGUGUCGAGUGCUAAAGAUGCUAAAGGGCUCAAGUUAAAUAGUCAAAUUACUCAACAACCCCUACCUAAGAAGGGGAACAGGUUAUUACAACUUACCUUAUGUCCAACAAGAUGCUAAUAUGUCCUUAUGUGCGCCCCCUAUAAAAGGUUAAGUUACUCUCAACAAGUCAAGUUAAGUUCCUUUCCCUGAACUCUCAAAUUUUCACUUAUUUUAGGGUUUUUUUUAUACUCAUCCUCUUGCCAACACUUACUUGAUUAGACUGUUAAAGUAAUGUUGCCUGCCAUCACUGGCGUCACCUCUCACAGUCAUUUUCUCUUACUUUCAGAGCUGUCUCAUUAUUAUUCAUCCUAGAAAACUAUUCUCAGGUGAAUCAAUCUUUUUUUUUAAAUGAAAGUAUUACUUUCAAUCAUUCAACUCUGUGAAUAGAUACAAAAGAUGGGUUGGAAUAUUAUCCUCCCAAAUUACACAAUCAGUGUAGUUUAAAGCUAGCUUAGCAAGUGUGUGAGCAAAACCAUUACAAGUUCUUGGUGAGUGCUGUAACUUGACAUGCUUUAGCCUUUUCAUCGUCUCUUGAACCUCAGAAACAAUCCAAAAAAUCUCAGCUUUUGUGCUUUUUCUAGCUGAAACUAAAUCUAAUACUUCUUUUGAAUCUGUCUCAAUAAUCAAGGGUAGACACCCUGCAAUUUCAGCUACUUCCAGCCCGAAUCUUGUUGCUUCGGCUUCUGCAUAAUCCAUUCUAUCAAGCCAUUUUGAUGGCUUUAUGGCUGCUGUGAUGAGUUUGCCCUCUGAGUUUCUAAUUACGAUGCCCAACCCCACUCUCUGAUUAUCUAUCUUUACAGCUGCAUCAACAUUUACCUUGAACCAACCUGUAGGAGGGCAAUUCCAAUGCUCUUGGGAUGCCAAAUUUUGAUAUGAAAUUGCUUGCAAUUGUGGCAUUUGGAUUCUUUUAUAGGACUGAACUAUUGCUUCAGCUCCAGCUACUGAUAGUUGGGAAUCUUCCUUUUUGUUCUUGAAAAUAAAAAGAUUUCUUGAGUGUCAUAUACUCCAACACAACGCAACUAUCAGCUCCAUUUCAGUCUUGCUUCUUCGAUCAGCCAAGGCCAGCAACAAGCUUAGGACAUCCUUACACUUCAGGGCUUUCACUUCCUCUUCAAAGGUUGUGAGCUUCUAAAUUUUUCGCGAGGGUUUACAGUCAAACAACGUGUGGAAAAUCGUCUCUCCAUAACUCCUGCAUCUCUGACACCAGGGGGUUUGUAAAAUCUUUCUCUUCCAUAAAUUCUCUAAUGUGGGCAGCAAAUCAUUUGUUGCCCUCCAUAUAAAAAUCUUCACUUUCUCCGGAAUUUGCAGAUACCAAAUUGAGCUCCAUGAACUUUUGCCUUCCUUUGAGCUGCUAGGCCUGUUUGGGAACUUCAUUUGUAGAGCUAGUUGAUAACCACUCUUGACUGAGUAAUUACCCUUCUUGUCAUAAUGCCACAAAACUUGGUCUAGACUUGGUUGUCUUGGCAGAGGGAUUUUUAGAAUUUGUGCAGCAUCUUCUUGAUGGAAAUGUUUUCUUAUUGCAUCAUCUCUCCAGCAGUGAUCUUCAUCAAUCAAAACUGACACAGUUGUGUCCAGGGGAAGGCUUGGAGGCGAUAUUGGUUUGAACGUGUCUGGUCUUGGUAACCAGCCACUUUGGUACACUUUCACCAGCUUUCCAUCUCUAAUUCUCCAUCUAAGGCCCUUAUGAAUAACCUCUCUUCCCCACAAUAUGCUCCUCCAUAUAUAAGAGGGGUUUGAACCAACUUGUGCUUCCAUAAAACCUGAAUGCCUAAAAUAUUUUUCCUUCAUCACCCUAGCUAAAAGCGAUUCUGGUGCUUGGAUGAUCCUCCAGCUCUGCUUUGCUACUAGUGCUUGGUUGAAACUGGACAAAUCUCAGAAGCCCAAAUCCCCUAUCUUUUUUGCUUGACACAUUCUUUCCCACUUGGACCAGUGAAUAGAUCUUUUCUCUUUUUUUUUCCCCCACCAAAAACCAGCAAUGGCCUUCUGCAUAUCCUCACAAAGCCCUAAGGGGAGCUUAAAAACGCUCAUGGCAUAGGCAGGCACUGCUUGAGCUAGUGCAUUUAUAAGAAUCUCCUUCCCUCCACUUGAGCAAAAAUUUGUUUGCCAAUUGGUGAUUUUGUUUAUAAUUCUCAGUUUGAUUUCGUUGAAAAAGCUGGUUUUUUUCCUCCCCACCAUUGAGGGUAGUCCUAGAUACUUUUCAUGUCUUGAGACCACCUGAAGUUGAAAAAUAUCCUUAAUAGUCGCUAUCUGCCCUUGCUUGGCAUUGUCACUGAAGAACAUGGAAGACUUUUCAAAAUUGAAGAUUUUCCCUGAGGCAGCAGCAUAGCAAUCAAAAAGCUGCUUUAGAUUCAAACAAUCUUCCUUAGUGGCUCUUGUGAAAACCAAGCUAUCAUCUGCAAAAAGAAUGUGAGUAAUAGACAAGUUCCUGCUGAAUUGUAAGCCAUGAAUAAGCUGAUUUGCUUCAGCUUGGUGCAGAAGAUUUGUGAAAGCACAGAUGAUGAACAAAUAUGAGAGAGGGCAUCCUUGUCUUAAGCCUCUUUUAAGCUGGAUAAGGCUUUUUGCUACCCCAUUGAUUAGCACAGAGAAGGAUGUUGUAGAUAUGCAUCUCAUGACCAGCUCUACCCAUUUGUGAGAAAAGCCCAACAUUCCCAAAGUGCAUCUUAAAAAUUCCCACUCCACCCUAUCAUAUGCUUUGCUAAUGUCUAAUUUCAAAGCCACUAGACCAUUCUUUUUAUUCUUGCUAUGCCUAAUCUUAUGAAGACACUCAUACCCAACAAUUAUAUUAUCGGUUAUGAGCCUAUUUGGUACAAAGGCACUCUGAGUUGGUAAAAUUACAGACUCUAGGAUUAACUUCAGCCUAUUCGCUAUAGUUUUUGCAAUGAUCCUAUAGAUAACAUUACAUAGACUGAUCGGUCUAUACUCCAUCACUGUCCUAGGCUUUGCAAUUUUGAGGAUUAAGCAAAUGAAAGUAUGGUUCAGAGGAGCUAUAUUACCUCCCUCAUUGAGGAUGUGCAGGCAUGUGGCUAUCACUCCUUCGCUGACUGAUGCCCAAUGCUUCUGGAAAAAAGCCGUUGGGAGGCCAUCUGGGCCAGGGGCUUUCGUCGGAUGCAUCUGACUCAGGGCCUCUAGAAUAUCUGCUUCUGUGAAAGGCUGGUCCAAAUGGGAAUUCAUUUCUGCUGAAACUUUGCGAGGCAUGUUUCUGAGGGCUAGCUCCAGGUGCUGUUGGGAGGGAUUUGUUGAUGUGAAGAGAUUAUGGUAAUAUUCGCAAAACAUUCUCUCGAUAUCCUCUGCUUUCUCAGACCAUCUGUUAUUUUCAUCAACAAUUCCACUGAUCCAAUUUUUCCUUUUCCGAGCUGAAGCUUUGGAAUGGAAAAACUUGGUGUUUUUAUCCCCUUCUUGCAGCCAUACAGCUCUAGACCUCUGUCUCCAAUAGAUCUCUUCAUCUAUGAGCAAAUCAUCUAUUUGUCUUUCCAAGAGCUUUACUUGAUCGCCACUGCUAUGAUGAUUGUUGUUGUCCUUAUAGGUUUUCAAUUCAGCCAACAACUUCUUUAGCGUCUUCUCUCUCCCUCCAAAAGCUUGUUUACUCCAGAGUUUCAAUUCAGCCAAAGACUCAUUCGCUGCCUUUUUAAAAACAGUAACAUGGUCUGUAUCUUUCCACAUUCUCUUGUACUGCCAUUCAGUAAACACAAUUUCUUUACAUUUCUCAUAGGGACUUUACAUGUCUUCAUAGUGAGUUCUUUGGAAAACUCGUUUACUGGACUUUGUAUUUUUUCCUUUCUCUUCUACCGAAAACAAAAUUGGGUUAUGAUCAGAAGUCCAAGUCUCCAAAGUCUCAGCAGCUGGUUCCUGAAAAAGACUUCCCCAAAUCUUACAGCAAAAGAACCUAUCUAAUCUUUCCUCGACCAAGUGAGUUCAAAAUCUCCUGUUUGACCAAGUAAAAGGUCGGCCUUUGCACCCUAAAUCUAUCAACCCACAGAAUUUUACUGCUUCUCUAAACUCAUUUACAGCAAGCACACUCCUAUCUUUCUUUCCAAUCUUCUCCUUCAGGUGUAAUAUCUCAUUAAAAUCUCCAAAACAAAGCCACGGCAGGGAGGAAAGACCAGCUAACCUUCGCAUCAACGUCCAAGUAUGUUGUUUUUGAUCUGAUUCAGGGUGCCCAUAGAUUCCUGUACAUCUCCAGUAGCUACCAUUUUCAACAUGAACCACUGCAUCUAUAUAGUGUCUACUGUAAGAUUUAAUAUCCACCACAACCUCCGAAAUUCAUAACAAAGCCAGCCCACCACUCAAACCAUUUCUACUAACAGCUAAACAAUUCUCAAAUUUUAAAGCUUUACCUUUAUCUUGCAUUUGCCUAGACAGCAGCUUCAUUUCACAGAGAAACAUAAUCUGUGGCUUGUGCAACUGGAGAAUUUUUUGAGCUUCACGGAAUGCUCGGUCAUUCCCCAUCCCCCGAGCAUUCCAGGAUACAAUCCUCAUGGCUGUUGGCGAGGCUGGCACCCAGCCUCCGCCGUUAAUUCCUCUGUGUUUGUGACUGUCAUCUCCACUUAUCUUGUUUGCUGCAUUUCCAGUUCCCACUUACCCUUUGCUUCUGGCGCGCAGCUUUCGGUUUGAAACUCACCGCUUUGUCUUUUUCUUUUUGAAUCUGGGCUGCCCCCGUUAAAAUCUCCAUUAAACCUUUUAAGGCUCUUUACUCUCUCAACAUCCACUGGAGUUCGCUCAAUAGCUCUUGCUUGCAGCUUCCAUUUACGUUUUUUAAUUUUUUUCUGUGUUGCGUAAGUUCUAGCAGUUUCUCCCAGGCCUGAUUCAACAUAAGCUUCGUUUGGGCUUUUCCUAACUUGGGCUUGGCUUUCUUGAGAGUACUGAAGCUCUUUUUCUUUUUCUUUUUCAUUUUUAUUUGGCUCAUUUCCACCUCUCAAUUCCCGCUCAUUUGCAUUUUUUAUUCCUGCUACACUACCCCAGGCUUCUGUUUCAGGUUCAGAAGCAGCUGGGCACACCAGCUUUUGGCCACUUUUUUCUGACAAUUUUGAGAAAACCGCCCCAUCACCCUUUGGACUACCUACAUCUGAAUCGGGUUGAUGUCGGGUUGACCCGCCUUUACUUUCUUCUUCACUAAUUUUGUUCACCAGUUGCAGCUUCCUCACUACAUUUUCCUGAGCUUUUGGCUGGGGCUGUACAUUACGCCUUUGAUUAUCAUCAUCCAUCUUCCAUCGUUCUUUCCCUUUAUUCAGCUUUAGUUUUUCUGCAUUUGUAAGUGCUUUCAACCGUGGUCCAUAUGCCAUCUCAUCUCUAGUUUGACCUUUAUACUGGUUACACUCUCUAAAUUGAUGCCCAACACAGCCACAAACAAAGCAAAAAUCCGGCAGUUUUUCGUAUAGGACCGGCAUAAAGAUUUCUUUCUUUUUUUCAUCCCCUUUUUUGGCCUCACAACUUUCUUUUUCCAUGUCUCCAAUCUCGACUACUUUUUCAUCCUCCUCUGGUUCCAAGCUUAAAAUCUUUACUAGGGGUUUUGUUACAUCAACCGAGACUCUUAGCCUUGCAUACUUGCGUAUGCACUCUCCUUCGGCAUUGGUACCCACUUCCUCCACCUUUCCAAUUUCUUUCCCAAAUUCUCUUAUUGUUUCCUCAUUCAUACACAUAAUGGGAAUAUUAUGUAUUUGAACCCAAAAAGAUGCAUGAGAAAAGGACUGCUUUGUUACCUCUCCCAGGCUAGUUGGUUCAAUCAAAACCAUUAUAACUCUAUCGAAGUGCCAUGGACCCCUUGUUAAGAUUCUUUUCUUGUCCGCUUCCGUUGCAAACUUGAACAUGAAAAUGUUAUCUCCCAGCUCCUCGAUCCUUACUUCUCUCACUGUUCUCCACACCUGAGACAUGGCUGACCUUAACCCUUCUAAGUUUACUUCUCUAUUCUAUAGCACCUUCCCCAUUAAGCAUCCAGCAACAAUCUUUUCUCCUUUCAGCUUCAUAUGUCCUCUGAAGGUCACUUUUUCCCUUGUUUCUCCAUUCAAGGAGAUUCCUUUACAUCUUCGGAUCAACUCUUCUGUAUCCAUCUUUUGGCUUCAGCAGCUAGGAGAAGAAAAGGCCUCUCACCCAGGCUAAAGAAAACUCCUAUGUCGUGGCUGACUGAAAACUUUGCUAUUUUCAUAGACUUUUGGAGAAAAACCAAAAAGCAGAAAAAACAGUUCCCCGAGAUUGACUUGGGAAAAAGACAGCAAAAGUACAGAUAAAGAUAAUAAAACAAGAAAUUUGAAGAUAAGAACCCAACUUCAUGCGGGUAACAACAAGAGCCACGAGGGCUCACGUUUUAACUCCCAUUCUGUUCUUCAGAGAAGAAAGAGGGAGAGGGAUAUGGAUCUUGUUUGUGGGGAUUCUAUGAUAUGCAUUUCAUAGGUGAAUCAAUCUCUAUUAUUCACAAAGUCACCUCACAAAAACAAGCUCAAUAAUAUUUUUUAGCUGAACAAAAAUCAGACGGAAACACUAUAUUAUAGGUUUGAGUAACUUUUAGAUAUCUCAAAUUUCAUCCUAAAUGAUAUGGCAUCUAGUAUGUGAUGUGUUAUUAUUAUUUUUUUUUUUUGUUAACAUUUUUGAAGCAAGAACAAUAUUAUUAAUCAUAUUUAAAGGAGUUUAUAACUUAGGGGGUAUAAAGAAUCUAACCAAAACGAUAAAAAAAAAAAAAAAGUAGAAAAAACAAACAGAACAAAAGAUCAAUGCGCAGCAACAACAAAUGCAAAAUCUGACAAAAACGUCGCUUAAUAAAACCAGUAGGAUUGAAGGCCAUGAGCAUCUCUAUAAAGAAAAGAUAAAAUCUCAACAGGAGCAGCAUCCCUCGAGAUAAAAUCAUCCACUUUAGAACCCACGCUAACCAUCAUUUUUGCAGCACCAUUACUUUCUCGAAACAUGUGAUAUAUCAUUUAUUGAAUAAUCAAUAAUUUUAUAUAAAAUCUAAGUAAAUUAAUUUUAUUAUUAUCUUAUUUAAUAAAUGAAUGUCAUAUUAUUUUACAUACAUUUAAAAUGUGUAGCAUUAUUUAAUAGAUUUUGUGUUAUAGAUUGAAAAGAUUUAUGUUUCAUAUUGCAAAAAUCUCAUCUCACCUGUGCGCGGCGCGUGCGGGCAUGUGCAUGUGAGUUGUGGGACAUCAAAGUUAAAAGGCAAAAGAUUGAAAGAAACAGUAUCACUUAUCAGGCCAAAAACGAGCGUGAAGAGCCGUUGGGUGUUUGCCAAUUCAAUGUCCCACACAGCACGGCAAAUCAAUGAGUAUUACUCACACUCUCCUUUUCUUGAACAAGCCACGCACAGCUACGGCCAGAAAGUUGCAUUAUUCUAGCAUUUCUUUCUGACUAAAUAUAUUCCUACCACACAUAUACCAACCAUGUGUCUAAAUUAACCCCACAUCAUAAUAUAUAUUCCUACCACACAUAUACUAUACAGGCAUUUGUAUGGUACAGCCCAAAAAUCCAUUUCCACUAAUAUGUUCGGAGAAAUCUAUCCUCAUUCAAAGGAAUUAAAUCUUAUGAAACUUGAAUUCAUGCGCUCAACCUAUGUUAGGGCGUAAGUACCAUUGGGCUAUAAGCCUAAGUAGCAAUUUUAUUCUUAUUGAUUCAUCAUGGUUCAACGGUCCAAUUGAUACAAUAAUAUAGAUGGAUAAAGGGAACAUAAUCAAUCACUAUAAUUUUGGUCAUGAUACUUGUCAUAUUUAAGCAUAAUAAAUUCAUAAUGGCAAAUUCUUAUCAAAAUACAAGAUAUAAUCGUCUUGAAUUUGGCUCGUAAUGGUCGAUUUGGUGAAAAGAAAAAAAGGGUAAUAAUGUGAUGCUAAAAUCUUCACCUCAAUCUGGGAAAAAUAGUAUUUCAAAUCUAUUACUACUGUGGAAGCGAAGAUAUUAAAAAAAAAAAGCAUAAUGAGAAAGUUAAAAUUUCACUUUUAUCUAUUUAUUACGCAACAAAAAUAUAAUUUAAAUCAGAAUAUGAAUAAAAAAAAAAUGAACAUAGCCAAUCACCAUAAUUUGAGAAUUUCUUACAUAUAUUUAUCUACUAUAAUGGACAUGUCAUAAUGAAAAUGAUUCUUGUCAUAUAUAUACAUAUUAUAAUGGUCUUUGUUUUGUCUAUAUCUAUACAUCUUGAUUGAUAAAACGAUUAUAAUGUGUGAUCAUUAUUAUAAGGAAAGUUUUAUAUGGUUAGCUACUAAAAAGGUAGUUCAUGAGUUGAGAGUUAUCAUAAUUAACUAUAUAGUUAAUCCAAAAAUUAUUUUCGGUAAAUAUAAUUAUUUUCUUAACAUCAUGUGCAAAUUAGUUUUUUUGUUUGAUCUUGUCAAGCGAGAAGAUUAUAUGGACAUCAUGCAUGCUUCAAUAUCAUAUAGAAACCUAUCUAAUUCAUCCUCAAAAGUGAACUAGUAAGUUUAUGGUUAAAGUUAAAGCUCCUCUUAAGUGCAGAUGCUACACUUUAUAAAUUAUAGUCAUUUAUCGAGUUAUAAAGGAGUUGUAUAGAAGUGUGUAAGUUUUUUACAACAAUGUAAAGGAUUAAGUCCGACCUUAAGAAUGAUUAUCUAAGAUUAUGUACUUUGUCCAAGAAUUAUUCUCUAUGAUAUUAUGUCAAAGAAAAUCAUUUAAAGAGGCAAGUACAUUAAUCACAUAUGAAAUGAAAAUGAAAAUCAUUUAAAGUACUUUUAUGGUAUCAAUCAAAUAUCAAAACAUAGAAGACAAGGACAUUAAUUACCCAUCCAAAAGCACUUUGAACUCCAAUAUACAGUCUAAACAAAUGAGACCGAUGUGAUUUGCAGUACACAAAUAUGCUUUAAUCAAUGGACACCCCUAAUUCCCAUGCCGCUGAUUGAUUUAACGCAAGUUAUUACCAAAUUCUGCAAAAACAUAAACACUUUUAACUGAACAAACAUUACCAUUUUCUUUAUCGCUUAUUUCAAGUGAAUAUUUCUCCAUCAAACAGUCUUAAUAAAACAAUACAGAAAUAUAGGACACCUGUUUUUCAAUAAUACAAUAAAUGUAAACCCAGAGAAAAUAACAUGGCCACAACAAAUGAAUUAAAGUAGAAAUUUUUUGAGAUAAAGUAGCUCCAUUUGCACGCUACAACAACUGUUCAAUCCCAGUGGAAAAUGACUGCAUUGAUUCCACCAUCAACAUCAUUUAAACGCGUGAAGAAUUAUUUGCUUGAAAAUUCAAAUUGAGAAAUUUACACUUUGUCCUUAAGAUGAUUAUUCUCUAUUCUGUCUGAAUAGAUCAAGAGAAUCGCGGCAAAGCUAAGUUUUGAAUGUUUGCUUUCGCUGACUGUUCCCCAGAUAGUGACUUGAUUUAUAAUAUCAAAAUGGCGACAAUUAAUGUAGUUACUACUAUUCUUUUUUUUUUUUAACAAAACAAUUAAUGUAGUUUGGACAAUAGAGUUCAAGAAGUUUUGUGCGACAGCAUAUGUCUGAUCAAAACUCUCAUGCUUACCCCAUGAUCAUGAAUUUAGAUUCACAGCUAAAUUUUGUAUUACUAAUCUUUUUCACGCAUGCAUUUAUAAUCCGUGUAUGAUUAAGAACAAAUGCGCAUUAUUUAUGAACAAGUAGCUACCAAUCACAAUAAAUUAAAAAAUUCAUUUCAAUAUUAAAUUCAAAUCGUCUGAUCACAUCUUUUAUGAAACUGAUUUUUUCAUUUUAAUAUUUAAUGAAAUAGCUUAUGGCUCCAUUUGGAUUGGAGUUUUUUUUUUUUGAAGUCUGUUAUACAGAGAUAUUACUGACAUUAUAUCAGACAUUACAAUUAAUAUUUACAAUCAUACUAUAUAACUGGGACCACCAUCAUACAUUGACACACUGAAGUAUAUGCCCAGAUAUUUUAAACCCUCUCUAAUAUUCGAGGGGUGCCUGCUCCACUCAUAUUUCGUAAGGGAGAGACUGUCUCCACUCAAUUAAUUGAUAAUUGAGGAAGAACUGAAACUAACCUCCAUAAUGCUCUUAUGGAGGUUCGAACCCUUUCACUCAACAUUGUAAGUGUAAAGCUUCUCCCAUUGGACCAAAGGCCAUUUGGAUUGGAGUUGAAAUGUCAUAAUAACUUAUUUCAUAAUUUUUAACAAAAAUUAUAUUUGGUAAUUUUUAAAAAAAUUACUUAUUUAAAAAUUCUUCAUUUUGAAAGUGGCUUUUAAAAAUAGACAGGAAGUUUGAUAUAGAACAUUAUUUUAGGAUUUUAGAAUUUUUUAUUUUUUAUUUUUUAUUUUAAAUAGUGUCAAUUAUGAUAUGUGUUUGACUCUUUUAUUUUUAUUGUAAUUAUGAUUUAGUUUCCCUUUUUAAGUUAAGUUACAGAAGUAUAUUUCCUCUAUUACUAGUCCUUUUGGGAUUAUCUAUCAAAAUCUCAUUGAGUCGUUUGAGUUAGAAUAAGAUCUAAUUACGCUUCUAUUAAAAUAUAAGCUAAUUAAGUUGGGCCACUUGGGCUUGUAGCCCAGUGGUGGACCAUUGCCUUCAAAGUUAAGCAUGACUAUGAGGGCAAUAGUUCGAGUCCCCACGGACUCAACCUCUUCCAAUUAAACAUAAUUGUGUGGAGAUUUCUAUAAACGUCUUUCUCCCUUGCGAAAUGUUAGUGGAGUAGAGACAUCCCUCCUCCGUGAGGGGUAUUUGGGAUGGACAUGUACUUCAUAGAAUAAAAAAUGUAAUAAUAUAAGUCUUAUGUAUAUAUAUCUGAUUGUAAAUAUCAGUGUAAUAACCUGCUGUCAUAGUAGUUGUAUAUAUAUAUCUGUGUAAUGCAAUAACCUGAUGCUUAAUCAGUUUCAAAAAAAAAAAAAAAAGAGCUAAUUAAGUUGGCUUAGUUGAGUAGUAAAAUGAUAUCUAAUUUUAUUUACCCUAUCAUUCAUGUUUCCACUAACCUCCUCCGUCAGUUGAUGUCAGAGAGAUAUGUGCAAUUUGCACAACUUCCCUAGCGACCAUAUCCAUCUAUCGAAAUCCAUCAACCCAAAGCUUCAUCACUGUUUACCCAAAAAAGUAAAAAAUAAAAAACUCAAGAAUCCCCAAAUUUUGAAACCCUUGCCGCCACACCCAACUGUCACUCCUCUACAAUCUAGCAAUCGACGACACCUGCUGCUGCAACUAGCUGAAUCACCUUCUUCUAGCAUCCAAAUCCCAACAAUCAAACAGGAUUCCCACCACCAGAACCACCACACGAAAGCACCUAAACCUGUGGCUCCACCACUAAAUCCACAGCCGUUAGCCAACACCACCACCAAAUUCGCCAACCUCCAUUGUUCAAAACUCGACCAGCUCCGCAUGAACUAACUGUGCAGCUGCCGUGAAUCACCCAAAACCCGCCAGCUCUCCAGCCACUUGCAGACGAAACCAUUGCCCUUUACCAUCGGCCCCCACACAUCCAAAACCAAUCACCAAUCGUCACCAAAUGCCGGCCAUAAACUACCAUAAACCACUAUAAGCCGCCACUAUUUCAAGUCAGUUUUUCAACCAAAUUACCUCGAAUCCAGCCAAUACUCAGCCACCAUUGUGCUCCUCACCACUAUAUCUUCUAGAUCCGACCAUCACCACACCAAUUCAUGGCCACCAACUGCCAGCCACACCAAACCCGAAAGUUCAUCCUUAUUUACAGUUUUGCCAUCAACGUUUUAUUCAUAAUUGAAAUAUUCAAAGGGCAUCAUGAUUUAGAAGCUUGAUGGAAAUUACAGUCCUGAAAAUUUUCUUUCAUGAUUGGAUAAGGUUGAUUACAAAUAUAUCAUUAGAUUGCCCAUGUAUGAUCAAGUAUAAUUUAUAGUCGAUUUUAUAUUAAUAGGGAGUGCUUUAGAAUGAUGAAAUAGUAGUGCAAAGGCGUAGAUUAUUAUUUUCAAAAUUACUCCAUGGACUCGUAUGAAGCAAAUCUUGAGAUCGAGAUUUAUUCCUCUUGGAUAUUGUUUGGUAUAAUAAGGUACAAGAUCAGUUUCAUAUUCUGUUUCUAAGUUUGAGCAAUUUUAUGGAUGCAAUUACGAGAUUUUUUUAGGAGGCUUAAUUUACAAAUUCAACAAAAGAUGCCUACAUACACUAUCUACAAUUUACAACAUGCAUUUCAUUUAGCCAUGCAAUUCGAGUUGCAAAGUCAAAGAAGCUUAGUCAAGAAGCUUAGACGAUGCGAUUAAAAGAAUCGAUAAAGCUUUAAUCGAGCAAUUGCUCAACUCUAUGAAAGUGCCUAAAAAUGUACAAAUGAGCUCACCUAUUGUCAAGGAAGAAGACUCACUUGAGAUGCCUAGUUCACCUAUUAUUGUGGAAGAAGACUUAUUUGAGAUGCAAUUUAUUAUUGAUUUAAAGCUUCAGUUUGACAAUUUUUGUGAGAAUGUGCAUGAUUUUACCUUAGAGGACAAGACAAGUGUUGAGGAUGAUGAGGUUUUUGAUCUAUUUGAGUUUUCUAAAGAAGACGAACAACCUCCUCUUGAUUUGAGCAUUGAGCCUAAUAAUACAAUCUAUUGUGCAGUAAUAUCAAGUUGAAGAAGAUGAAAUAAUUGAAAUGAUUCUACCUAUUCACAUUAAAGACAAGAAGAUUGUGCUUAAAGAAGAUUUAAUUGAGAAGGUGAAAUUCAUUAGAGAGCGUAUAGAGCGACAAUCAGGGAAGGGCAAGAGUUAUUUGAUCGUUGUUCAUUCUUAAAAGUAUUCAUCACCUCAAAGAAUGUAUAAGCAAAGGAAAUUGAUGAAGUAUAGAUUCUUCAAAGUUUUGAGAAAGAUUGAUGAGAAAUACCAUAAGUUGGAAUUACAAGAUGAUUUGGUCUUACACUACAAGUUUCAUCCUCCAAACUGUAUACAAACUCGAGGACAAGUUUCUUUUGAGAUGGGGAGAAUGAUCUACUACAUUAUUUUAGGAUUCUAGAAUUUUUAUUAUUUUAGGAUUUUCUAUUUUAAUCAGAGUCAAUUAUAGUCGGUGUUUUACUCUUUUAUUUCUAUUAUAUUUAUAAUCUAGUUCCUUUUUAAGUUAAUUUAAGGAAGUAUGUUUCCUCUAUUAUAAAUAAAGAUGUCUUGUUAUUGUUUUCAUAACUUCAGCUUCAAUAAUUCAAUAAAAUCCCCCUUUUAUAAUUCCUUCUAGUAUUAUUUAUCAAAAUCUCUCUUGUAGAGUUCUUUGAAUUAGAGUAUUAUUUAAUCCCGCUUUAAGCAUUAUUAAAAAUUCUCUGAGCCUCUCAUUUUAUAUCCUUAUCUUUUCUCUUUCCUAUUNNNNNNNNNNNNNNNNNNNNNNNNNNNNNNNNNNNNNNNNNNNNNNNNNNNNNNNNNNNNNNNNNNNNNNNNNNNNNNNNNNNNNNNNNNNNNNNNNNNNNNNNNNNNNNNNNNNNNNNNNNNNNNNNNNNNNNNNNNNNNNNNNNNNNNNNNNNNNNNNNNNNNNNNNNNNNNNNNNNNNNNNNNNNNNNNNNNNNNNNNNNNNNNNNNNNNNNNNNNNNNNNNNNNNNNNNNNNNNNNNNNNNNNNNNNNNNNNNNNNNNNNNNNNNNNNNNNNNNNNNNNNNNNNNNNNNNNNNNNNNNNNNNNNNNNNNNNNNNNNNNNNNNNNNNNNNNNNNNNNNNNNNNNNNNNNNNNNNNNNNNNNNNNNNNNNNNNNNNNNNNNNNNNNNNNNNNNNNNNNNNNNNNNNNNNNNNNNNNNNNNNNNNNNNNNNNNNNNNNNNNNNNNNNNNNNNNNNNNNNNNNNNNNNNNNNNNNNNNNNNNNNNNNNNNNNNNNNNNNNNNNNNNNNNNNNNNNNNNNNNNNNNNNNNNNNNNNNNNNNNNNNNNNNNNNNNNNNNNNNNNNNNNNNNNNNNNNNNNNNNNNNNNNNNNNNNNNNNNNNNNNNNNNNNNNNNNNNNNNNNNNNNNNNNNNNNNNNNNNNNNNNNNNNNNNNNNNNNNNNNNNNNNNNNNNNNNNNNNNNNNNNNNNNNNNNNNNNNNNNNNNNNNNNNNNNNNNNNNNNNNNNNNNNNNNNAGCAUUAUUAAAAUCUCAUUGAGUCAUUUAGGUUAGAACAAGAUCUAAUCACAUUUCGAUUAGAGUUUAAGUUAAUUGCGUUGGCUUGGUCCGAUAUUAGAAUGAUAUUAUCUAUCCUACCAAUUUCAUUUUCGCUAAUCAAGCGGGGUAGAUAAAAUUAGAUAUCAUUCUAAUAUUGGAUCAAGCCAACUCGGUUAGCUUACGCUCUAAUCGAAGCGUGAUUAGAUCUCGUUCUAACCCAAACGAUCAUUGAGAUUUUUUAUAGCGCUUAAAGUGAGAAAAAAUGACACUCUAACCCAAACAACUUUACAAGAGAGAUUUUGAUAGAUAAUCCAAGAAAGAAUUAUUAAAGGGGAUUUUAUUGAAUUAUUGAAGCUGAAGUUAUAAAAACAAUAACAAGACCUUUUGAUUUAUAUUAGAGGAAACCUACUUUCCUAAGUUAACUUAAAAAGGAAAACUAAAUCAUAAUUAUAAUAGAAAUAAAGAUUAAGACACGUACCAUAAUUGACUCUAAUUAAAAUAAAAAACUCUAAAUAAAAAAAAUUCUAGAAUUGUAAAAUAAUGUCCUACAUCAAAGUUGCUUUUUUAACAAAAGAAUAAUCAGAUUUUACUUUUCCAUAGAUCUUGAUAUAUAAAUAAAAGAUAAAUUUAAAAUUAUCUCUAUUUGGUUAUUUUAUAAUGAGACAGUAUAAUCGUGAUAAAAUUUACUAAAUGUAUGUAUUUUAUUAUUUAGAUCCAUUACAACCUUAAUUACACAAUUUACUAAAUAUUGAACUGUUAUUUUAAUUAGUAAUUUAUUUUAUCUGCACAAUAAAAACAACUUAUUUUUUCAACCACCGAAAUCCAAAAUCGAGCCCUAAGUAAAUAGAAUAAAAAUUCUUAUGCAAUAUUAGCUAGUGAAAGCAAAAGUCUUUCCACAACGACAGAAUCUAGAGGGGUUUAAAUGACGAAUUUUGACUGAAGUUAAUGUCACGUGGGUCACAGAAAUGAAUUAUACAUGUUAGUCAUUUUCAUUGAAAUUAAAAAUUUUCCACAAAAUUUUAAAUAUGAACGUUGAAAGGGGGAGGGGGAAGAGAAAAAAAAAAUGUAUGUAUGUAUGUAUGCAUAGAUGUAUAUAUUAAAAUAUAUAUGUAUGUAUGCGUAUACACACACACACACAAAAUUUCUUAAGUGCGGAUGAUAAAAUGCGGAUUUCGUGCGAAGGCAGCUAAAAGAUAAAAAAAAAUGGUCUCCCCAAGAAGGUCUCGUCCAGCCCCCUAUCUUUCUAUAUACACACACAUAUAUAUAAUAAUUUUUCAAUAAGAGAUUUCUUCUGGUGUAUUUGGCGGUCCGCGCAACAUAGUAUUAUAUUACUAAUUUUUAUUAGUUUAUUACUGACUCAUGUCUGGCAGUUAUGAAAGUUGCAUUAUGGUCCAUUACAACACAUCAUAAUAUAGAUUUUGGCACGUUAAACAAACCUAAGGUCUCUUCUCUAUAUAUAUUUGCUAUAUUUAUAACAAAAGCUAUUGAUAAUUAAUACAAAAACGCAUUUAUAAAAUAUUCUACAUCUAAUUUUUAACUUUUUAUAUUAUAAUAUAUAACAAUAAAUUUAUAUUAUAUUUUUUUUAAUUUUUAAAAUUUUAUUAUAAUAUUAUAUUAUUUAAUAAGACUAUAUUAAAAUAUUUAACAUAAUAUAAUAUAUAUUAUAAUAUUACAAAGAACCAAAGCUCCAUUUCCGACGAAACAUAUACAAUUGCAUCCUCCACCAAUGAGGAUUUCAAUAAUACCAAAAAUAACACAGAACAUAAACAUAAUAUGGUUGGUGGUGGUCAGUGAUUUAUUUUAUUUUUAUUUGUAAAUUUAAUCAGUAAAUGUAAUAUAAUAACAAUAUUAAAUAUUAAUAAAUAUACAUAAUAUCAUUUUUCAUAUAUAAUACAAUAUGGUGUAACACUAAAUAUUAUAUAUUAUUAAUUGUUGAGAAUCAAAUAAAACGGCAUUGAAUGAAGCUUUCAAAGACAGAAUAUGCACUUGUCAAAGGGGUAAUCUGCACUUGUCAAAGACAAGAUCCGCGCCAAACGGAUUGACACAUUUCCUUCCGUAUUCACAUAUGUAAUCUUUGAGAAAAUGUAGCCUCUGCAUCUAUAAAUAACUCUAAAUGUAUAAUGUUUUAUUUAAGAAAUCAAAACACGUUUCUUCAUGGUAUCAGAGCCAUGAAUACGCUCAAGUUUCUUCAAGUUCCGCUGCUCUAUUUGUAACAAAAACAGAGGAAACCAAAUUCCUCCCACAACCAUUUUUCCCACCAUUUUCUUUCUUAAACCCAUUCCUACCAUUACAGAUAUCCAUGCCGAUCAAGAAACAAGCCACCCAUACGUAAAAAACUUGAGUUUACAAAUUUAUCAACAAUCCCAUCAAUUUUCCGAGAGUGUGUUCCUCAAAAACCAAGAACACCAUAAAAUUUCUCAGUUUUCAGUGAGGAAACUGUAAAAAUUUCGCAUUUAAACACAUUCCCACGCGCCACCCGAAGCCACGGCCAGUCAACCACGCGCCUCUAUCAUCAUUCACGCGCUCUCACGCGCUCCAGAGGUUGAAGAAGACUUCAGCCGACAUGUCGUUUUUAUCUCAGAAGUGCAGCAGUCAAAAAACGACGUGUCGUUUUUGUUCUAUUAAAACCGACAUGUCGUUUUUAAAUCAGAGAUAAAACGACGUGACGCUUAGUAUCUAGAAGUGUAGCAGGAUUAAAACGACAUGUCGUUUAUAUUCCACCAUAACCGACAUGUCGGUUUGUCAAGCAGUGGCCAAAUGACCUGUCGUUUUGUUACCUAAAAAGGUUAUUUUUUUUUUCUUCUUUCAAUCUAGACGGAAAAAAAAAACAAAAAAAAAAAGAAAACAAACAAAAAAACAAAAAAAAGAAAAAAAUGAGAAAAAAACAAAAAAAAAGAAAAAAAUGAGAAAACUCCAACUGAAUCUAGUCAUGUUGUCAUUCAAUCUGUUCAAUCUGAUGGAGUAUUUAAUGCUGGAAUUAUCCUCAUUGAGACAAACUACGAUGUUUGGUCUCAAAUAAUGGAGAUGCAUCUUGCAGAAAGAGAAAAACUCUCAUAUAUUCGUAGCAGCACAAAGCCAUUUGAGGAAUCUUCAAAGGAAUAUGAGAAAUGGUAUAGUGAGAACCAAAAAGUAAAAAGAUGGUUACUCAUAUCCAUGUCUCCGGAGAUCAUGAAGCGAUAUUUACGAAUUCCUACAGCUUACGAAAUCUGGGAUGCAUUAUCAAAAGCCUUCUAUGAUGGAAGAGAUGAAUUACAAGUUUUCACUCUAAACCAGAAGGCAUUCUCUACCAAGCAAAAUGGACAACCACUCUCUAAAUUCUAUGGAGAAUUGGUUGAAAUAUUUCGAGAACUUGAUCACCGAGAUAAAGUGGUCAUGAAGGAUCCAGAAGAUGUUGUAAUAUACAGAAGGUCUGUUGAAAGAUUGAGAGUGCACAUUUUUCUUGCUGGGUUAGAUGAAGAAUUUGACCAAGUUCGUGGAGAAAUUCUACGAAAAGACAUUAUCCCAGACUUAGAAGAAUGUUAUUCUCUGAUCCGAAGAGAAGAUAUACGGCAAAGCAAACUAAACAAGAAGGUCGACUCAGAAACAUCUGCUAUGAUAGCACGACAGCAGCCUCAAAGGAAGUUUGUUGACAAGUCAUCACUCCAUUGCACUCAUUGUAGAAAGAAGGGUCAUACGAAAGAACAAUGUUUUGAAAUCAUUGGAUAUCCUGACUGGUGGGAUACUCGAAAGAAGAACACCAAGCAUGGAUCAAAAACUGCAGUAGCUGAAUCCACAUCCACUACAAAUCUUAGAAAAGAAUCUUCAGUGCAAAUCGCAACCUCUGUCAGUCCAGGUAAGGCCCUUAAAACUCUUACACCUGUUAUUAAUAGUACAUGGAUAAUUGAUUCUGGGGCAACUGAUCAUAUGACUUUUGAUUCUCGACAAGUUUCUCAAUUGAAACCAUCUUCACAAAAACAUAUUUCCACUGCAAAUGGAACCACAACUUCAGUUAUUGGGGAAGGAUCUUUACGACUCACAAAUGAAUUAAAUUUAGACACUGUGUUAAUUGUUCCAUCUUUAGAUUAUAAUCUUUUAUCUGUGUCUCAAUUAACCACUUACUUAUCAUGUGUUGUAAUUUUUUGGCCUGAUCAUUGUGUGUUUAAGGAUAUCCAAACGAAGCAAACGAUUGGUUAUGGUAUUAGACGAGGCAACUUGUACUACUUGGAGAUGUCAUCAACAAACACUAGAAAGCUAAGCCCCGCACUAGUCGCAGAUAGUUCCAUAAAAAAAGGGAAAUUAGAAAUUUGGUUAUGGCAUAGACGUUUAGGGCAUGUGUCAUUUGAUUACUUAAAAAAAUUAUUUCCUAGUUUGUUUCUGAAAUUUGAUGUUUGUAACUUUAAAUGUGAUGUUUGUGAACUUUCAAAAAGCCAUCGAACUACUUUUCCAUUGUCCUUAAAUAAAAAUCCAGUUCCUUUUAUGGUAGUACAUUCUGAUGUAUGGGGGCCAUCUAAAGUUUCUACAAUUGGAGGUGCUCGUUGGUUUGUUACAUUUAUUGAUGAUUGUAGCAGAAUGACAUGGAUUUUUCUAAUGAAAUCGAAAGACGAAGUAAACUCUUUAUUUCAAAGAUUUCAUAAGAUGGUGACAACUCAAUUUCAGACACAAAUUCAAGUUCUACAUACUGAUAAUGGAGGCGAGUAUAUGAGCACAGCAAUUCAAUAGUUUCUGAAAUCACAAGGAUCUGUCCAUCAAACCACUUGUGUGGGGACACCCCAACAAAAUGGCGUUGCUGAACGAAAAAACAGACAUUUACUAGAAGUUGUUCGAGCAUCACUAAUCCAAGCCCACAUGCCAUUAUCUUAUUGGGGAGAAGCACUAGCAUCCGCAGCAUACUUGAUCAAUCGAACACCAUCAAGCUCCCUUGGAUUCCAGACUCCUUUCCAAGUUCUGAAUGAUGCAAUUAUGUCACCAAAUGUGCCGAAUCUACCCCCACAUGUGUUUGGCUGUGUUGCCUUCGUUCAUUUGCUGCAACAAGACAAAUUAUCUCCUCGAGCACUACGUUGUGUGUUUGUAGGGUAUGCCUUACAUCAAAAGGGAUACCGAUGCUAUCAUCCACCAUCAAGAAAAAUAUACAUCACUAUGGAUGUUUUUUUUUCAUGAAGAUAUCAUGUACUACUUGUCAGAGUCUGAAUUUCAGGGGGAGUAUAAUGAAGAGGAAAUUCAUACUCUUACAUAUCUUCCAUUGAGAUAGUAAACUUUCAAGAUACUGGAAAAGCAAAUGGUGAUGAUUCGCAGGCUGAGAUAUGUGAAGACACAUUUGGGGAGCACAAUAACUCAGACACAACUGCAAUCGAGAAUGAGUCCCAUGAAGAAAUACUUAACCAAUCGUCUGCAGAGGAUGUUCCUACCACAAGUCCAAUCAGAAGAAUUCUUCCCCAGCGUCAAAAUAGAGGUAUCCCUAAACCCACAUAUGAGCCUGACUUCUCUAGUAGAGUCAAAUACCCUAUGAGUCAUUUUGUGUCUAACCAUCGCUUGUCAAAAUCAAAUCAAUCAUUUUUGAAUCAAUUAUCUGCUGUAUCUAUUCCUAACAGUGUGCAGGAAGCUUUAAAAGAUCCAAAGUGGAAAGCGGCUAUGAAUGAUGAAAUGAGAUCUCGUCAGAAAAAUCAAACAUGGGAACUAGUUGAUCUUCCAUCAGGAAAGAAACCAGUGGGUUGUCGAUGGAUCUACACUAUAAAAUAUAAAGCAGAUGGCUCUAUUGAACGAUACAAAGUAAGACUCGUAGCUAAGGGUUACACCCAAACCUACGGGAUUGAUUAUACUGAUACAUUUGCACCGGUAGCAAAAAUUAAUACUAUUCGUAUCUUAUUAUCAUUAGCAGUCAACUUGGAUUGGCCAGUGCAACAGUUCGAUGUAAAGAAUGCUUUCCUCUAUGGAGACCUGUCUGAAGAAAUUUAUAUGGAUCUGCCACCAGGAUGCAGUGGACCAGAACGACUCAAUCAGAAAGUAUGCAAAUUGAAGAAAUCAUUGUAUGGGUUGAAGCAAUCCCCAAGUGCAUGGUUCGGGAAAUUCACAAAGGCUAUGGUUCGUUUUGGGUAUAACCAAAGCAAUUCAGAUCAUACCUUAUUCAUUAAAAAACGACAAGGUAAAAUCACUGCCCUUAUUGUCUAUGUGGAUGAUAUGGUAGUUACAGGCAACGACGAGGAAGAAACAGAGGCUCUUCAGAAGUACUUGUCAAUAGAGUUUGAGAUGAAGGAUUUAGGUGCCUUAAAAUACUUUCUUGGAAUUGAGGUUUCUCGAUCUAAGGGAGGAAUCUUUCUGUCUCAAAGGAAAUAUGCCUUAGAUCUAUUACACGAAACGGGAAUGACAGCUUGUCAGCCUAUUGACACCCCAAUAGAAGAAGGACUGAAGUUUUGUAUUACUUCAGACCAAGUUCCAGUAGACAAAGGAAGAUAUCAAAGGCUGAUUGGAAGAUUGAUGUACUUGUCCCACACAAGGCCAGAUCUUGCUUAUGCAUUGAGUGUUGUAAGCCAGUUUAUGCAUAAUCCUGGAGAACAACACAUGAAAGCAGUAAUACGGAUCCUGAGGUACCUGAAGACAAAUCCAGGAAAAGGAAUCUUAUUUUCCAAAAAUGAAGAUUACAGCAACAUAGAAGUUUAUACUGAUGCAGAUUGGGCCGGGUCAGUUAGUGAUAGACGCUCUACUUCAGGAUACUUUACCUUUGUGGGAGGAAACCUUGUCACAUGGAGAAGCAAGAAACAACAUGUCGUUGCCCGUUCGAGCGCUGAAGCAGAAUAUCAAGGCAUAGCCCUUGGGAUAUGUGAAGGGUUAUGGAUAAGUUUUAUCUUAAACGAUUUGGGCUAUUCAUCAUAACAACCAAUACAACUAUACUGUGACAACAAAGCUGCACGAGAUAUUGCUCAUAACCCAGUUCAACACGAUCGAACAAAACAUGUGGAGGUAGAUAGAUUUUUCAUCAAGGAGAAAUUAGAUGAAAAAAUCUUAAAACUGCCGAAAAUUCGAUCAGAAGAUCAACUUGCAGAUAUUUUAACGAAGGCCAUUUCAAGCAAGGCAUUUACAAAAUUCCUAGACAAGUUGGGUAUGCAAGACAUCUAUGCACCAGCUUGAGGGGGAGUGUUGAGAAUCAAAUAAAACGGCAUUGAAUGAAGCUUUCAAAGACAGAAUCUGCACUUGUCAAAGGGGUAAUCUGCACUUGUUAAAGACAAGAUCCGCGCCGAACGGAUUGACACAUUUCCUUCCGUAUUCACAUAUGUAAUCUUUGAAAAAAUGUAGCAUCUGCAUCUAUAAAUAACUCUAAAUGUAUAAUGCUUUAUUUAAGAAAUCAAAACACGUUUCUUCAUUAAUAUAAUACAAUGUUGAUACAAUACAACUUUAUAUAAUAUACUCUUAUUAAAUAAUGUAAUACACAUAAUAUAAUAUAUUAUAUUAAACACGUCUUUAAAUUAUUAAAAUAAGAGAUAAAUCAAAAGAUUAAAAAAAAUACAAACUCUAAUUUAUUAUAAGACAAAGAAUACUUCAUUCAAAUUUAUAUUUUACUUCUCUUUUAAUUUAUCCAUUACUUUAAUAAGUCAAUAAAUUUCUUUUUGUAUAAUGACUUUAUAUAAGUAUACAUAUUUAUGUGGAGGCAUUGCUGCAUGCGAAUUAAGGAUUAGCCGCUCCUAUUUAUAAUUUUUUUUUUUUAAAAAAAAAAAAGACAGAGAAAGAGGGAGAGAGGUCGUGUGUCUUUUUGGUUUUUCCCAAAGUGAUCAUUUUGUGUGAUAUAUCGUACUAAUCUUCUUGGAUCACGAGCCUCUCUGCUGCAACUGCAAAUGCAUGGUGAUGGUGCGAGCAAGGCGAAGAAAUUAAAGGACAGUUCAUCAGCUUUUACAGCUUUACUCUCAUUACACAACUUGCUUUUGCUUUGACACUUGAGAGUUACAUUUCAUCUGUUUUUGUUUAGACUAGAGGAAAAGGGGCAAAAGCUAAAAGUUAAUUUUCAUAACUUUUUUUUAUUGAAAUAUUAAGUUUUGAUAAAUAGCUUUCUUAUACGUGUGAGAUGUCCUCUAUUAAUUGCGGUGCAGAAUCUGAAUCAUAUAAUUCACAUCCUCCGAGAGAAAAUAUUAUACACAUUAUCAAUUAAAUCAUCUUGUUUUAUGAGUUUGCUGAAAUUAUUAAAAAUCUUGUUUCAUGUCUUAUAUAGUAUUAGUAUAUGAAUAAUUUUUUUUUGGGUAAAAGCUUGUUUAGUCCCUAUAUUAUGAAGUUAGUGUCCAUUUAGUCCCUGUAUUUUUUAAAACACCUCAAAACGUCCCUGCUACUAAAUAUUGACACUUAUGCCAUUAUUUUUUUUAUUUUAACUUGCUUUUACAAUAUUACAUUUUUACAAUAAUGUUUCUUUUGUGGAUAUUAAUAAAAAAUCAAAUUAUCAAAUUAAACUCAAAAAUAAAAUAAAAACAAAAAAUGUAUAUAUUAAUUUUUGUGAAAGGUCACGUGUCUAAAAAAUUAAUAUCGUAAAAAAUUAAAUUAUCAAUUUUUUUAGAAAAAUUAAUAUUUUAACUCAAGAGUGUGUUCCACAAAAAUUAAUAUAUUUUAUUUUAUUUUAUUUUAUUUUUUGGUGUUAAACUGGUAAUUUAUUUUUUUCUUUUUAAUAAUGUCUAAAAAAAUUAUUAUAAUAGGGUUAUUUUNNNNNNNNNNNNNNNNNNNNNNNNNNNNNNNNNNNNNNNNNNNNNNNNNNNNNNNNNNNNNNNNNNNNNNNNNNNNNNNNNNNNNNNNNNNNNNNNNNNNCAAAAGGUAAUGGCAAAAGUGUCAAUAAUUUAAUGGUAGGGAUGGUUUGAGGUAUUUUUUAAAAAUAUAGGGACUAAACGGGCACUAACUUUAAAAUAUAGGGACUAAACGAGCUUUUACCCUUUUUUUUUUUAUCGACUCUUUAUCAACACGUGAAUUUCUGUUUAAAAAAGUUUAAAUUAUGAGAGAAUUUGAAUUUACAUUACAUAAUAUAUAAUUUUUAAGAUAAAUUAAAUUUAUGAAUUUUUAUUUAUUAUUAAAAUCAAACGUGUGCACAAAUAGAUCAUAUGACCUUUUCUAUGACAUGAAUUAAGAAAAGUCAAUAUGCACAACAAGAAGUGUUAGGCUGAUAAUUUCACAUGGCUUUAAAAAUCUUAUAGGGCACUUAUUAAUUCACCAAUGAAUUUGUGGUUCACCAACCAUUUCUUGCACCAUCUUGAAGGCUCAAAAAGAUAAAGAGCAGAUUAUAUAUGCAGCUUAAAUUUUCAACAUCUAGAAAUAUUUUUAAAAAAAGAAUACACUAGUACAGUGGCAAUCUCAUCUCCUUUCUUAAAUUUUAGUUGAUACCAUGAUGACAUAUUCUGCUUCCACGUUCAAGUAAUUAAUAGUUGGCCCUGGUAUGUUUUACAACUCUCAAAGUUAGUUGUAAAUUGAAUGAAAGCCACCGUAGUUCUGACUCCUUUUAAUACUACUUCACAUAUUUAUUUAUAUGCAUUGACUGAGAUGUCAUUGCAAAGUUCGUGAUUUUAAGGAAAUAAAUAAAAUUCAGUCUUAUUAAUUUGUUGUGGCCCAUAAGCCAAUUUAUAAAAAAAAGCCAAAAUUUAAUAGAAGUAAAUAAUCAAUAAAAUAUUUUGUGAUUCAUUUCUAUAUAUAUUUACACAUAACAGUUAUGAUUCUUAUCAUAAGUGAAUGGCAUAAUGUUCAAAGGCAACCUUCUUGUCAAUUUGUAUGUGACAAUAGUCAUUUAUGUAUUACAUAACACUCUAUUCUUCCGUAUGUAUAUGUCAUCUUAAUAGUUUUAAUCCUUACAAUGUGCAUUUGAUAAUGAUUUUGAUCAUUAUAUAUAUGUGUAGGAUCCCCCUAAGUUACAUGCAUGUAACUUAGCAUUAGCCAUAUGUGUAUCACAUAACGAUUUGAUCUGUUUCAUAAAUGCAUAUCAUAAUAGGCUUAAUUCAUAAGGGUUUUUUUUUUUUUUAAAUUCCUAUCAUUCCCUCAAGUUGGAGUGCGAAAACUUGGUUCUUCUUGCACUUUUGUUUUAAGAACAAAUUAUGUCUAUCUCUAACACACCAUCAUGCUAUGUAGCUUCUCAUCAACAUGGUGGCUCUAUAUCUAACAUAUGAUCUGAGAACUAGGGUUAAGGUGAUCUUUUCAUCUCUCAACUCAAAAUUGAUGAAGAUAUAUCAUAAUAGGAUUAUAAUUAUCUGUCCCUAUAAGAUAAAGAAGACUUAUCAUAAUAAGGUUAGAAUUAUCUACCCAUACAAGAUAAAGAAGAUAAUCGAAUUAAUUUUUAGUUAUUACCACCAGAAAAGAAAGUCCACAAAUAAAAGUGAGGAAAAGCAAAUUUAGAUAGAAAUCGACUCUAAUUAAGGAGUCCCUGUCUAAUGCACGAAGUCGCACACAUCAUCGAAAUCACUAAGUACGUACUUCAGAGCUCGAAAUCUUGAAUCCUUUGCAGUCCCUUCUCAUUAUUUCUUUAAAUUCUCUUCUUGUUUGCAAAAGCAAAAAUAAUUUUUGACUUAAACAUUGGAGUUUCACCCGAUAACGAUUAUCACGCCCUUCACUGUUUUUGUCUCAUCACCCGCCAACACCAACUUUUACACUUCGUAAAUUGUGUCCAUCACUAGACUCUAUCAAUCUGAAUCAUGGCUACGUGACCAACAAAGAUGGGAAAUCUGAACGGUAGCCAAGAUAAUUCUGAGUGGGACAUGACUCACAUGCCGAUGGGCCCAGAUCUCGUAAUGUCAUGAGCCCACUUAAUCAACUCCCACGUGGAAACACCUGUCACAUAUCCUUUAAUCGGCAGAUCGCCUUUCUCGAUCACUAUUAUUUACAGUUUAUUUUCGUACAGCGUACGAGAUCAUUGCCUCUUGUUAUCAUUAUUAACGUAAACUUCAAUUACCUAAAAUCAUAAUCUUCAAUUUAUUCUAAAAAUAUGAAUACUUUAAAUUUUUAUUCAAAUAAUGCAACCAAUUUUCAUGUAAACUGACAUUAAUCAAGAGGGUAAGGAUUUUGCACAGUUUUUAUUCAUUAUUUUUCCCUAAAAAAGAAGACCAUUUGUUGCAGUAAAUGGCACAAAAAAAAAUUAAAUUAGUUUUUAAACUAACAAAUAAAUCAAACCAAAUAGUCAAAACUCAAAAGACCAACGUUAAAGACAAAUCAUGAAGUUGAAAGUUCAGAAUAUCCUAAAAGCUCAUGCAAUAGAAAAUCUGCAUUUAUUUUCAAAUUUUUAUACUAAUAUAUUCUUAAUAUAUGUCUCUAACGUGAUCCUAAUACGGUGCCACUGCCCCCAAAAAAAGAUCCUAAUAUAUAAUACAAUUUAUACAUUGAAAAAAAAUUAAAAAAAGAAACAAAAAUGAUGGGCAGACAAUAAAUGAAAGAGACUAGACAUAAAACUGUUAUCUCUUUGUCAUUAAUUAUUGCAAAUACUAAAAUUAUGUCUGCCUCAAAUUUCGGGCAAAAGAAAGUCCCAGAGUAUACCCGAAAUAUGGUUUUCCUCAUUUACAUUUAUAACUUAGAAGCAACAGAAGUAAAGCAAAAAUAUAGCAGUGGUCUCAUAUAAUUGACUUUGCAUGUCACUUAUUUUUUAUUAUUUUAUUGGUUGUCAGUAAUAUAACGUAGAGGUUAUCUCAAAAUAUUUAUUUGUUUCUUUAUAUAAUAAUUAGGUGUACCUUUUACUCAAUUAUGUAAUAAUAAAAAUACAAACAAUGAAUAAUCAACUAACAUGAAAGUAUACACCGAAAGCAUGGAAGACUUUUUAUUUGAGCUAUGAUGUAAUUAGUAAUAUUAAUUAUUAAUAUAUCCCAUAAUUUACAGGGUAGACUCACAUGACUGGCACCUAUUAAAUUACCUGCAAUAUCAUUAAUGCAGUUGAACUAUUAAAUCCAAUUCUAAGGUGAGGCUUUUACAUUAUGAUGAUUAUAUUCUUUAAGUACGAAAUUAUACUCCAACCACCUUAAAAAUGUCAAAAGUGUAAGUAAUUACCGUGAGUUUUUAAUAAUAUUUUAAAUCCACUUUAAGUUUUAAUUUUCUAUCAACCAGUCACUUUUUUUUUAACUUUAUUAGUUACUGUUAAAGAAUUUAAGUUAAAAGAAUUUUUUCCCUUAAAUUCAUUGAAAAGGGUAAAACAACAUUUUGGAAGGCUCCAAAGACAAGAUAGCCUUUUAUAUUAAAUUAUUUAAUGGCUAAUAGAGUUAACAAAAAAAUAAUUAGUUGAUGUAAAACUAAAACUUAAGGUGGUUAUAAGAUACUGUCAGAAACUUGUGGUAUCCACUUGCACUUUCAAUAAUUUUUUUAGAUGUUUGGGAAUAAUAUCUCUUUUGAAAUUGAUUCUUUCCAUUUAUGACUAUAAUUUGAUCUUCAAUUCAUUCUAUUUCUCCAAUAUAUUCAUUUAAAAAAAAUGAAACUAUUUGAAUAUACAUUUAUUACUUUAAGUGACCGUUGGUGCAAAACACCAUGCACAAUAAAUCCUCUCUCUAGUCAUAAUAUUGGUACCAACUAUUUUUAUUAUUAUGUGGAGAUUAUAACUUAAUAGCUGUGUAGUUACAAAAAUUAUUGGUUUCACCUGGCUAUCUUUUUUUUCNNNNNNNNNNNNNNNNNNNNNNNNNNNNNNNNNNNNNNNNNNNNNNNNNNNNNNNNNNNNNNNNNNNNNNNNNNNNNNNNNNNNNNNNNNNNNNNNNNNNNNNNNNNNNNNNNNNNNNNNNNNNNNNNNNNNNNNNNNNNNNNNNNNNNNNNNNNNNNNNNNNNNNNNNNNNNNNNNNNNNNNNNNNNNNNNNNNNNNNNNNNNNNNNNNNNNNNNNNNNNNNNNNNNNNNNNNNNNNNNNNNNNNNNNNNNNNNNNNNNNNNNNNNNNNNNNNNNNNNNNNNNNNNNNNNNNNNNNNNNNNNNNNNNNNNNNNNNNNNNNNNNNNNNNNNNNNNNNNNNNNNNNNNNNNNNNNNNNNNNNNNNNNNNNNNNNNNNNNNNNNNNNNNNNNNNNNNNNNNNNNNNNNNNNNNNNNNNNNNNNNNNNNNNNNNNNNNNNNNNNNNNNNNNNNNNNNNNNNNNNNNNNNNNNNNNNNNNNNNNNNNNNNNNNNNNNNNNNNNNNNNNNNNNNNNNNNNNNNNNNNNNNNNNNNNNNNNNNNNNNNNNNNNNNNNNNNNNNNNNNNNNNNNNNNNNNNNNNNNNNNNNNNNNNNNNNNNNNNNNNNNNNNNNNNNNNNNNNNNNNNNNNNNNNNNNNNNNNNNNNNNNNNNNNNNNNNNNNNNNNNNNNNNNNNNNNNNNNNNNNNNNNNNNNNNNNNNNNNNNNNNNNNNNNNNNNNNNNNNNNNNNNNNNNNNNNNNNNNNNNNNNNNNNNNNNNNNNNNNNNNNNNNNNNNNNNNNNNNNNNNNNNNNNNNNNNNNNNNNNNNNNNNNNNNNNNNNNNNNNNNNNNNNNNNNNNNNNNNNNNNNNNNNNNNNNNNNNNNNNNNNNNNNNNNNNNNNNNNNNNNNNNNNNNNNNNNNNNNNNNNNNNNNNNNNNNNNNNNNNNNNNNNNNNNNNNNNNNNNNNNNNNNNNNNNNNNNNNNNNNNNNNNNNNNNNNNNNNNNNNNNNNNNNNNNNNNNNNNNNNNNNNNNNNNNNNNNNNNNNNNNNNNNNNNNNNNNNNNNNNNNNNNNNNNNNNNNNNNNNNNNNNNNNNNNNNNNNNNNNNNNNNNNNNNNNNNNNNNNNNNNNNNNNNNNNNNNNNNNNNNNNNNNNNNNNNNNNNNNNNNNNNNNNNNNNNNNNNNNNNNNNNNNNNNNNNNNNNNNNNNNNNNNNNNNNNNNNNNNNNNNNNNNNNNNNNNNNNNNNNNNNNNNNNNNNNNNNNNNNNNNNNNNNNNNNNNNNNNNNNNNNNNNNNNNNNNNNNNNNNNNNNNNNNNNNNNNNNNNNNNNNNNNNNNNNNNNNNNNNNNNNNNNNNNNNNNNNNNNNNNNNNNNNNNNNNNNNNNNNNNNNNNNNNNNNNNNNNNNNNNNNNNNNNNNNNNNNNNNNNNNNNNNNNNNNNNNNNNNNNNNNNNNNNNNNNNNNNNNNNNNNNNNNNNNNNNNNNNNNNNNNNNNNNNNNNNNNNNNNNNNNNNNNNNNNNNNNNNNNNNNNNNNNNNNNNNNNNNNNNNNNNNNNNNNNNNNNNNNNNNNNNNNNNNNNNNNNNNNNNNNNNNNNNNNNNNNNNNNNNNNNNNNNNNNNNNNNNNNNNNNNNNNNNNNNNNNNNNNNNNNNNNNNNNNNNNNNNNNNNNNNNNNNNNNNNNNNNNNNNNNNNNNNNNNNNNNNNNNNNNNNNNNNNNNNNNNNNNNNNNNNNNNNNNNNNNNNNNNNNNNNNNNNNNNNNNNNNNNNNNNNNNNNNNNNNNNNNNNNNNNNNNNNNNNNNNNNNNNNNNNNNNNNNNNNNNNNNNNNNNNNNNNNNNNNNNNNNNNNNNNNNNNNNNNNNNNNNNNNNNNNNNNNNNNNNNNNNNNNNNNNNNNNNNNNNNNNNNNNNNNNNNNNNNNNNNNNNNNNNNNNNNNNNNNNNNNNNNNNNNNNNNNNNNNNNNNNNNNNNNNNNNNNNNNNNNNNNNNNNNNNNNNNNNNNNNNNNNNNNNNNNNNNNNNNNNNNNNNNNNNNNNNNNNNNNNNNNNNNNNNNNNNNNNNNNNNNNNNNNNNNNNNNNNNNNNNNNNNNNNNNNNNNNNNNNNNNNNNNNNNNNNNNNNNNNNNNNNNNNNNNNNNNNNNNNNNNNNNNNNNNNNNNNNNNNNNNNNNNNNNNNNNNNNNNNNNNNNNNNNNNNNNNNNNNNNNNNNNNNNNNNNNNNNNNNNNNNNNNNNNNNNNNNNNNNNNNNNNNNNNNNNNNNNNNNNNNNNNNNNNNNNNNNNNNNNNNNNNNNNNNNNNNNNNNNNNNNNNNNNNNNNNNNNNNNNNNNNNNNNNNNNNNNNNNNNNNNNNNNNNNNNNNNNNNNNNNNNNNNNNNNNNNNNNNNNNNNNNNNNNNNNNNNNNNNNNNNNNNNNNNNNNNNNNNNNNNNNNNNNNNNNNNNNNNNNNNNNNNNNNNNNNNNNNNNNNNNNNNNNNNNNNNNNNNNNNNNNNNNNNNNNNNNNNNNNNNNNNNNNNNNNNNNNNNNNNNNNNNNNNNNNNNNNNNNNNNNNNNNNNNNNNNNNNNNNNNNNNNNNNNNNNNNNNNNNNNNNNNNNNNNNNNNNNNNNNNNNNNNNNNNNNNNNNNNNNNNNNNNNNNNNNNNNNNNNNNNNNNNNNNNNNNNNNNNNNNNNNNNNNNNNNNNNNNNNNNNNNNNNNNNNNNNNNNNNNNNNNNNNNNNNNNNNNNNNNNNNNNNNNNNNNNNNNNNNNNNNNNNNNNNNNNNNNNNNNNNNNNNNNNNNNNNNNNNNNNNNNNNNNNNNNNNNNNNNNNNNNNNNNNNNNNNNNNNNNNNNNNNNNUAUUAAACAUUUGCAUUCUCUUCAUUGUUUUUCUCUCAAUGUAAUUUAUAUAAAUAUUAUACAAUGAUUUAGCAACAAUUCAAAAGAAUAAAUUAGUAUCCUAAGCAACUUUAAAAAAUAUUUUAUUCUAUCUUAAACUUUUAAUUUAGCAUUGCAUAUAUUUUUUGCAAUAUACAAAUAAUAUUAUUAUGUGGAAGUAUAUUUCUUAAGAUGAGAUCUAGAAAAAAUAAUAAUCUAUUACAAUGUAAGUUUAUUAUUUAUAAUUUUUCCAAAUAAGAUCAAUAUUUUUUAUGACUAUAUAGAGGUUAUUUUUAUAUACAGUUGUUAGUGAAUAAAAUUAGGGUCAUGCAAUUAGAGUAAGACAUGUGUGCAAUAGCCCACAUGUCUAGUUUGCCCUCGCAAAAUGCAAAACGAAAAUUGAAAGGGCAAAGGUAAAAUUGGAAAAUUUUAAGAAGAGAGCACGAGCCGCCCUAAUAACAUGAAAAGUGAAAAAAAUGUUGCUCAAAAUACCUUAAAGUUGCCAUAUGUCAAUAGAAGACAACUGUAAUAGUGAAAGCCCCUUGAUAAAAUCGUUACACAUUAGUAUAAUAUGGGUUCCACUGGGACCAACCCAAAAUAUAUCUCCAAUAGUUACAUGCAUCAAGAAUAAAAGAGAGAACUAGCUUAAUUGUUAUUCGAACCAUCAUCAGUGAAAUUAGCAACUCCCAUAGCUCAAUUGACUCAUUUGAAAAUAAGUCAAUCAGAAGUUGAGACGUGCUGUCAAAAGAGACAGUCUCAUAAGUGACAGGUGUCUAAUUCUAAAGAACUCAAAGAGCUCAAGUUAAAUAGUUAAAUUGCUCCAUAGACCCUACCUAAGGAGCGGAACAACUUAUGACGGCUCCAUAUGUGUCUAAAAAGACACAAAAAUGCCCUCAGAGGCACUCUAUUUAUAAGGUUAGCUCAAUCCCUCAAGGAAAGACUUAUCGCUCCCACAACACUUAAAUUUUUUCAUAUUUAAGGGUUUCUCUAAACCCAUCAACUUCUCCGUCUUCACCUAACUUGACCGUUAGAGUGCCAUCAUUGAUCACCAUACGCGUCACCUCUAAUAGCUCUUUUUCUUUGUUUUCAAGAUCGUCCCAUUAUGACAGCCCUUGGAAAACUACCCCAAAGCAACAAAUCCUCUAUCAUUCGCCAAACCACCUCUCAAAGUGAAGUUCUCAUAAUGUUUUUAGCCUAAAACAAAAUCAGACAAAAACAAUAGUAUCUCUAUAAACAGGCUUUAUUGUACAACCAAGUGACUAACUAAGCCAUGCCUCAAGGUAGAUUUUAUGCCCGAGUUAAGAAAUGAAUUAUAUUAAAAUUAACUCAAUCCAUUAAUGUGGUACGUUGAUUAUGUUUCAAAAUUCAUUUUCUUUAUUCUUUCUUACAAUUUAAAUUAAAAUAUACAAACCUGUAUUGCUCAUCCACCAAAGGAGUUAAUAAAUAAAUACGACUCCUAAAUUUGCAAAUAAACUUAAAUGGUUGAUUUUUGUUUUUUUAAAACGAUGCUCUAUACGUCUCUUGACUUAUGCACAUUUAGCAGUGGGUCGUGUUUAAACAGUUUAAUGUCAUAUUUUUAUAGUGUAUGAUAUAGUAUACUUACUUAAAUCCACCCCUAACUUAAUAGGUCAAAAAUAAAAAUUUAAGCCAAUUCGUUGUCAUUAUUAUUCUACCCAAAUUGACUAAUUUCAACCGCUCUUUUUGGCAAUUUAAAUUAACUACUUAAAAUGAUUGUCAUAGAUUUUUACUUUAAAACACAAACAAUAAUUACAACACAGAGUUCUUUAAAAAUGUAAUACCAAACAAAAAAAAUAGUAAUAAUAUUUAUGUUUAACAUCAUCAAGUGAUGUAGUCCAUAGAAUUUAUAUAAUAUCACAAUUGAAGAGAAAAAAAAAAGUUAUAGAACCUGAGUCGUGUGAACUUUUGCCAGACUUUGUAUCAAGUAAGAAAUCUAUCAUAAUUAAUUAGUAGAAGUUUUGGAUUUUCUAAAAAGUAAUUGAAAACAAUAACUUAAAAUUCUGUUUUACAAUUCUUUUAUUAAGAGUCCCAAUAAAUUUUCCCUUAUAAAAAAAUCCCUUAGAUUAUAUGAGAAGACAACUCACCUUUGUCCAGUAAUUAUCAGUCUUUUUGUGUUUGUUGAUGUAUAUUCAAUCACCAUCAUUAAUAUUGUAAGGAACUAUUUUACUUGUAAAAUUAAUUGAAACAUAUAUUAUAAAUAAAUUUUGUAUGCUGUUAUUAUUAUUUUCUAAUUAAAAGACAAUGAAAAGUACCAAAGAUUUAGAUAUGUUCUCCCGGCUAUUUGGACAAUUAAGUCAAUCACAUGUUUCAUCCCAGCACUUAACCAUCAAGUGCAAUAAUGGAUUUAAAAGAUUUGUCAAAAUGUGGCAUCGUUUAAUAAUUAUUUCAGAAAAUUUUCUGCAUUCUUAUUUUGAGAAUCUUAAAGAAGAUGAAAAACGUUUCUUUAAAAUAUAUUUUUAGUCAAAGUACAUACAAAUUUUGCUACGACCAGAGUAAUAAGAGUCAUCUGACACAGAAAUUUUAAAAAGGAAAACUGAACAAACAAACGGCCGUAAAACAUUUUGUACAAAAUUAUUUAUAUAUGUACCACUUGACAUGUAAUGGGAACAUCCUUUAUUAUUUUUUAAUUUGUAUUUCUAAUCUCCAGCUUAGCAUAAUCGGAUGAAGAGAAACAAGAAGCAAAAAUGGCAAGAAAUUGUAUGAAAAGGAUAUUGACAUUAACAUCACAGCAUGACAUAAUACGGUUGUACAUGCCAUGAAAAUGAAAUAAACAUUAAUCAUAAAUAUUAUUAAAAUUAAAUGUCUUUAGAGGAUUGGCCCAUAGGUUUGCAAACGGCUUUAUUUAAUUAAUUACUGAAGUUCGAAUCUUAAAGAGUAGGGUUCAAAAAAUUAAGUAGAAAGAGAACUUAAAUAACCAACUAAAAAAAUUAUUUAAAAACUACUCAGCAGUCUCAUGGAACAUCUUUAAAAAAAACAAUUCUUUAUAUCAGUUUUAUUUUUUCCCCCUUUUCCUUCUCAUUUGGCGAGUAAUAAUGGUGCGUAUUCAAUGAUUAAUAACAACCAAAAACAUGACAUAAUUGUUUACUUUCAUUUGAUAAAUCUAAUUAAAAUACCAAACCAACUUGUGAAUUAUAAAUUAACUAUCAUGACAUCUUUACUUUAUUCAAAAUAAUUUUUCGACUCCAAUCAUUGCCGAAAUUUACACAUUUUUUAAUCCUCAUAAUAGGUGUCGUAAUCUAUUAUUCUAUUAUAGUUUAUAAGUCUCUAGUCAGCUUUAUUAACUUUUCUUUGGUCUGCUUCUGGUGAUUUGCAAAUAGGAUUUUUGAAAUUUUGUUUAAUCUUGAUCGAUGUAACAAAACAAUUUAAAUAAAUUAUGUAAAUUUAGUGUCAUUGUUGCCCAUUUUUAAUGGCAUCAUCAUGUUUGUUACAUGCCAAAAAAAUAAGGGUUUUAUUUUUGCAUAAUGAUGCAAAACUUAUCUUUUUCGGGAAACCACUAAAUGAUCAAGUGACCUCUUCGGUGAAGUGUUCUACUUCUUUUGUUAAUUAUGGAAGUUGUUUUUUUUUUUUCACAUAUUUGGGAGUAGAUAUUCUUCUGAGCAUUUAUUUGAAUUAAAAUGUCGCCGUAAAUUAAGUUUCCAUUAUCAAUUAUUUUGAUUGUGUUUGAAUUUUAACUUUAACACUAGAAACUUAUUACAGAUGUCUUAAUAAAAUUCAAUAUAUUUAUUCUUUACUUAUCACUUAAUUGUGUUUAAUAUUUAUUUCCAUGACAAACCCCAACAUCUUACUGUAAUAAAACCUUGUUCAUUACUAGUAUUUUUUAGAUUCGUCACUUAGAUUUAAAAAUAAAAAUAAAAUAAACAUAUUAUUUAGAUUUUAUACAUUCAUAUUAUUCAAUUUUAAUCAAUUUCAAAUCUAUUUAGAUUUUAGGCAAUUUAAAAUCCACUCAGAUUUCAUAUGAAAAAAUAAACACUACUAUGUGGGAUCGCAAUCAAAGCAUAAAAAUAUAUUAUGCGGAAAAGUUUUUAAUCACACAAUCAAGUUUGAAUAAUUUAAAAUUUGACUUAGCUAAAGAUGAGAUACCAAAUAAUGAAAUUUCACCACUAAUCCAUUAGCUUGAUUAUGUCGUUUAUAACAUAGCUUAAAAUAUUCUCCAAUGGAGAAAUCUAUUCCUAAAUUAUGAAAAAAUUUAUUCAAAUAGUCACAUAGGGAGACUUGAACUUUUAAAUUCAAGAAUGAGAUAAAGCAGUGUCAAUUAGUAGAUGAAUGAACUAAUUUAUCAAUUAAUAGAUGAAUGAACUAAUUUUUCACAUUAUUAUUAUCGUUAUUAUUAUGGGAUAAUAUACAAUACCUUCCAAAAGAUUUCUGACAUAUUAUUCUACCACCAAAAUUUUUUGACAAUUAUAUUUUUCCGUUUAAUGUUUUAUUUUUUUAUUAUUUUACCAGGAAAUCAUUAAAAGCAACAUAAUAUUUAAUAUAAGUAUUGUUAAAAGAGGAUUUUAACCGUUAAACUAUUUAAUUGUGUAGAAAAUUGAUUUUGUCCACUAAAAUAGAAAAAUUUUCCCUUUUAUAAUUUUAUCAAUUUUGUUGAAUACAUAUCAAUAAAAAUAAUAAAUUUAAUAAAAAUAAAUAGUUAUUUUAAGAAAAUUAUUUUAUCUUAGUUGCUUGUUCUUUUAACAUUUGUAUUUAGCUAUUAAAUCAACUUAAUAAGUAUAUAUAAAUUAUAAUAUUUAAUUUAAUGAUCCUAAAUAAUUGUAUUAUUUUAUUAAAAGUUAUCAAUUUACAAGUUGACUUAUUGGAAAAAUUUUAAAUUACUAUAUACCUUUUUUCCUUUUGUGUCAAAUCACCAUUACUAUCUAAAUUUAUCAAAUUGAAAUACCUUAAAAUACUCCUACGACAUCUUCUUUUAAAGAGAGUUAAAUAUUUAGUGGUAAAAUAAUAACAAUUAAAAAUUUAAGUGGUAAAAUAUAAUUAUCAAAAAAUCGUAUUGAUGAAAUAAUAUAUCAAAAAUAUUAAAGGGGUAUUUGAUAAUAUCCCUAUUAUCAGUAUUAUUAUAAAAUUGUGAGUUUAACCCCUUUUUGCGCACCUGUAAACCAGCCUACAAAACCUACAAACGAGAUAUUAGUAUUUAUUAUAAGGGUCCGCCUAAGAUACAGCUAACAGACCUUACAGCUUCUAUGUAAAUUUGCUUUGAGCCCCUUAUACGCUAUAUUAUGUACACUUUAUUCAUAAGUAUAAUAAACUUUUUAAAUUGUACAAUUUUGUUGAGCCCCUUAUACUCUGUUUUAUUUCAUUGAAACCCUUAGAGUACUAAUUCACCCCCUACAAUUUUUAAAUUUCCAAAAUAUCCUCCAUUUAAUUAAAAAUAUAAUAAUUAUUAAAUGGAUUAUAAUUAUAAUUAUAAUAAUAAUAAUUAUUUUGUUAUAAUUACAAAUGUAAUUAUAAUUUUUAAAUAAAAUAUUAUUAUUAUUAACAAGAAUAAAAGUAUUAUAAUUAAUUAAUCUAAUAAUAAUAAUAAUUAAUAAUAAGUUUUAGUUAAAUAAUUAAUAAUAAUAAUUAUUAUUAAUUCAUUUUUUAAAAAUAAUAAUCACAAUAAUUAAAAAUUUUAUUGUUAGAAAUUCAUAACAAAAUGAUAUAUUCAAAUAAAAGAGUUUUUUUUUAAUUUUCUUUUUUGGACAAAAUAUUAUAUGUAUGAUCUGUUCAUUUAUGUCAAAGAAUUAGGCAUGAAGGACCACUCUACGCAUGACCAAAAACUUGGAAAAAAAAAUUCCUUUUCCUUUGACCCAAAAAGAAUGGAAGCUUUGAACAGCAUCUAUGUUAUUGUAAUUAAUAAAAGUUAAUUAAUAAUAAUUAUUGUUAAUAGAUUAAUUAAUUAUAAUAAUUUUUAUUCUUGUUAAUAAUAAUAAUAAUAAUCCAUUUAAAAUUAUAAUCAUAUUUAUAAUUACAACAAAAUAAUUAUAAAAUGGAGGGUAUUUUGAAAAUUUAAAAAUUAUAGGAGGAGAAUUGGUACUCUGAGGGUUCCAAUGAAAUAAAACAGAUACAAGGGGUUCAACGAAAUUUUACAUAGGAGCCGUAAGAUGCGUUAGCUGUAUCUUAGGCGGACCCUUGUUAUAAAAUUGUGAGUUUAACCCUUUUUGCACACCUGGAAACAAGCCUACAAAAUCUACAAACGAGAUAUGUGUAAUAGCAUAUUUGGCCUCCCAAAUGCAAGACACAAAUGCGAUUGUGUGACCCUUUAGAAAAACAAUUCCAAGAAGCAAUCUUGAAGUAAUAAAUAAAUAUUAUUUUCUUAGAAAAAGUAUAAUAAUUAAAAUUUAAAAUUAUUUAGUUGAUUCACUAGUCACUAGUGAAAUCUUGUCAAGUUAGCAAGAAACAAAAAGCAAAAAGUCGAGCAGACUUGUUUCUAUCAUCAUUAAGUCGUUUUCUUUGUCUUUCCAAAUGGCCGAAACAUAUUUUUUUCUAAUAAAUAAAACAAUCCUCAUUUUAUUUGAAAAUAAAAUAUUGUUGUCACCCACCAAGGACUGUGAUUACAUACCCACCAAUCAAAUUAUUGCUUCAAUUAUGAAAAUUAAUGACACCUGGCAAGUUUCAUUACAUUGCAAAAACAAAAGCAACUCUCAUCAUCGCAAAUAAAUAAUAGGGGGUUUUUUGCCAACCAAUAUAGAAAAUCAUGAAAAUUGGAAUCAAUUAUUUUUUUUAUGGACCAAGCAUAUUAAUGUAUUGAUUGAUAUCUCUUAAAUGAUUCGUUUUAUUUUGUUUUUAAUCUUUUUGCUUUGUCCCUUCCACAAAGAUUUGAUUCGGGAUAAACAAAUAAUUAAAUUUGGUAAUCCCUUUUUUUUUUAAGAAUGUAUAGGAAGAGCAACUAUAUUAUUCAAAAAUUUAUAAUAGAAAAGCUUAAUAUAAAAGAACCAAAUAACUAAAUUAUAAUAGAACCUCAAUAAAUUAAUAUUCAAUAAAGUAAUAAUUUCGAUUAAAUAAUAGCUUUUACUGGUUCUGGUUUGCAAUUAACAUAGUAAAUUAAUAAUUUGAUAAAUUUGUAAGAUAUUUUUUUUAAAAAAAAAGACUACUACCAAAGACAGCUAAUUAUUCAAAUUAAACAUAAUAAAUACUAAAUCAAGGUAAAUACAUGCUAUAAACGUGAUCAUAUUUUUCAAAAGGAUAAAUACUUAUUUAGCCCUUUUUAUUUUAAUUUAAUAUUUAUUUAGUCUACAUAUUUUGAAAUAUACCUCAAAAUACCUUACUAUUAAAUAUAUUAUAUUGUUAUCCCUACUUUUUCUUUACUUUUACAAUAAUUCCGUUGCAGCAAUAAUUUUGACAUUAAUCUUUUAAUCUAUAAAAAAAUUAAUUAGCAAAUUAACGAAUAAUUACUUAUUCACAAAUUAAAAAAUAAAGAUCACUAUGAAACAGGUAGUAUUUUUCAUACCCUUGCAAUAAUGUUGCUAAUUAUUAUUUAUAAAUAAAUUAAUACUAGUCAAUUGAAAGUAAUGUUUAAUACCCUUGCAACAAUUUGUAAAAAAAUUUUGUAAGAAUUAAUUUACUAAAUUAAUCCAAAAAGUUCAAUAAUAGCAACUAUUUUUUAUUUUACUUUCAUUAAUAUCUCCAAGAAUAUUGUUGCAGGGGCAUUAUUGUGAAAAAGCAAAGAAAAUUUGAGAGUGUGAUUUUAAUAUAAUUAUUAGAAGGGCAUCUUGAAAUAUUUUUUAAAAUAUCGGGACUAAACAAUACUUAACUCAAAAUAUAAGUACUAAACAAGCAUUUGUCUUUUUAAAAAAUAAGGAACUUAUUCAUUAAUUAAUAAUUUAUUAAUUUAUUGAUAUAUUAAUAUUUGUUAAAUUAAUAGAUUUUCAUGGUCCCAAUACUGUUAAUUUAUCAAGAUUUUACUGUUGUUAUUGCAAACUUGACAACACCUAACAUAUAGGUAAAAUAAAUUCUUCAGAUACAAAUCAUAAAUUUUAUAAUUUCUCAUCAAGAAAACACAAUACACGAGACUUGAAAUCAACAAUUUUAUUAUAAUAAUAGAAGGUUGAUACGAUUGUUCCAAUUAUUCAUCUGAUUGAGUCAUUGAUGAAUGUAUGAUUUUGUAACGCAUUAGAGCAUCCCAUCAAUAAGUGGACCUAAGUCCGAUUUCUCCAAUUCUCAUCUUAUUGACCAAUUUGUGCAUAUAUGCAGAAAUCUCAUUAUUACAGUGGAUUUUGAAUAUAAAAAAAUUGUAUCAAGUAAAAUAUGUAUUUUAGCUUUCUUGUGUUAAAAAUUUGGUUGGUAAACAUAUACAAUUUUGACAAAAGAACUUGCACAUUAAUUAUUAAAGGAAAUUGAUAUUGGAGACAAUGUCAACAAAGGGCAAGAGAAAGAUCACUCUUGCUGCCAUUUUUGUCACCCAUAUUUUGUAUAAAAUAAAAAACAAGAAGUGAUAAUAAAAAUGACAAUAGGAGGUGUCAUUCUAAUAUCACUCAUUUUUUAGUUCUCAUUAGUUUUUGGAAAUGGGUUUUGCUUUUUCAAAAUGAUUUUUUCUUUUCAUUUUCUGAAUUAGUAAAUGAAGAACUUUUUUUUUAAUAGUCAACAAAAAAAUUAAUCCUGAACUUCUCAUCGUGGAAAGUAACAAGACUACGAGAGAGAGCAUCAAAACCUUUUCUUAUUCUUGACUUAAUGGUAUACAGUAAAUAAAAAGCUAUGUACUACCAAAAAUGAUAUUUCAUACCAAAAGUGAUAACGUCACGAUAAGAUUGACAAGAAUGUGCCCACGUAAAUCAAACUGCGGGAGUUUUAGAGAAUUAUCAUAUACCUCCCUCAAAAUUUGCUAAAAUUUCUCUUAAAAAAUAAGAUUAAAUAAAUAAGCUGAUCAUGUCAGUACUAAUGCAUUGAAUUUUAAUAAAAUUCUAUAAUUAAGUGUGUUUAAUUAAGUAAGAGCAUCAUUAAGAUGGUAACCUAUUGGGACUCAACAUGCAUGCUAUAUCAUAUCCCUCUUUUAUUCUAGUGUUAACUCACGGUUUGUAUUGUUUGAUAGAAUCAAAAGCAUUUUGAUGACUUAGAAUGAAAAUAAUUUAAAAAAUAAAAAUUUUCAUAUUAAGAAAUGUGUAAAUAUUAAGUUAAACUACCCUUUCAUUUUUUUUAAUAAAUUAAUCACAUUCUCAAUAAGAAUUGAAUGUUUGAAUAAGAGUGAUUUAUUUUUUAUUUUUUAUGAAGUAUUCCCUCUAAGUACAAGUAGUAAUAUUAGUAUCCUCAAUACUUCCAUAACUCACGCAUUAAGGUAAAAAGGUAUGAUAAAAACAUAUAAUAUGACAUUUUACAUAAAUUCAAACUUGUUAGCAUGUCAUAUUGGCUUUAAUUUAUCAUCACAUGUGCUUAAAUUGAAAAUAAUUGAAGUUAUUAAUUAUAUGAUUGUGCUUAGAUGUUAUGAAGUAUGUUUGCUUGUUUCUUUUUUACCAUUGCUCAUUGAAAAAAAAAAAAAAAGAGUCCAUUUUGUGGUUCUGUUUGGCCCCAUUAUUUCAUGAUCUUAAAUUGUUUGUUCAUAUGACAAUUUUUUUUUUCAAAAGGGCAGUGGUGAGAUAUCAAAUUGAUUUUUCAAUCCUUACUUCUCUCAAGUGGGUGCCGACUAAGUAAAUUUACUUUAAAAUCACUUAAUCAAGCUCCUACGAGCCUCUUUUGUCUAAUAAAAAACUUGACUCUUUGAUCAUAAACGAAGGUGAAAUGUGCAAGUGUAUACUUGGGUAAUGAUCCAAAUAAUGAAGUAAACUUUGCUUACAUAUGGUUAGGACUUUUUAAAGGAAGUGUUUUAGUCUUUGUCAUAUUCUUUGCUAGUUCAUCAAAUUCUAUCAAACGCAACAAAAUGUUAAUUAAAACUAGGGGAUGCCUCGACCUUUUCAUAAAAUUUUGCUCUUUAGCUAAAGUUUUGAUAAAAUGGGGGAGGUGUGUCAUAAUUCACCAGAGUUUUGAGGCAUGUUGAACAGCAUAAUUUGAAUCUGUUAAAAAAAAUUAUAUGUAUAGGGGUGCACAAGUAUUUUUAAAAUUGUUGAUUAUUCUCAUUUAUGAUUUUGUCCUUGAUGAUUUUAUUACAUACCGAAAACCCCAUCUAGAUUGUAAUGUUCCAAAGAGCAAAAAAUCAGAAAGUGGAAAAAAGAGAGGUCUAGUAGAUGCCAUGUUCAGUAAUCCAACAAACAAGAAAAAGGUGAGUUGGAAGAAGGAAAUUGAGGGAAAGAAGAUGUUUAUUUUAAGUGAAGCAAUAAAAAAAAAGGCACAGAGAGAGAGAGAGAGAGAGAGAGAGAGAGAAAAACUAGGAACGCAAAAUAAAAUUAAAAAAAAGAAAAAAAUGAGAAAAAAGCUGCAAAUGGGGUCAUUGUCAAAAGGUGUGAUGGUGGCAUAUAAAGGAUCUAUCUCUAUCUAUCUAUCAAAAGCAUCUAGUGACUAUUUCUUCAACUGUGUAACCGAGGGGUUCUUCCAACAUUUUUAAGUCCUAACUAGUAGUAAAAUUCUAAAGACACCAAAAUUACAUUAACAAUAAUGACAAAUAUAUAAGGCAAGAAAUGUUCCGUCGCUAAUUAAUUUUUAAUCUUUUUAUUUGACUAGUAAUUUGAUUUUUGGAGGAAAAUGAAAACAUCAAAAAUUAUAUUUAAACUCUGUCUACUUUAUUAAUAUUUUAAAAUAAAUAAUUUAAUAAGUGACAUUAUUUAUAUUAUAAUAUAUAUUAUAUUAAGAACACGUGUUCAUUUUUAGACGGGAAAUGAUUUUCAUCUAAUAAAGAUGACAUAUAUAAAUAAAUAAAUUUAUCAUUAUACGCAAAUUGCAAUAAGACCCUUACCAUCACGUCAUUUUAAGUGUAUCUAAUAAUUGAGUAUAGAGAGCCUUGUUGCAAUUUUAAAUUAAUGAAAUUAACAUAUAAUCAAUGAAAAUAAAAGGGUAGAUAAUUGGGUUGGGUUGAAAUUUUUAUUCCUUUUGUAUUUUUUUUUAAUUAAUAUUGUAAGGGGGUGAGUAGUACAAGAAUAGCAGAAGAGGCAGUGAUGAGAUCACAGGUACUUUAAUCUCUUUUCUGACCAAACACUGCAACACUUAAAACAGUUGCAUCAUCAAGGCCUCUUAUAGGCUAAAGAAAGAAUUCCUCUUCCCUAUAGACCUUCACAUCUUUACAUUUACUGUUACACCACCACCUCUCUAACUAGACUUUUGUGAUUGUGUCUCUUUCAUUUUGUUUUCUCUUAUCCAUCUAUAAAGAAAGAAAGGGGAAAAAAAUGAGAAUUAUUCAGAAAAUUUCCCGAGAAGACUCUUCUUGAAAUUGGUUGUUUUCUUUUCUAGUUGUUCUUUGUUCAUCUUUGGUCAAGUUGGUAUUUAGAAUUUACUGUCAGCACAAUAUCACUAUUUUGGUCACUGUACAGUACAUAAAGAGGCUCAAUUACCAAAACCUGAGUGUAGAGACUCAGUGAGAAGGGAAAGAGAUGGGUUAGGCUAAAAAUUGAGCUUGUUUCAGCUAGCCUUCUUGGGUUUCUGUCAUGGUUUUCAGUUUUUUAGGGGAGGUCUUUUUUGUUUUUUGUUUUUUGUUUUUGUUUUUGUGUUUUUUUUGAUUUUUUCCCCUUUUCACGGUGUUGUUGUUGGGGUGAUGGAAGUGGAAAUAUUGAAUGGCAGGGCCUUUUGGGAGAAGCAGCAUCAUCAGAAGAAACAGAAACAGAAGCAGAAGAAGCAGUUUUCAGUGUGGUGGCAGCUGCACAAGCAACAAGAGGAGAUUAGUAGUAAAGAACUAUCAAGAACAACAACUACCCACCAUUAAGCAGCAGCAAAAGUGCUUUUCAUUAAAAGCUGGAACAGAAAAAUCACUACAGCCUGACUCUGGAUCCUCAAAGGAAUCAUCAGCAUCAUCAUCAUCAUCACCACCAUCAAGAAGAAGAACAUCAUCAGUAUCGAAGACAUGUAGAAGAAGAAGAAGCAGAAGAAAAUUACAAUAAUCUUCCACGAGACCAACAUUUCAUCAAUUCAAGAUUAGGCUUAGAAUCACAACUUCUUCAUCAACAACAACCACACAAGAAACGCUCUUAUUUUCCUUCUUCAACUUCAUCAUCUUGUUCUUCAAUCCAAUAUGCAAGAAAAAUGGGGGAAUCUCACAAUCACGCAAUAACAUCGUCAAGACUGGGGAUAAGAAACACUGGAGGGGAGAUCGUUGAGGUCCAAGGAGGUCACAUUGUUCGUUCAACUGGGAGAAAAGAUCGCCACAGCAAAGUUUGCACUGCAAAAGGCCCAAGAGACCGCCGUGUUCGCCUCUCAGCUCACACAGCCAUUCAGUUCUAUGAUGUUCAAGACCGCCUUGGCUACGACCGCCCCAGUAAAGCAGUAGAUUGGCUCAUCAAGAAAGCCAAAGCUGCCAUUGAUGAGCUCGCCGAGUUGCCUCCUUGGAACCCGGGAACUGUUACCAAUACUAGAGCUUCUACAGCAAAAUCAAGGAAUGCUCAUCAUCAGCAGAGUGAAGCAAAUGAAGAGAGAAACUUUCAGUAUCCUGGUAGUUCAAAUGAUGUUCAGAAUCUUCCGAUGGUUGAAACCCCGAAUCAAAAUCAAAGCUCAAGCUUUCUUCCGCCAGCUUUAGACUCUGAUUCUAUUGCUGAUACAAUCAAGUCAUUCUUUCCAAUGGGUGCUUCAACUGAUACAACAGCCUCAUCAAUUCAGUUUCAAAACUACUCACCGGAUUUGCUUUCAAGAACUACUACAAGUCACAGCCAAGAUCUGAGGCUUUCUCUCCAGUCCUUUCAGGAGCCAAAUAGCAUUCUUUUACAGCACCGCCAACAACCUCACCCACAUCAUCAUGCUCAUUCUCAUUCUCAUCAGCAUCAGCAGCAGAAUGAGCAAGUUCAAGUCUUGUUCUCUGGAACCACACCACUUGGUGGCUAUGAUACAGCUUCUGCUGCUGCUUCAGCUUGGUCUGAGUCAGCAGAAAUGUCAAGAUUCCAGAGAAUGGUGGCUUGGAAUAGCGGUGGUGGUGCUGCAGAUGAUUCAGCUGGUAAUGCAAGUGGUGGUGGAUUUGUGUUUAAUUCGCAGCAGCCGCCGCCAGUGCAGCCGUUGUUCGGCCAAAACCAGUUGUUUCAUUCACAGAGGGGACCCCUUCAGUCCAGUAACACGCCUUCGGUUCGUGCUUGGAUAGACCAACCAAUUGGUCUUACCAAUGACCAUCGACAACAGCAUCAUCAUCACCUUCACCAUCAUCAAAUUCUACAACAGCCAGCAGUCCAUCAAUCUGUGAUAUCCGGCAUUGGAUUCGCCUCUCCUGUUGGUGAAUUCUCUGGAUUUCGCAUUCCAGCACGAAUCCAAGGCGAAGAUGAGGAACAUGACCAUGGCAUUCACAAUAGGCCAUCCUCUGCUUCCUCUGAUUCUCGCCAUUGAAAUCAGAUCGUUUUCCUCUCUAACAGGUCCUACUUUCAAUGCCAACUUGUUAAAUUUGUUCACUUUUUCUGUUCGUGCAUUAAUUUUAAUCAUCUUUCAGGACUUGUUGAUUGUUUUGUGUCACAUGGGAGCUGAUUUGAUGGAACUCAAUCAAGAGCAAGUGAAGAGAGGAGAUUUGGAGCAUUUUAAAUUCAAUGGCCUAAAACCGUGGGAAGAAGAAAAAUUCUGGAUGGAUUUCAAGUUUUUCAAUCCUUGGUUUGUUUUAACUUCUAUCAAGUUUAUGUUUGCAUCAUGAUUUGAAGUGAGCUCUUGAAGCUCAACUUUGUUUAUUUUCUGUUGGUUUUGUUAUGUGUUCAAGUUAACAGACUUUUGAAUAUCAUUGAUGUUUGUCUUUGUAAUUUUAUAUUCUUCUGCUAUUGCUAUUUUACAAUUAAGAAGCAAACUCUGGUUUGUUUUAGGGUUGAUUUGAUAGUUGAUAUUUUGCCCAAUCAGAGCAAACCCAAUCCGAGGAGUAUGGCACCGUUGCAAAAUUCUCAUGAAUAUAGUUGCUACUAAUCAACUAAUAUAGAAAAUUUCACGGUAUUCUCACUUGACUCAAAUCUUAUGUUAUUUAUUUUCUACGGUAACGGUUACAAAUUGAUAGAAGCAGAUUAGGUUCCUUUUCUUUGUUUAGAAAUGGUCCAUUUCUUACUGGGUGAAAGAGAGAGUUUUUGUUUGUGAUUGUUUUUGUUGCUUUACUGCUUUCUAAUUGAACACUCUCAUGCCCCAACAGCUUCUUUAAACCUGCAAAAAGAAUUGAAAGAAUAGUGGUCUUUAACAUCUCCAUCAUGCCUCUGGUUUUGGGAGCAUUAACCGAGAAGUCAUUUUCUAUGAACAGUAGAGGUUAGAGUUGAAGGAGUGGAUUAGGCUUUACAUGUCAUGUGAUUGCUUGUAUCAUAUGCCUAUUUAUUGCUUGCUGCAAUUUUAGCAUCUACCUUAUUUGUCCAAGUUGAAUGUUGGGUAUGCUUUCAAUCAAAAUUUCAAGCGGUUAAUUUCAGUAACAUAAUAUCAAUCUCGGUAGAAGCCCAGCUACCAAAUUUUGUAGAAUCCGAAUUGUUUUAUAGGGCCUAAUAGUAGAAGUUUAGUCCUAUUUCAAGUACAAGGCUUUUAGAAUUGUGAUGCAAAGACAACACAUUAUAUACUUCAUUUGCAUGUCCUAUAAUUUAGUUUAGUAUAUCAGGUUGCUGAGGAAUCUUAGGUCAUGGUCUCGUAAUCAAUGAGCAAGUUAGAUAAAUUUAGAAGGUAAUGCCAAGUGGGGCUGCCUAGAGUACAUCCGCUGAAGGAACCAUGAAAGAGGAAUGGGAUGAGCACAACAAGUUCAAUAAUAGAAAGAAUACACAGAUGGAUACCACCAAAAUUUGAUACUUUAGCCAUCUGUAAAAUGGUCCCCCUACCCUGUAAAUCUCAGUGCAUAAUAAAAAUCUAUCAAUGUCUAGCUGGAAACUUUUAUUUUUGUAGGAGAAAAAAAAAAAAGAAAAAGGAUAUAGAGAGAAAAAAAAAAUCAUAGCUUAAACACUGCAGAUAGUGACGUUUGCUUUAUGGUUGUUGAUACUUCUUAAUGGUUGGUUGAUGGGUGUUACUCCAAUGGCCUUGCUGAUUACAUAAACUAUGCAGGAGAUUUCUCUCUUUUUUUUUUAAUAAAUGAAUGCUCAUUAACUGAGGAAAUUGAGCAAUAACCAGUACUUUUUGGCAACAACAGGGCCCAUGUUAGUUGCUCACCAUAUUUAUUGCAUCUUCAGCGAGAGCAAAGCAUAAAAUAUUGACCUUUGGCUAUGAUAAUAUGCUCUUUUCUGCAUAAAGUAAAAAAAGGAAAAAUAUUGCAGAGACCAUGAAGAAUUAUAUAUGAUAACCUUGUUGAAUGUUGUUCAAUCAAGUGUAGACACAGAAUAAGUUUUUCUAUAUAUAAAAUUUCAAUUGCUUUAUAGCUCCGAUAGACCUAGAGUCACCCAUUGUAUAUGUAUUCCCAUUUUAUUAUUUGGAUUCUCCUUGUUGAAAGUACAGCCAACUUUGUCCUGAUUAAAAAAUCAAAAUCAUUGAGAUUCAGCAUUUUCCCUCAUCGGCUUCACGACAUGCACAACAAUCCAUAAAUGACAACCUUGUUUUCAAAGGCAAUAAAAAAUUACACAUCCAUUCUCAUACAUACAUACAUAUGUGUGUGUUUUCUCUUAUUUUACACACUUCAUAUCAUGUUCACACCAACUCAACAGACCAAAAUCACAACAACAAGUACAGAAUGUAGCCUAUAAAAAAUUCAUGUCACUCAACUGCCAAGUUGAUGCUAUGUGGGGGUGAUUUUUUCGCUUUUGUAGUUUUAUUACCAUUUGGUGUAGCUGAAACUGAGACUUUUAACUCAAGCUGGUUUGCAAAUUUAUCAGCAUUGCUCACUUGCUUGCCUUUAAUUUUCUUGGUUGGCUUCGCAUUAACUCUAACCUCCCAAGGCCGAGCAGCAAUCCAUCGUUCCAUCCAGCUCCAGCCCCAGUUGUCCUUGCAAAUACUGUAAUAAGCCUGUCCUAGAUACUGGCUCGAGUUUGCCCUCCACUGCAAACAUUUUUACAGAUGCAUAAAUCUUAACACAAACACAAGUAUUAGAUCUAGAUUUUGAUAUUAAGAUGGUAAUGAUAUUAAUAGCAGGUAAACCUGGUGAGAGAAUGCAUAUGCCAUGGCUCGUUCACGCUUAAUUGCUGCUUCUUCUCUCUGCUGUAUUCUCGAAAGAAUUUCCUCCAUAGUUUCGGAACCAUUGUGCCAUUCAACCUAUUGGGAAAAGUUAAUACAGCCAAGGGCAUUAGAUUCUUCUAGUGUAACUAACUCAUUUGAUCGAUAGAUGAGUAAUUGAUGAAACUAUGAAUGGGGUUGGUUUACAAGUUUUAACAGGCAUUAGUAUUUAGUUAGUACCUCCAAAUCAUGAAGCUUGGCCUCUAGUUUCAACUGAUUUUCCAGUUUCUUGUGCUUAAUCCGACCUUCAGUGACCAUGCAAAGUCUGCGGUUUCUAAUUUGUGUCUGGAUAUUGCACCAUGAAUGUAUAUUGUUAAUUGCACUUGAUGUUUGCUUCUGAACAGAGUGGUCUUGAAUCAAGAUGUUAAAUCUCCCCGUCCCCCUAAGACGCCGGAUUGAUUUUCUUGCCUGCAAAAAUCAGAAACAAAAGACGGUAACAUAAUCUAUAACCCAAAAGAUCAAAAGACUACUUUUGGUGUCUUCACAUUGUUACUAAUUAUUAAGAAGAUAGAGUGCCGAAUAUUUUCUGGAAUGCUGCCCCGUAAAUGCCAAAAUUUGACAGAACGUACUCUGUAAGCCCGGAAAGCUUUCUGAAUCCGAGUGGCGGCUCUUUCUUCGACUGAAAUUCUGAGAAAACCAGGGUUAAUAUGUGGAUCUGAACCACCAUUGGUAUUGGCAUUGGCAUUCCCACUUGAUUCGCUGGGAGACUCAUUGGAGUCAUUUGAUUUUUCAGUAGCUGACUGCACCUGUUUCAGUUUCCAUCCAGAUCAAAUGAUAAUUGAACUCCCAGCUGUGCAGAAUUAAUAAAAACAUACAGAAGAUCUACCUUUCCUUGUUUGGAUCUGUCUUGUUUCCCCUUUUUUAGGCAAAUUAUUGAUCUAAACCAGUGCCCUGAACCCAUUUAUACUGAGUUGCUGAAGAGACUAGAACAAACCUGAUACAUUAUUUAGAUUGCGUUUUAGAUGUAAGCUAAGAAUUAAGAAAAAAGGUGGCAUCAACAAAAGGCAAAAACAAGAACUAAAUGCAAAGGCGUCUCGAAUCAGUUGCACCAUGCAUCAAUUGUUGAAUAGAAACUAGCAAUGUUGCUAAAGAAAAUGCACAUUACCAUAUACCAAUUCAACAAAUCAUUCAUACAAGAUAAGCACUAUACUUUGAAUAUUUGAUCUGAUGACAAGUAAAAAAUUGAAAGAAAUGAACAUACAAGAAAAGAAGAUGCACAUGUUCUCGGCAGUGGCAAGUGUUUGGGGAAAAAUGAUUGUAGAUUGCAUGAAUGAUGGGCAAGUGUUUGUGGUAGUAAUAAGAAAUUGUCGUAGAUUGCAAGAAAAGUCACAGAGUGAGUGUGUGAUAUGCUUGUAAUGGGGUAAUUAUGGCUUCAUUUCACCAUAUGCAAGAUCAAACUGACUUUUCAACUAAACUGAAGCUGUUGUUUAAUCUUUUGGACGAUCAACUGUCAUCAUCACUAGAAAAUGAAUAAAAAUAAUUAAAGUAUGUGAUAGUUUUAAACAAAUUAAUGGGUGUCGUUUCCAUCAGAAUAUGCAAAACAGCGUAUACCUUCAAUGUAAACAUGGUCCUGGUCCCGGCGGGGUUCGAACCCGCGACCUUCGGCUCAUAAGACCAACGCUCUAACCAACUGAGCUACGGGACCGUGCACGAAGGAUUGUUUCUUGUUUGUACCACAGAUAUUGAUAACUAUAAUAUCUUCGAAUCUAUGUUGGACCCUUCGAAGGAUUAAUCAUCUAUACCGCUCGGAGGGGAGAGAGAUAUCAAAAUAUUCGUAAAAGUGAGAAGAAAAUGCAGAAGAAUUUUUAAUGAUGUCAUAAUUCUAUAUUCACCGGAAUUGUGUGUAUAUAUAUAUAUACACACACGAUACAUAUUUCAUGUUAAACAAUAUUACCAUAAAGGAUUUUAGGACAAAUAGGUAAGUGAACUGCUGCUCUCACAUCUAUUGAAAUAUGAGAACUCAAUUUCUCCCUCAAUUAAAGAAUGAUUGAGUGGAGAAAAUUUGCAGUCUUUCUCCUUUACGAAAUGUGAGUGCAGUAGGCAUUCUUUAAAUAUUAGUAAGGAUAGAAAAUCUAAGUAGUGCUCUUUAAGAUUUAAUGUAAACUAAUAGAAGACUGUAGUUGUUUGAUUGUAAAUAUCAAUAGUUAUCUAAUGUAAUAUCAAUUGUAAAUAUCUGAUAUAAUAUCAAUUGUAUUAUAGUAUUAAAAAAAAAAAGAGACACACAGGGAAGAAUAAAUUACGAAGGUUACACUUAAAAAAAAUGAUAAAUAUCUUCAAACACCUCGCUAAUUAAUUCGGUAAAACAGAGUCUCUUUAGACCCAAAAUAGGAGAUAUGGGGUGAUAGAAUAUUGAAAGAGUGAGGGUUGUCAUUCUAGAUAGAGUUUUGUGCAUUUUAUAAAUUAGAAAAACUCUAUUUGAAAUGGAAAUACCAAGCAAAAUCUUAACACAAACCAUAAGUAUGCAACAAGACCAUGCUCAAAUCAGAAUGACAAAAAUAGUUGCUUCAACUUAAAUGAAAACAACUCUAAUCCAUAUAUAAAAGCCUAAAGAAAGAACUCUAGUUGACCAAGCCCUUCAUCUAGUUGAUUAUAAUUGACCAAAAUCACAAUUUUUAGUACACUUUAGUUUGGUAUAUACCUAUAUCAUAUUUUUGGUAAUCUACAAUGGUCAUAUCCUUCCUUACUAGUAAAUACCUCCUUAUAUUAAGCUUAAACAUAUCCCUUGGCCUUGAGUUUGAGAAAACUCUACUUUCAUUUCUCUCAUUCUCCCUAAAACUCGAUAGUUUCUUUGUUAUUGUUAUUAUUAAGUUUUGAGCUAAUUUCUUGUAUCAAAAUAACCAUUGGUGUUCAAGCAGGAUACUUAAGGUGUGGACAUAGGCAGGAUUGGUGAACUAUUAAAUAUGGCUCAUAUUCCUACUCUCCUUCUUCCUUCUCUCUUUUCAAUUUAUAUAGAAGUUCAUAAUUCUAACUUACACUAAAAGUCAGCUCAUGAGUUGAGGAUUGUCUCAUGCUUAUAUUGUUAGUCUAGUAAAUAUUCUUAGCUGAUGUGGGAUAGACUAGUCGUUUUGACUUGGUCGUUGUCACGUGGAAAGAUAGUGCGAGCCUACUCAUACACGAGUCUAACUUUGAUAUAUGAUAGAUGUUAAGAACUAAUAAAGUUCACUCAUAUUAAUUCUUGAUGGCUCAAAGGCCUUUUUAUAUAAGAAUUUCAAAAACAUAAAAGGAAAAUAAUUAGAUAUUCUAAACGAGGGAUUCAUCUUCGAAAUCAUGCAUAAUCAUCUUGAUGCUUUCUAUUUGUGUAUGAUAUAACAGCCUUGAUUAUUGUCAUAAGUGUACGUCAUAAAGGUCUUGAUCCUUGUCAUAUGCACCGCAUCACAUUAUGGUUUUGAUUCUUAUUAUGUAUGCACUAACACGAUGUGAUUCUUAUCACUAUACAUGUUCUUCAAUCUUUAUUUUCCUGCCCUUUAUUUUUAAGUUGUUUUCUAUUACUUUUUGACAUUGUUUAUAUAUUCUUGAAAUUCGUUUGGUAAAAUAUGCCUAAUUAUCUAAUAAUUAAAAGGGCAUUUGGGUAGUUUUAGUUGUAUGUAGAGAAAAUUUGAUGUUGAAGAGGAACAAAAAUUAAGGAUUUUUUUAAGGGUGGGCUUUUAUUUUUUGCCCAAUUGAUAUUGUAUACAAACUUGCUAGGAAUUUAAAUAAAGUGUUGUAUAUAUAUAUAUAUUGAGUGCUGGAGAAUGUAUAUUUAUAAAAGGUAAAAUUGUCUGCUUACACUCCAAGUCUCAUUAACAUUGCUACUUUUAUGUAUUUAAAUCCUUUAAACUCUGAUUGUGUGUGUUUUGUUAUAAUUUGAGUAUUUUGUGUAUUUUAUAGUUGUUGAUAAAUUUUAUAAUCAAUUGCUACUAAUGCCAAUGUGCAAGUAUACACAACAAGUAAUAAAGUGAUGAAUAUUCAAGAUCGUCUCCACAUGGAUUGAUGUUACUCGAAAUGCUAUAGCAAUCACAAUAGUGCAGACCAACUUAAGUCCGAAGUUAACAAACAUAAAAUGAGUUAUAUUGUAAUUGAUGAUUGUGAGAGAAUAAAGUAAAACAAUACCGUAAUGAAAUAAACUAAAUUAAAUGUGUCUAAGAUCCAAUUAAGAUUAUGGUAGUUGAAUGAUCAAACUCUCCUUAUGCGCUGACUGUUUUUCAUCAAGUUAACUCCGGUUGUUACGGCAAGUGCUGCAGCACUGGGCAGAAUUAAUCUGCAUCCUCAACUAUCCCAUAUUGGAACUCUCAUACCCUUAAAUACACUAGCAAUGACCAGUUGCUAAUCUACUCAUGAUAUGACUUUAUGACCCUUUUAGUCUCUUCACCCUACAAGGUGAUCACCUAUGUCUAGUGUGUCACAAAUCUUAACUUCAAGUAUUGCCCUUAUGGGAUUCAAGAUAACUUAAUCCAGGAAACUUAACUUAAGAUCAAGUAAUACUCUAAUAAUAUCUACUAAGACAUGUCAUUUUGCUGCUCUAUCUUAACUGGAACUAUUAAAUGAGUGGUCAACCGAAAUAACAGUUAUAUUAAUAAUAACUACUAGAGUAAAGUGCUACAACAAUGACAUAACAAUACAUAAGAACAGUCAAGAACCCAUUGGAUUGUUUGUCACUCAACUACAAGCAAAUCUAGUUCAUAUUCUGAAUGAGAAAAAUAAACAUAAAUUUAUUGUUCACGGGAUACAUCCGAACAAUCAAAGAAAGAAGAAAAGUAAAAGUUAAGAACAGUAAAAAGCAAAUCCAAAUAACUCUGCUGGAAGUCUCAAUUUUGCUAAAGCCGUCUCCUUUUGUUUCGAUCUUCUUCUCCUCUUUUCUCUAAUGUAUUAAUGAUAAUCCCUUUGCCGCCUUUCUAUGUGGUGCGCGCCCCCCUUUUAUACUACAAAGUAGGGUAAACAAAAGUCCGUGAGCGUGCAUGAGUUAAAUUAGGAAACAUGCAGAUCGCGAUUCUGCAGUUGGUCCGCGCCUAAGUUUUCUCCCUCAUUGCUCCCAGAUUGCUACAGCACUGGUUGCUCUAACAACAGCUACAACAUUGCACUGUUCCCGAUUGUGCUUUACUUCUUUUGUAGCCAUCUUCUUUCCUCCUCUUGCUAAUCUAAUGUCUCAGCAUCCCUUCCUGAAUUAAGACUUUUUGAAAACCUGCAAUUAUGCACCUGUUUUGAGCACAAAUUACUUUGAUUCAAGCAAAACUUAUUAAAACUCAACUAAAAUGAAUGUUUUUGCAAAAUAUAACCAAAAUGUAAUAAAAACACCUUAUUUGUUCUCUAAGUAUCUUGAUUUAAGUCUAGAAUUGAUGUAAUAACUUUCAUUUCAUAGAGUUAUCACACCCCCAAACUUAAACCAUUACUUGUCCUAAAGUAAUGACAACAUACUAACACUUUACGCAAACAAUCAUGCAACACAACUUUAGCUCUUUUAUUAAAUUUGCAAGGAUUCUUCCACCUUCAGAUCACAAUCCCAAUCAUGCAAAGUGACCAUAGUAAAUCAGUUCUAGACUUAAGCUUCUUUCUGUCCAUAGUGUGUGUGUGCUACUUUGAUUGAAUUCCAGAGAUGCUAUAACAUUACCAAGAGAUUGCAUGUAAGUCAGCAGUAACAAAAUUUCAUUCAUAUAUGGGGUAGCAUAAUUUUCACAUACUCAAACUGUGAUGAUUUUAAGAUUGAAAAUUGGAGAGUAUUCAACCUCCUCACUGCAACAUUUAUUUUUCAUGUGAAUGUUAAUCAAUUGUAAUGAUGACACCUAAUUACUCAAACCAUGCCCAGGUCAGGGUUGUUGUACCAAUAUUUGCAAUAUAAUCUUACCUAGAGAUAUCUUUUACUCAAGGCUGAACAUGAGGCUCAUGAACAGACCUGGCUACUCAAUGCCUUAGACAUAAGACUUCUUCUUUUUUUUUUUUAAAUGCUACAGCAGUGCUCAUAACUCUUGCUACAUUUGAACACAAUUCUGCAUAUGGGGUACAUACUCAGAUAUGGUUACUCAGCAACUUGAGCCAUUAGAACAGAGUUUAUUUCAUAGAUAUCACAGUCGAUCAAACUUGCUUUCCCCCCCAAACUUAAGAUAUUUUCUAUUCUUUUGGCUCUGCUCUAGCAGUCUCAUACAAUUCAACCAAAGUCUAAGUGUCGGGACAAAAUUUCAACCUCCAUCUAUAACUAUCUCUACUUGGCAUUCUUAUAAAUACUGAAUAACACUUAAUUUAUCUUCAUUAGGUUUUCAAAUCCAUAUACAAAUAUUAGAUAACAGAGCUUCAUACAACACACAAACAUAAACCCAUGCACUCAGAAACACAACACCCCCAAACUUGAGAAUUGCUGUGUCCUCACAAGUAUACAUAACAAAGUCACACAAGUUGACAAGGACAUAGAAUACCUUAGAAAAUACCACACAAAUGGAAAAACAGAAUGAAAGAAAAGUUUUUUUUAUUUAACAUGAAAUAAAUUGACUAGCAAGGAGGGAAUACUUCCCUGUGGCUGGUAUUGCUGCAAUAUGACGAGCGGACAUCAGCACUUCUUGGAUGCACUGCGCAGCUUAUCCUUUGGUGAAACUUGUGGGGAAGUAGCUGACAACGUCUUUGUCUUUUUCUUCAUGGGGCUGGUGAGAGGAGUUGUGGCUGGGGUAGCUUGCGUGAUUGCCAUUGAUAUGGUCUGUUUUGUUUAUGUCGAGGCUGCUGCAGCAAUGCCUCUAGACGUACUGCCCUUUCUUUUGCUGGAUUAUCGCGGAUUGGUACGAAAAGAUUGGCUAGGAGUUUGCUGUGGAGGAGUUAGAGUGGAUGCAUUAGCUGCCUGGCCCUCAGCUGUGAUGGCGGCAAUGAUAUCAAGUAGUUGCUUGGCUUCUGCAGUUGUAGGCGUAACUCUGGUUGCUGCAGCAGCCAACUCUGUGUCGACUUGCUCCAUUUUAUCUUCAAAGGCUGGAGGUGUUGCUAUUUUUACCUUGCCCUUGCCUUGCUUGCAAGGACUGGAAUAGCGGUUUCUUCUUCAGGGUCCUCUUCUUCCUCUUCUUGAAUAAUGUGCCUUUUCCUGAUUUUGGAAUGGGUCUGGAUGGAGGGUUCCUCACGUUCUUUUUCAAAGUCGUCAUCUGCCUCUGUGGGUGAGCUGUCAGUCGCAGACUUGUCACCUUCUUCCUCAGAUUGAUCAGAUAGGUCAGCAUCUUCUGAUUUUACCUAUACUUGUGGUUCGGUUGCAGCUUCUGCUUCUGGUUCAUCUGUGGUAGUGGCUUCUUCAUUGGCUUCUGCUGGAGCACCUGUGGUAUUGGUGUUAAAAUUGUACUGCUGGAGUAAUGAAUCAGGGAAGUUCCGGUGAGUGCUUUUCAUGUAAAGAGCAAAUUGGUGUAGUUAGUUGUUCAGGUGUUGUAGAUAGCUCCAAAAUUGAUCGUUUUCCCUCUACUGAGCCUCAGCACAUUGAGUUAUAUUGGUGCUUAGCCCCUGGAUUGUUUGUUCUAAACCAAUAGCUCGUCUUGCUCCUGUUACAGCAGCUGGUUCAGUUGUUGUUCUAACACUCUCACCAGUAACUCUUCAAUGGUACGUGCUGUAAAGGCACCAUCAUUCUUGACAUGUUCAUCUUUUGCGUCAAGACGAACACCGGAUACGACACAAAUACUGGUGAUGAGUGAAAGAAAUAGCAAGGCAGCAGUUUUGUGGGUCUUUACUGCACAAUCUCUGAUUUUUUUUUCGAUUAUGCUACCCACAUCUAUGGGAAGCCCUCAAACAAUGACAUAUAACAAAACCAACCUUUCUUGUGAAACCGUAGUAGUGUGAGUGGUUGGCAUAAGCCUAGAUUUCAGAAAUUUCACCCACACCUUAGCAAUACGUUUCAAAUCUAUCCUAUUAACUACACGCCCUUCCUCAUUAGCCCAUGAUGCUCCUUCUAUUGUAAGAGUUGUGAAGAUGGUGUUCCAUUUUUUCUGGGUCAAUUUAUCAAGCAACUUGGCAUACUCACAAUUAAUUUCCGCAGGUAAAUCAUAAAAAGCAUUUAUAACGCGGGAGUCUAAUGGAACAAGUGUGUUUCUUACCAAAAUGUGUGCUGAUCAAGGCUUACCAAAUUGGCAUAAAAUUCCUUGACUACUGGUAGCACAGGAUCUCGAGGGUGGUUGCAAAACUCUAACCAUCCAUGCUUUUCUGCAGCAUUGUGUAUUGUUUGCACAAUUCCGGUGAGUUGUUCUGGAAAUUGAAACCCUUUUUCUUCCAAAAUCGUUCGCGGCUCAAUGAAUUCUUCAUAUUUUUCUUCGGCGUGGUAAAUUUGGAAGCGUGAAGGAUCUUUGAGUCGGCUGGCUGUUUUCUUAUACCUUGGCAUGGCUAUAGCAGUAACAAAGUGAGGAUAAUGUCCCUGAGAGUAAAAAGAGAAGAUGAAGGUAAGAAUUAUUAGAGUUGUGCUUGCGAAAGAGAGGGGGAAUAGUGCCGUAGGUCACUACACACAGUGAUUCCCUUUUAUAGUUGAAUUUAAAUGAAGAUAAAUCCGGUAAAUAAAGAUAAAUUAGGAAGAGAAUAUUUUGAAUAUAAUGAGUAUAUCCCAAAAACAUAGGCCAUCGAAAUUAAUGCAUUAAUUUUGGAGAUUUUUUCUCAAUUGCUAUCCAAAUCCAUGCAGCCAUCUGUCAUGAUUUAUCUCCAACGGUAAGUGAGAGGCUCCAAUUUUAAUUUACUGUAACGGUAAUAUUGGUUGCUGUAGCACCCAUUUGCUUGCUCUAGCAACGGUCAUAUACUCCACUCCAAUACCCUCUGACACGUGGCUUGCCUCUGCACUCUGUCACCAUACAACCCCACUUGUCAAAAUGGAAAUCAAAUGCCACUCAUACUUAUCACAAAAACUAAAACCAAUUCUAAAAAUAAUUAAAAAUAAAGAGAUCAAAUGAUAGCAAAAGUAAAGAAUGCAAUAAUGUGAAAAGAUAAAACUAAAUAACUUGAAUUGAAGAACAAAAUUAAAUAAAAUGGAAGAGAGGGAGAGCCGUCAACAAAACCAAAGAGGAUCAAACUUAGUUUGAGGUGGCUCUCUCUACAAUGGGCUGCCUCCCAUUGAGCGCUUGAUUUAAGGUCCUUCAGCCUGACCUUCUUUCACUGCUCAAUAGCUGGGUUCUUUAAGGAGUAAAACCUCAUUUGAACAAUCUACCGCUGGGUGUAUGUAAUGCUUAACCCUGUGUCCAUUAACUUUAAAUUCGUGACCUGUUUGUUCAUCUAGAAGAUCAAUAGCUCCAUGAGGAUAAAAUUUUAACAGCCUAAAAGGUCCAGACCAUCGUGAUUUUAGCUUUUUUAGAAAUAAUCUUAGUCUUGUAUUGUGGAGCAGCACUAGUUGACCAGGGCUGAAUUGCCUAUUUUGAAUAUGCUUGUCAUGCCAGUGUUUUGUCCUCUCUUUAUAGAUUCUCGCAUUUUCAUAUGAAAAUAGCCUUAAUUCGUCAAGCUCACAAAGUUGAAGCUUUCUUUGCUCUGGUGCAGCAUGAAUAUCCCAAUUUAAUUUCUUCAGUGCCCAGUGUGCUUUAUGCUCUAGCUCUAGUGGCAAGUGACAAGCCUUUCCAUAAACAAUUCGGUAAGGAGACAUGCCUAGUGGAGUUUUGUAUGCUGUUCUGUAUGCCCAUAGGGAGUCAUGUAAUUGCGACGACCAAUCCUUCCUUGUUGGGUUUACCACUUUUUCUAAGAUCUUUUUAAUUUCUCUAUUGGACACUUCGGCCUGACCAUUGGAUUGAAGGUGAUAUGCUAUUGCUACCUUGUGUCUGACUCCAUAUUUUACCAUAACUGCAGCAAAGACUUUGUUGCAAAAAUGAGUACCCUCAUCACUAAUAAUUGCUCUAGGAGUGCCAAACCUGGAGAAAAUGUUUUUUUGAAGAAAAGCCACCACUGUUUUAGCAUCAUUGGUAGGAAAUGCUGCAGUUUCUACCCACUUGGAGACAUAAUCCACAACAACAAUGAUAUAUAAGUUCCCAAAGAAUGGUGGGAAAGGUCCCAUGAAAUCUAUUCCCUAGACAUAAAAAACUUCCACUUCCAGAAUGUUAGUCAAUGGCAUUUUAUGUUUUUUAGUUAUGUUCCCUGUCCUUUGACACAUGUCAUAACAUUUAACAAAUUUAUAAGCAUCUUUAAAAAUAGUAGGCUAGUAAUAACCUGAUUGUAAAACUUUAGCAGCUGUUCUGUGACCACCAAAAUGUCCUCCAUAUGCUGCAGCAUGGCAUGACUCCAGUAUGUGGGGGAUUUCUCCUUCUGAAGCACAUCUUCGUAUUACUUGAUCUGAGCAUAACUUAUAUAAAUGUGGAUCAUCCUACUGAUAAUUUCUGACAUCAUGAAGAAAAUUUUUUUUUCUCCUGAAACUUCAUCUCAUGUGGUAGCAUCCCACUUACUAAAUAGUUAGCAAAAUCUGCAUACCAUGGAGAUCCUGACUGCUGUAACAUCUGUGCUUGCUGUACUACCAACAGUUGUUCAUCAAGAAAAGUUUCAGUGAUGUCCUUCCUUGUCAAUGUACUAGUGUCUGCUUCCAGCCGUGACAGGUGGUCUGCUACUUGAUUCUUAGUCCAUUUUCUAUCUUUAAUUUCCAGAUCAAAUUCUUGAAGCAAUAAGAUCUAUCUGAUUAAUCUUGGUUUGGCAUCCUUAUUUGAAAUUAAGUAUUUGAUGGCUGCAUGGUCUGUGUAUACAGUCACUUUAGUACCCACCAAGUAAGCUCUGAAUUUGUCAAAAGUAAAUACUACUGCUAACAACUCUUUCUCUGUAGUGAUGUAAUUGAUCUGAGUUUGAGUAAGAGUUUUGCUUGCAUAGUAUAUGGAGUGAAAAACCUUAUCCUUUCUUUGCCCUAAUACUGCUCCCACAGAAUGAUCACUAGCAUCACACAUCAGUUCAAAUGGUAGAGUCCAGUCUGGAGAUAUAACUACUGGUGCAGUGAUCAGAGCUUUCUUUAAUUCUCUAAAUGCUUGAAGACAAUCUUUGUCAAAGUGAAAGGGCUUGUCAUGUUCCAGCAAUGAGCAUAAUGGUUUAGCUACCUUGGAAAAAUCCUUAAUGAAUCUUCUGUAAAAUCCAGCAUGACUCAAAAAACUCCUAAUACCCUUUAUUGAAGUGGGGGGGGGGGUGGCAGUUUAUCUAUUACCUCUAUCUUGACUUUAUCUACCUCAACGCCUUUCUUAGACACCUUAUGACCCAACACUAUUCAUUCUUGCACCAUAAAAUGACACUUUCCCCAAUUGAGUACUAAGUUAGUCAUCUCACAUCUUUUAAGAACUUCUUCUAAGUUGUGUAAACAAUCAUUGUAUGUCUCUCCAAAAAUUGAGAAAUCAUCCAUGAAAACUUCUAAAGUCUGUUCUACCAUAUCCAAAAAAAUAGACAUCAUGCAUCUCUGAAAAGUUGCUGGAGCAUUGCACAACCCAAAUGGCAUUCUUCUGAAGGCAAAUGUUCCAUAAGGACAGGUAAAUAUGGUCUUCUCCUGGUCCUCUGGAGCUAUAGCAAUCUGGUUGUAGCCUGAAUACCCAUUUAGGUAGCAAUAAUAUUAUUUUCCAACAAGUCUGUCUAACAUAUGAUCUAUGAAUGAGAAUGGGAAGUGAUCUUUCCUUGUGGCUUUGUUAAGCUUUCUGUUAUCCAUACAUACUCUCCAUCCAGUCACUGUCCUUGUAGGAAUAAGUUCGUCCCUCUCAUUAGGAAUAAGUUCGUCCCUCUCAUUAGCUAUCACUGUUAUCCCUCCCUUCUUUGGAACACAUUGAACAUGGCUCACCCACGAACUGUCUGAUAUUAGAUAUAUGAUUCCAGCAUCCAACCAUUUGAUGAUUUCCUUUUUCACCACUUUUUUCAUAAUAAGGUUUAACCUUCUCUGAUGCUCCACCGAAUUGUUGUGGCAAUCUUCUAACCGGAUUUUAUGCAUGCAUAUUCAUGGGCUUAUCCCCUUGAUGUCUGCUAUGGUCCAUCCAAUUACUCUUCUGUAUCUUCCAAGCAAAUCUACUGGAUUCUGUUCUUGACCUGCAUUUAAGGUAGAGGAAAUGAUUACAGGGAGUGUGUUGUUUUGACCAAGAUAAACAUAUUUCAAAUGUGAAGGUAACAAUUUUAAUUUAAGACUAUGAGGUGAUUCAAUAAAUGGUAAAGUUGUUUUUACUUCCUUGUCUGAAAGAUUUAGAUGCUUAGUAAACCUAUUGUGCCUAUCAGAUUGCUUUUCUUCAUUCCAAUCUAUCUGGUUUGUUGCAACAUCUUCCUCUUCUAAAUCUUCAAAAGUGGUGAUUUUGUUGAUCUCAUUACUGCAGCAUCUGUCAAUUCUGUCUGCUACAACAAAAUCCACGACACUUAGGAAAUUGUAAUUUUCUACUUUAUUAGGGUUAUUCAUAGCCUCUAGUACAAUGAAGUCUACUGGGAAGAUGAAUUUGUCAACCUUCACCAGUACAUCCUCAAUUUUCCUUCAGGGUAUGCAUGAGAUAUGUCAACCAAUUGGAGAGUGACUAUUGUUGGUCUACAUUCCCCCACUUCCAGCUACUUAAAUACAAAGAAUGGCAUCAGAUUAAUACUGGCUCCCAAGUCACAAAGUGCUCUGCAAGUGUACCUAGUUCUUAUAGAGUAUGGUAUUGUAAAACUUCCUGGAUCCUUCACUUUUGUAGGAAUCUUACUUUGGAGCAUAUGACUGCUUUCCUGUGUUAAAUCAACAGUUUCAAAUUCUCCCAGCCUUCUAUUUUGUGCCAAAAUAUCUUUUAGAAAUUUCACAUAAUUUGGCAUUUGCUCCAAAGCUUCCACAAAAGUUAUGUUGAUGUGUAACUGCUUCCGCACUUCCAGAAAUUUGUUGAACUGCUUGUCUUGUUUUUGCUUUUGGAAUCUCUGUGUGAAAGGUGGUGGAUGUCUAAACUACUAGGUAGUUCAGGAGGUACCAAACUCUGCUUGUUUGGUUUGGUGUAGGUCAUGGCUACUGGUGUUGAAACUUCUUUUUCAGCAUGUUCUGGUUGAGUUCCCUCUGAAGUUGCUGUAGCUUGGCCCAUGUAACCAGUGUCUUGAUGGUUGGGUUGUUGUAACAUGCUUCCAUUUUGAGGUGGUUUUUGUGAUUAAUUGAAUUCCAUCCCAUUUUUAUUCACAUCAACUGGGAUAUUAACAUUCUUUUCAGAUCUCAAAUUAAUUACUUUGUAGUGUUCUUUGCCCUCUCUCCUAGGGUCUUCUGUGUUGCUAGGUAAGCUUCCUUGAGUUCUGCUACUUAUUGCUGUGGCAAGUUGUCCUAUUUGGUUUUCCAGGUUUCUCAAGGAUACAACUUGACUCUGCACAAUUGCUUCAUUCUUUGUAAUGUAUUCCUUAAUCAGUGCUUCCAGUGUAGUGAUUGGAUCCUGACUAAUAUUUUUUUGCCCCUGACUCUGUUGAUGGAAACCAGGUGGUUGAGUGUUCCUAUUUUGUCCAUUUAAUGUUGGAGCAUUUCGAUUCUAACCGUUUCAAGAAAAAUUUGGGCGUUGUUUCCAGUCAGGGUUGUAAGUAUUUGAAUAUGGGUUGUUCUGAGGCUGUCGAUUGAAAUUACCCACAUAGUUUACUGAAGCUGGAUUUCCAGGAUAAUUAUUAAAGUUAUGUUCUUCACCAUAGUAUACACAAGAAAGUUCAGCAACUUGCUUUACUACUGUUGGAGCAGAUGUCAUGGCCUUUAACAUGUUAGUCAAUGAGGUUACUUGUGCUGAUAAGGCUGUAAUUGCAUCUAUGUUAUGUACCCAUGCUGUUCCUCUUACUACUGGUUGCCUAGUUGAUGGCCACUGAUAAUUAUUAUUGGCAAUUCUCUCCAGAAUCUCAUAAGCUUCAGUGUAAGAUUUGGAUAACAGGGCUCCAUUUACUGAUGCAUCCACCAUUAAUCUAGUACUAGGAUUCAACCCAUUGUAGAAAGUUUCCAAUUGAAUGCAACAAGGAAUGCCAUGAUGAGGACACCUUCUGAACAGUUCUUUGAAUCUUUGCCAAGCCUCAUACAAACUUUCAUCUUCAAGUUGAUGGAAAUAAGUAAUCUCAUUUCGUAAUUUUGCAUUUUUUGUCGGUGGGAAAUAUUUCAUUAGGAAUUUAUUAGCCAACUUAUUCCAUGUAGUGAUGGAAUCAGAUGGUAAUCAAUUUAACCGUGCUCGUGCUCGAUCUGUUAAGGAAUAAGGAAAAAGCCUUAGUCUUAAGGCAUCUUGUGUUGCUCCAGCAAUCUUGAAAGCAUCACUCACUUCCAAGAACAACUUAAGAUGGAGAUGAGGAUCUUCAUUUGGCAAUCCAUUGAAUUGACCAACUGUCUGCAACAUUUGAAACAUCACUUGCUUCAAUUUAAAGUUUGCGGCUUCUACUUCAGAUCUGAUUAUCCCAGGGUGUACAACUUGAGGAGUUAACACGGCAUAAUCUCUAAUAGCUUUGUCUCUGUCAGAAGCCAUGUAAAUAAUAUUAUUAUUGCCUGGCUGCCUCUCAUUACCAUGUUCAUUCUGUUCUUCUUAAAUGUUGACUGGUUGUAAGGGCUCGUGAGGGUCCAAAUUUCCCACAUCCUGCAAAUUAUUCAUGUCUGAAAUAAUUUUUGAAUUCAUUUGUUCUCUUCGCAGUCUCCAAACAGUCAUUUCAAUCUUAGGAUCGAAUUGGAAUACCACAGAUCUAUCUUUGCACAUGCACAUACUGAUUUGCCAAUAAAUAGAAUGAAUAAAAUCAAAUUGGAGCUAUCAAGAUUUACUUCACACUUCAAAAAUAAACAAUCAAUCCCCGGCAACGGCGCCAAAAACUUGUUGAUAAAUUUUAUAAUCAAUUGCUACUAAUGCCAAUGUGCAAGUAUACACAACAAGUAAUAAAGUGAUAAAUAUUCAAGAUCGUUAUACAUAACAAGUAAUAAAGUGAUGAAUAUUCAAGAUCAUCUCCACAUGGAUUGAUGUUACUCGAAAUGCUAUAACAAUCACAAUAGUGCAAACCAACUUAAGUCCGAAGUUAACAAACGUAAAAUGAGUUCUAUUGUAAUUGAUGAUUGUGAGUGAAUAAAGUAAAACAAUACCGUAAUGAAAUAAACUAAAUUAAAUAUGUCUAAGAUUCAAUUGACAUUAUGGUAGUUGAAUGAUCAAACUCUCCUUAUGGGCUGACUGUUUUUCAUCAAGUUAACUCCGGUUGUUACGGCAAGUGCUACAGCACUGGGCAUAAUUAAUCUGCAUCCUCAACUGUCGCAUAUUGGAACUCUCAUACCCUUAAAUACACUAGCAAUGGCCAGUUGCUAAUCUACUCAUGAUAUGGCUUUAUGACCCUUUUAGUCUCUCCACCCUACAAGGUGAUCACCUAUGUCUAGUGUGUCACAAAUCUUAACUUCAAGUAUUGCCCUUAUGAGAUUCAAGAUAACUUAAUCUAGGAAAUUUAACUUAAGAUCAAGUAAUACUCUAAUAAUAUCCGCUAAAACAUGCCAUUUUGCUGCUCUAUUUUAACUAGAACUAUUAAAUGGGUGGUCAACUGAAAUAACAGUUAUAUUAAUAAUAACUACUAGAGUAAAGUGCUACAGCAAUGACAUAACAAUACAUAAGAACAAUCAAGAACCCAUUGAAUUAUUUGUCACUUAACUACAAGCAAAUCUAGUUCAUAUUUUGAAUGAGAAAAAGAAACAUAAAUAUAUUGUUCACGGGAGACAUCAGAACAAUCAAAGAAAGAAGAAGAGUAAAAGUUGAGAACAACAAAAAGCAAAUCCAAAUAACUCUGCUGGAAUUCUCAAUUCUGCUGAAGCCGUCUCCUUUUGUUCCGAUCUUCUUCUCCUCGUUUCUCUAAUGUAUUAAUGAUAAUGCCCUUGCCGCCUUUCUAUGUGGUGCACGCCCCCCUUUUAUACUGCAAAGUAGGGUAAACAAAAGUCCGUGAGCGUGCAUGAGUUAAAUUAGGAAGCAUGCAGAUCGCGAUUCUGCAGCUGGUCCGCACCUAAGUUUUCUCUUUCAUUGCUCCCAGAUUGCUAUAGCACUUGUUGCUCUAACAACAGCUACAACACUGAACUAUUCUCGAUUGUGCUUUACUUAUUUUAUUACCAUCUUAUUUCCUCCUCUUGCUAAUCUAAUGUCUCAGCAUCCCUUCCUGAAUUAAGACUUUCUGAAAACCUACAAUUAUGCACCUGUUUUGAGCACAAAUUACUUUGAUUCAAGCAAAACUUAUUAAGACUCAACUAAAAUGAAUGUUUAUGCAAAAUAUAACCAAAAUGUAAUAAAAACACCUUAUUUGUUCUCUAAGUGAUCUUGAUUUAAGUCUAGAAUUGAUGUAAUAACUCUCAUUUCAUAGAGUUAUCAAUAGGUAUUUAGGUCAUUUUACAAUUAAUGAAAAAUCAAAUAACAAAACAGAUAGUAGCAUUUUUGAGCUCAGAAUAGCUAAAAACCUUAGGACAUGCAUAAAGAGCAAAAUCAUAAUUGGCAUUAACCAAUGACAUGGUAGCAUUUUAUUGCAUUGAUUGAUGAUGUGGCAGCAUUCUAUUGGACCAAAGAAAAAACUUACAAUGCAUGCAAUGUAAUGAAUCAAUGCUAGUUGACUUUUGUAUUGACUGAUGGACCAAAAAUACAUGUAUGUUACAUGUAGUUCACCUAAUCACAACCUUGGUGACUUGUUCCAUCCAAUUAGAGCUUGCCACAUGGCGCAAUCUAAAGUGUUAGAGUUGUUUUCAUCUAAUGGUCAUGAUUUACCUGUUGUAUCUAUAAAUAGAGGACUCCCCUCUCUAAUUCAAUAGCUUUAAAUCCAAAUUUGAGCUUCGUUUUUUGUAAUUCUCUUUCCAUCAUGUAUUUUCUGCAUUUUUAGUAUAAAAUUACUAUUUUACCCCUAGUUCAAUAUGAGUGGCUAAUUUAGCUUCAACUUCAAGUUAAAUGUGAAGCUGCAACAUAGUCCAUGGGUAUGUGAUAAGUUUAUUAACUCUUUCUCUAAUUUAUAUGGAUUUUUUUUAUUCAUCGUUGAUAGAUAGAGAUGGCCAAUGGGCCCAUGCGUGUUCGUGCCCGUGCCGUGCCGUGCCGUGCCCACUAUGUGUUUCUUACUGUGCCUAAAUGUUUUCUUAGGUUUGGCCCAGCACACGUGUUGUGCCCAUUUGUGCCGUGCCAACACGUGUCGUGUAGUGCCUAAGAAAAAAAACCCAAUAAGCUUUUUUCUUUUUUUUAAGAAUUUUUUAAGGGCACAUACUAACCUAGUGGCAUAUUUUUUUCAAGUCUAUGUUCAUUUCUUUGGUCUAUGCUUUUAUUCAAAUUUAAUAUAAUCGAAAAUUCAAAAUUGAAGUCCAUAUUUAAUAAUAAUAAACUAAUAAUAGUAAGAAAAUAUAAUAUUAAUUACUAAGUUUGACCUUAUAGUAUUAGAAUUUUUUUAAUACUUAACAACAACAAUAAUAAUAAAUUUUCUUACAGGUUAAGUUAAUUGUUAACUUGGACUUACAUGGAGUCAUAAAUCAUAAUUCACAAUAAUAGUAAUGCAUAUUUAUAAAAUCAUGAUAUUUAUAAUUUUAUUAAUUAAAAUCAUGAUAUCAAUUAUUUAUCUAAUAAAUUAUAAAUGUAAAUCAGUUAUAGAUUUUUUAAAACUAAUAAUUAAAUGAAUUUAAAAAAUUCAAUUUCAAGUUAUUUGUAAAAUCAUAAAAUUUUAAGUUUACUUUUAUUAAACAAUAAAAUGUGCUUAUUGCGUACUUUUUUAUCGUGCCGAGCUUAGCCCAUCUCUAAUCGUGUCGUGCUUUUAAGGCCCAGGUGCCUAAAAUUCUAAGCUGAGCACGAGCCACGUGUGUACAGUGCUGUGACACAUGCCCUACCGAAACGUGCUCGUGUCGUACUGUGCUGUACAGACACGUGUCGUGCCCGUGCCGUGCCACGUGCUGGUCGGCCCAUUGGCCAUCUCUAUGAAAUAUAAGUGUGCAACACAAGAGGGGGGUGAAUUAGUAUUUUAAAAAUUAUCCUAGCAAAUCCACACAACAAACAAUCUAACUUCUUAAUAAAAUUGAAAGCAAUAAGUUCAAUAAAAGCACAAUAACAAAUGAGUAAGGGAGAAGAAAAACAAACACACGAAUUUUUACGCGGUUCGGCAAUCCCCACCUACGUCCACGCCUCCAAGCGAUCGAAGCUUGAGGAUUUCACUAUCCGAGCCUUUCCAAGGUUUCAACUGUUUACAAUUGACUUCAAGGUGUCAAUGAACCUUUACAACAAAGAGAUUAUCUCCCAAUCUCUUAACUCAAGUGUCUCACACACUCAAACACUUACAAUUAAGAUGAAGAAAUGAAAGUUACAACAAAACUCACUCAAAGAGUAGAUAUUCAAAAAUGAAGAACAAGAGAUGAUUCAAUGUGUUUUGUGAUUUGCAAAUUGAAAGCUUAAGAUAUCUCGUGUGCUUUUUGUUUAUGCUUGCUGGAGGACAUGAAAAUGAAUUGGAUUUGAGUUUAUAUAGUUUGAGCUAAAAAACUAGCCGUUAUGCACAUUUUGGUCAUAACCGGCUUACCGUUUACGGAAUCCGGUUAGCCACUUUUAUGUUACCGUUAAGGCAAAAAUUUGAAUUUCAGAAUAUCCAGUAUGUCGCUUGUCAAAUCCAGUUAGCCGCUUUUGAAAUCCGGAUUGCCGCUUGUAAAAUUCGGAUAGCCGUUUUUGCUCCAGAAGCUUACUGCCCAGAAUCCGGAUUGCCGUUUACCAUAUCCGGUUAGCCGCUUGCUACAGUAACUGCUACAGCGAAAUAUUUUUUAAAUUUAUAGUUUAACCCCAAACUUUAUAAAACUGUAUUAUGACCCAAAACGUUAUGAAAGCUUUCAAAUGGGUCCAAUUUCAGAAUUUCUAAAUAAUGCUUUGUCAAUCCUAAAACUUUAUGAAAUUAUGAUUUUACCCAAACUAUGUGAAAUUAUAGAAUGACCCAAAAUAUUUAAUUAUUUUCAAAUAGGUCCAAAUCUGAAGUUUUAAAACAAUAUCAAAGGUUUUAAAAUACUUUCAUUUUAGUCCAAAAUAUUUUAAUUCCAUAACAUCAUUUUCUUGUUAUAAAAGCACAAUUCAUAAAUCUUUGUUUAAUCAACACAUGUGGUUUAUUAUCAUCAAAAUCAAUAUCUAUAGCCAUAUAGGCUAACACUCUAUUGAUAGACAAUAAUAAUCUUGUUUAGAAUUUACACAGAUACUGAAUCCCUAAUGUAAUAUCAUUACUGUUUGGCACGAUGAGUACUUUACACUAUAUUUAUUGCCGAGAAAUUCUCCUUUAGUAUUAAUGGUUCAUUUUAACUUAAUAUUGAUAGAGAAUGCAUCUAAGUUGUUUAGUGGACGGUCUCACUACAUUGUUGACAAUAGUAUUAUUAUCAUUUCGCACAACGUGUACUUUAUACCCCUUUUAACAGAGGUUUUUUCCCCCCCCCCCCCCCCCGGCAUAAUGAGUGUUUAAUAACUAUUUACCAGAAUGAGGACUGUGAGGAGUAAAAGUGUUGAAUAUAAAUCUAAAGACUCAAGUAUUUCAUUUAAAUUGUUUCAUCUUUGAUUUAUUCCUGUGUUAGAGUGUAAUUUAUGCACUAGUUUUGCAUGAUUUACUUCCCUUAAUAUCAAUGUUUUGCACUUAAUAAUAGUGAUUUACUUGUGUUUUACUUUUGUAGGUGCAAUUUUAUUGAUUGAUGAUAAAAUUGAGCUAUAAGAUGAUGUUUAAGGAUAAUUGUUCUCUUGGAGAAAUUAUGAGCGUCAGAAGAACUUUGUUGAUAAGGCGUGGGCGCGUGCUGUCAACUGCAGACCUGCAGUUUUUAGUUUAACGUGUUUUGUAUUUUUGGUUACUUUUGUAAUUACGAAUUUAAUAUUUCAGAUAUUAGGAUUUUAUUUUAAAUAGAAUUCUAAAAGAGAAGAGAGAGAGAGUAUUUAAGGGAGGAAUCUAUUGUGAAAAAAAGGGAUUUGGAUUGGAGAAAAAGAAAGAAACCCUAGAUCUAAUUUUUCUCUUCUCUCUAUGAAGAACUAAACUUAUUUUUCUGGUUGAAGGAUAAUGAAGCUUUGAUUCAUCACUACUGUGAGAUCUUUCUUAUGCUUUAAUUGUUUUAUUACUUUUUGGGUAUUUGUUUAUUCUCUGAAUUAGUUUCAUGAUUAUGUUUGUUAAUUAGAUAAUUGGCCACUAUUUAAUUAUCAACUUAAUCUAUUGUCAAUUAAAGGAUUCAUCGUAUGAAGAUUUUAAUGUUUGUGACAAAUAACAUAGCAGUGAGUUGUGUUAUGAGAAUAAACAAUCUAAUUUAAAUGAAUCAUCAUAUGUGUUGAUUAGGAUUUUGGUCUCUCUGGUUUUUCAGGCUGUCAAUUGAUUAAAUCCUAUGAUCGUAUCUAGGGUUGUCUAUUGAUUAGGGAAAUAUCCAACGGUCGUACCUUGGUUAUCGACUAAUUAAGGAGAGAUUGGCUAUUAGAGGGUCUCAAUAGCUAUAACCGGUUUAUUCAUAAGUAAUAAUAAUCUAUAUUUGAAUCAAUGAUCAGUAGUCGAAUCAAGCUGAGUUAAUUCCUUCAACCAUAGCUUUCUCCAAUUUGAAUUACAACUUUAAUUUGCAUUCUUGUUAUUUUUAAUUUGAUUUUUAUUAUUGUCAACAAUUCCCCCAUUUUAUGUUUUACGUUUCAAAAGGAUUUAAAUAAUUACCGAUCUCUGUGGACACGACCCUGCUCAAUCACUAUACACAAUUUAUUUAGAGUAGGAAUUUAUUUUUGUUGGCUUCGACACCCAUCAUCCUGCCAUCUUUUUAAUUUAAAUCGCAGUAUUGCUUAGAAUUAGAUCUUUGUAUAUAAACUUGGAAAAUUAAUCUUACACGUAAUUAAAUCUUCUUUCUCGUGGGAUUGACACUCAUCACCAUUAAUUUAUAUUACAAUGGAUUCAUGCGCUUACAAGUAUAAUAAAAUUUGUAGAAGUUUUUGGUAGCGUUGCUAGGGAGGUAAGUCAUUUUAAUUUAUAGAGUUAAUUUUCUUUGUAAAUAUUCUGUAAAUAACUUUGUGUGCAGGUUUUGAAUGUGUUUCCAUAGUAAGUGUGUAAUAGUGUGGUAAGGUCGAUAUCAUAACUUCGCCUCUCUCUUUAUUUUCAUUAGUUUUGUUUUUAAUUUUUACUUGUUUUUUGCAUGCAUGAUUGAAGGUUAUAAUCACAUGAUCUAAAGCCUAUAGACCUCGAACUGGAAAACACACUUCGAAUACUAAGGUACAUUGCAUCACAUGGAAAAAUUCUAGAUAAAAUUAAGAUGGAAUUAGAACAAUAUCAAUCACAAGCACCAGAAGAGAUGCGAUUUAAAGAUUUAUGAAUAAGAUACCCAAAUGUAGUUGCAAGGAGUUUUAAGUUAAAACCUAAUGUGCUAAAUUGUGUCCCAUCAUUCUACAGCUUAGAAAUAAAAACCCACACAAUCAUUCAAAUGAGUUUCAUGCUAUUUGUCAAACUUUAAAAUAUGAAAAAUAUUCAGACGAAAAUGUUAAGCUUAGGCUAUUUCCAUUUUCUCUAAAGGAUAGAGCUCAUUUAUAAUUCAAUACAUUGCAUGUUAAUAGUAUCACCUCAUGGGAAAAAUGGUAACUAAGUUUUUAAAUAAAUACUUCUCAGUGCAAAAAACCAACGCUUUUUAUAGGGAAAUCUUAAAGUUUACUUAGAGAGAAGACAAGAAAUUGUUAGAAGCAUGGGAGCAAUAGUUUAUUCAGAGAGAAGACGAACAAAUUUUCAAUGCAUAUGAGUGAUUCAAUGUUCUACUAUUAAAGUAUCUGCAUCAUGGGUACUAGAAAUGACACCAAUGUUAAUACUUCUUCCAGGGACUAUUGCCACAUGUGCAAAAAUAGCUCAUGGCGAUAAGUAGAGGUGAGCUAAUGUCUAAAAGUGUAUCAGAAAUUUGAGAUUUUCUCAAGUGACAAGCGGAUAAUUCCUAGUGACAAAGUCAAUCAUUUAGAAAUAUGAGAAAAAUCAAGGGAGUAAAUGAAGUCCACGUUGGCGAAUCAGGAUCAGCUUUCUCUCUAAAUAACAUCAUUAACAACUACUAGAUCAACAGAGGCACAUGCCUUUAAUCAAUUUGACUAUGAUUCAUACCCAGAUCAAGCCAAUGCCAUUGAUGUGAUGAGAAAGUAGUAGAACUAUAACCCUUACUUCAAUACUUACAAUGCUAGAUGGAGAGACCAUCCCAACUUUUCAUGGUCUCACGGAUUCCAACAGAACAAGACAACAACUCCAACUCUACCAGCAUUGAUACAACUAGUUGAUCAAACUUCUCAAAUUUCUUAGCCACCAUUUAGACAAUACACUCAGAAUAAGAGCUACUCGUAAACCAAACCAUGGGAAAAACGACUCUAAAAUUUUAAAAAUUUGACUCACUUUACACUAGAACAACAAAAUCACACCAUUAACAAGCUAAGGAAUGAGAUUAGAGCUGCCAUAAAUUCACAAGCCCAAUCAGUUUCGAACCUCAAAAAGAUGGUGGAUUAACUUGUUUUUUCAGUUCAGACCUUGGCAAUGACCAUUGAGAAAGUCAAAUUCCAAAGCCAACUGGUGCCUAAUCUUGAGUGAGUACGUGAAGUUAGUAUCAGUUCACCCCAUUAGCAUAAAGAGGUUAAAGUCAUCAUAACCUUCCAAAAAGGCAAAGAAAUUGAAAAUAAAGUGAAAAUGCUGGUGAAAAAAACAACUAAAGUUAAACCUUUAGACUCUGAGGACUCAUCACCAAAGGAGAAAAAAGACAACAGCCCACAAAAAUAUAUCUAUUAAAGUCCUAUUCCCUCAGAGGUUAGCUAAAAUAACGGAGGAAAAUUCCACAGGUGAGAUUAUGGAGAUCUUUGCACUAAAAAAAUAAGUAUUCAUAUUUAAAAGAAUGACUUUUUAACAGAGAACAUUAGUUCUAUACUCCAACAAAAAAUUUCUCAAAAAUAAAAAAGUCCAGACUCCCCUUUUAUCUCAUAUAAUGUAGGGAACCAUAUAAUUGAGAAUACUUUGGUGGAUUUAGGAGCUAGUGUUCAUCUUUUGCCUACUCAGUAUUUAAAACUUAGACAGGGAGAAUUACACCCAACUCCUAUUGUGUUGCAGCUCCCAUAUUGAUCCAUGAAAAUAUUUCUCAGUAUUAUAGAGGAUGUGCUUAUUUAGAUAGACAAGUUUUAUUUUCCUAUUAGUUUUAUUGUGAUUGACAAUAAACCGGAGCAAGAUUCAAAUAAGCACAUCCCUAUUAUUCUAGGCCUAUCUUUUUUUGCUAUUGCCAAUGCCCACAUUUAAUGCAGGAUUGAAAAUAUUCAGUUGUCCUUUGAAAAUAUGACUAUGAAGUUAAAUAUUUUUAACAUUGCCAAACAACCUCAAAAUAAAGACGAUAAAAUUGUUGAGUUGAUUUAAUUGAAAAAUUAGUUGAUUAUACUUUUUCUUCUAAUCUUAGUGAUGAUUCUUUACAAACAUGUUUAGCUCAUUCUAGUUUGAAUUUUGAUAUUGACAGAUUAAUUGAUGAGGUUAAUUCCUAACUCGACACAUCACUAUCUAUGGAUACCAAUAAACAGAAGUCAAUAAUUGAGCAACUUCCACUAACAUGGAAGUAACUUAAUCCAUCAUCAGAAUCACCUCUAAAGUUCAAGCUUAAACCAUUACUCAACACUUUAGAAUAUGCAUUCUUAGGAGACAAAAACGCUUUACCAAUAAUAAUUUCAUCCUCUCUUGAUGACAAACAAAACAAUAAGUUGCUCGAUGUUUCAAAAGAGCACAAAAAGGAAUUACGAUUGACUAUAGGCAACAUAAAAUGUAUAAACCUAGUAGAUUGCAUGCAUUAUAUUCUUCUUGAUGAAAAUGCCAAACUUAUUAGGGAAAUGCAACAUCGGUUAAAUCCUACUAUGAAAGAAAUUAUUAGAGCUAACGUUCUUAAACUAUUGGAUGCAGAUAUCAUUUACCCUAUCUCUAAUAGUUCUUAGAUCACUCAUGUGCAAGUUGUCCCUAAAAAGUCAGGAUUUACAAUAGUUAGCAACUCCGACGUUGAACUAAUAUCUACUAGAGUAACUACGGGAUGAUGCGCAUGUAUUAAUUAUAGGAAGUUGAAUUCUAUCACAUGAAAAUACAAAUUUUCUUUUACCAUUUACCCAUCAAAUACUUGAUAAAUUAGCAAGUCAUGAAUUUUAUUGCUUUCUAGAUGGUUACUCAAAAUAUAACCAAAUUCCUAUAUCACCAAAAGACCAAGAGAAAACCACUUUCACUUGCUCUUUUGAUACUUUUGCAUUUGGGAGAAUGCCAUUUGGAUUAUGCAAUGCAUUUGCCACAUUUCAACGAUGCAUGCUUAGCCUUUUUUCUGAUAUGGUUGAAUGUUUCUUUGAAAUUUUUAUAAAUGACUUUUCUAUUUUUGGUGAUUCAUUUGAUCAAUGUUUGUAUUAUCUAACACUAGUUUUACAAAAAAUGUAUGGAAAAGAAUUUAGUCUUGAAUUAAGAAAAAUACCAUUUUAUGGUAAAAUAAGGUAUUGUUCUUGAUCACAUCAUUUUGAAUAAAGGUAUUAAGGUUGACAAACCCAAGGUAGAUCUCAUUUUCAAUCUUCCUCCACCCAAAAUGGUUAGAGAAGUAAGAUUUUUCCUUGGGCAUGCUGGCUUUUAUGGACAUUUCGUUAAAGACUUUAGCAAAAACCCUAGACCCUUAUGCAAUUUACCUGCUAAAGAUGUAUCUUUUUUCUUUGAUGAUUUGUAUCUUGAAUCAUUUGAAAAAUUAAAGCAAUUAUUGCCUCAUCAUCCAUCAUUUAGUCCCUAUACUGGAACUUACCUUUUGAGCUUGUGCAUGAUGCACCUGAUUAUGCAAUGGGAGCAGUAUUACGACAAAGGAUUGAUUGUAUACCUUAUGUCAUUUACUGCGCUAGUAUGAUAUUGAAUGAUGCACAAUCAAAUUACUCAACCAUUGAAAAAGAAAUGCUAGCAGUAAUGUUUGCAUUAUUUUCUUACAAAGAAAUAUGUAAAAGUCUAGAUUAAUUCACUAGGUGUUACUUUUGCAGGAAUUCGACAUUGAGUUUAAAAAUAAGAAAGCCACAAAAAAUGUGGUGGCAUAUCAUCUCUCUCAUCUUAAUUUUGACACAAUUUCAAAACUAUUACCAUUGAAUGAAUCAUUUCCAAAUGAACAACUAAUGAGUGUGGAAGUACUGCCAUGGUUUGCUAAUAUAGUUAAAUAUCCUAUUACAUGUCAAAUUCUAGAGCAUUAGACUAAGUCGGACAAAGCCAAAUUUUCUAUCGAAAUAAAGAUUUUUUUUAGGAUGAUCUUUAUUUAUUCAAGUAUCGCAUGGAUAAAAUUGUUAGGCGAUAUGCCCAAGAGAGCGAAUUUUAAAAAAUCCCUUCAUACUACCAUGAACAAGUUGUGGAGAUCAUUUUAGUGCUAAGAAAAUGACCUCUAAAAUCUUACAAUGUGGUUUAUAUUGGCCAACUUUAUUUCAAGACGCAUACAUUUUUUGUUCUUCAUGUGAUAGGUGCCAGCGCAUGGGAAGCACUAUUCGAAGAAACAUGAUGCCACUAAACCUUAUUUUGGUAGUCCAUAUUUUGAUGUGUGGAGCAUCAAUUUCAUGGGACCCCUUUUUUUUUUUUGCCAUCAAUACAUAUCGAUUGCUAUCGAUUAUGUAUCAAAGUGGGUAGAAGCAACUCCAUGCAGAACUAAUAAUCACAAAGUAGUGAUGAGAUUUUUGAAAAGAUACAUUGUUUCGUGCUUUGGAUUCCCUCGGGCGAUAUUCAGUGAUGGCGGUACCUACUUUUGCAAAAAAAUCAUUCAAAAUUCUUUUAGCAAAAUACUCCAUCACACAUAAAAUGGCAACCCUAAGCAUCCAUAAACUAUUGGCCAAGUCUAGAUUUCCAAUCGACAAAUAAAGAAUAUAUUAGAAAAGGUGGUAAAGUCAGAAAGAAAAGACUGGUCAUUGAGACUAGAUGAUAUACUAUGGGUGUAUCAAACAGCUUUCAAGACACUUAUUGGCACGUGUCUCUAUAGGCUAGUGUAUGGAAAAACUUAUUACUUACUGAAUGAAUUCGAGCAUUGUGUAUACUAAGCCAUCAAGAAAUUUAACUUUGACAAGCAAUGGGCUGGUUUGGAAAGAUGAUUAUAGCUGGCAGAACUUGAGGAAAUUCAUAAUGAUAUGAAUGAAAUUGCUAAGAAUUAAAAGCGAUAGAUGAAAGUCUUUCAAGACAAGCAUAUCAUAAUAAAAUCUAUAUACUAGGUCAAAAAGUACUAUUAUUGGAUUCUCGCUUGUAUCUAUUUCCAAGUAAAUUAUGCUCUCAAUUAUUUGUUUUAUUUAUUAUUCACACUAUUUUUCUACAUAGGCCAAUUGAAAUUAGGGAUUCAAAAUGGUGUUAUUUUUAAAGUUAAUAGUCAAAUAUUAAUGUCAUAUUUAAGGCACCAACCAUAUGAGAAAACUAAAAUAAAUUUGAGUGAUCCACCAUACCUUAACUGAGUCUUUUCUUUGGGUGAUCUAAGUUUUUGUCAUUUUGUUUUGCUAAUUAAAAUUAUUUGAUUGUUUCUCACUUAAAGUGUGUUUAUCUAACACUUGUAUUUUUUUUAAUCACUUGUAUUAUAUGUCAUGAGUACCUCAAUGAGACAUAACCUCUUCAACCACCUUAAUGAACUUUUACCUGUAAAGCGUCACCUAAGCAGCAUGCUCCAAAUUUGUAAAGCACAUCGUGUUUGGGAUCUAUAACCACCAUUGUUUGUAUCCCAUUUUGAAGAGUUGGAAAGACAAUUAAGGGAAAUAAAGGGUGGAAUUUAUGAUAUUCAAUUAGAAUUUAAGGUAAACUCAAUAAAAGGACGAGGGUGAGUUAACAUCCCACUUUUUACAUUGUGCAAUUUUAUUUUGUUGUUUGUUUUCACAUGUGUCUUGUUUGAUUUUUUUUAUUUGGUGUGUUGUCAUUUGUUACGUUGAUUAAGUGGCAGAUAAUGUUACUCUGUGACUGUUAAAGUCGGUUUCAUCAAUUUCCCAUAAUAACUGACAUUUUCCAACCAAAGUAUAGAUACGAACACAAUUCUUGCAAAGUUUCACAAGAGAUUCUCCCCCCCCCACCUCUCUCUCUCUCAGAAUGCACUCCUUGUAAUCUAGAAAGCUCGAUCUAAAAGCUUGCAACUGCUUAUUGAUAACUCUAUGAAAUGAGACUUAUCAUGACACUUUUAGACUUAAAUAAAUAAUAAUUAGGGAGUAAAUGAUUUUUUUUAUUGCAUUUUAGUUAUAUUUUGCAUGAACAUUCAUUUUAGUUUACUUUUAAUAAAUUUUAUUUGAUUUAAAAUAAUUUGUGUGCUUAGAUCAUGUGCAUAAUUGUAGGUGACUGGAAGCUUAAAUUUUAAGGAAGGAAUGCUGCUGCAAUAGGCUUGCAAAGAUAAGGAAAGAACUUGGUUAUAGAAGAAUUGAAACAAGUUUGGAACAAUGCCGUUACUGUAGCACCAUUGUUGUAGCAUCGUUGAUGUAGCAAUCCUGGAGCAUUAACAGAGAAGAUUUCGCGUGAGAUACUCAAAAGAUUGUGAUCUAAAGUUUCUAAAUCUAGAAGACACGUACCCUAAACUUCCGGUUGCCCUAAUUCUAAGUUAUAAAAGGAGUAACACGCAAAGGAAAAGGGAGAUCCGUCACCCAAAGAACAAACCGGAGAGAGAAAAAACAAGAAACAGAAAUCAAGAGAGAGAUUGAAGGCUGUCCUAGAGGAUAAAUUGCAGAGAUCAAUAGGAAAUCAGUGCUUCUUAUUCUUUUCUUAUUUUUGAUUUCAUUAUGGGGAUGUAUUAGAUGGCUGAAACUUUUAUUUAUUUUUCUAUCACAAAACAUGAACUUAAUUUGAUUGUAGUUGAGUGAUAAAUUAUCUUAAUAAAUGUUUGACUGAUACACACGCGUUGUUCUGUGUUUGUUAUAGCAUUUUGUCAUAAUUGAUUUAUUUUUAUUCUCUAUUUUGGCUAACCACCCAUUUAGGGAUAUUAACUAAGAAAAUGCCUUAAAAAGGUCUAACUUAGUGGAUCUUAUUAAGACAAUACUUAGUUUUAGAUUAUGUUUCUCAAGUUGAGUUAACCGUCAUUUGAAUAGGGCCAUCCUUGAUAUAAAAUUAGUGAUAAACUAGACAUAGGGAUUCAGCUUGUAGGGUUAAUGGAACCUAAAUCGAUUAAUGUUAUAUUUAAUAUUGGCGUAAUAAUUGGUCACUGUUAGAUUGCAUUAGAUAUAAGAUAUGCAACAGGCAACAACUGAUGAUGCAUGAGGGAUUCUACCCAGUGCUCUAGUAGAUGUUGUAGAAAUGAUACUGUAAUUGAAAAAUAGUUAAUGCCAUUAAAUGAGUUUAUUUACUCAAUUACUCUAUUCCUAUUGGUUUUAUCCUUGUGUUUGACGUGAGAAUUUUCUUUAUUGCAUUUUUACUUUAAUUCAUUUAUUAGUUUCAUUAGUUGUUUUAUUUUUAUUUAAAACAAAACUGCACUGUUAAGGUUGUUGUAGCGAAUCUGAUAACAUCAAUCCCUCUGGAGACGAUUUGAAUACUCAUCAGUAUAUUACUUGUUGUGUAUGCUUGCACAUCGACAUCCAUGGCAUUAGAGAUUGCACACACCACUUAUGCAUAAUAACAUCCCUAUUGACAUUCGUUGGUUAAGGAAAACCAAAGUAUAAUUGGCAGGAGAGUUACCUCCUAAAUUCGUUGCCUACAUGCCUUGUUGCGAGAAAAGAAAUUAUUCACGAAAACGAAGAACCAGAUGACUCAAAGUUUCUUGCCAUAAAUGUGCCCGAAAAGACUAUUAAAGAUGUCCAUGUAAAUCUUUAGGAAUGGUAUCCAACAAAAGGAAAGACAAGAUUAAAUUCAUUAUGAGUGGUUUGAAUAAAGACAAGAUUAAAUUCAUUAUGAGUGGUUUGAAUAAAGACAAGAUUAAAUUCUUGAAAUGUAUCCUAAUGGAUACACACAACGUGCAAUUUCCCAGUUAUAGUCAUUAUUCUAGAAAGAACGUGUACAAUAUAGUCUCAGGGAUUUGACUAUAAACGAUCUUAUUUGUCAAUUUAUAAGAAAACUAGAUGGAAAGCCUAUCCUUGACCCAUAAAGGGUGCUCAAGUCGUUUUUGGACGUAAAAUCAGGGGAAGAUGUGAGUCGCAGCACAACUACCAAUACUUAUUCUUUUGUUUUACUAUAUUUUUAUCAGCUAUAUUAUUCUUUUUAAUGGUGUGAUUUUAUAUCUAUUUAUUGUUCCUUUUUUUAUUGUUUACUUUUGUGCCACGAACUUGAAGUGUCAUUUGACAAAUAGACCAACUUAUUUACAGCUAUGUAUCAUUGCUUUUGUCAUCCAGAUUUUUAAAUACGAGUUUUUUUUUUAAACACUCAUAAAUUAUUUUUGAGAAUUGUCUCAAUGGGUGCUUUCUGGCUUUCGUUAUGGAAGAUACAAAGACUUUGUUCAAGCAGCUAUAGAUCUUAGUCAAGUACUAACAGAGACAAAAAUACACCUAAUAUAUUGGGGAGCUGACUGAGGGUUACAAAGACUUAUUUUCGAACAUGUUUAUACUAGAGGAAGCCAAGUGCUCGGUAUCAUUUCGAAAGCCCUAAAACAUCUGGGAUGUCUACUCGGCUCACCGAUUGAAGAAGAGCUAGUUGUCCCAAGUACGUAAGAAAGAAUAUUGUUGUAGAUUUUCUAAUGCCAUUGGUGUCAAUGUGCAAGUGUACACAACAAGAAAUAUAAUGAUAAGUAUUCAAGAUCGUCUCCACAUGGAUUGUUGUUAUGAGAAUUGCUACUACAAUUUUAUCAGUGCAAUUUUUAUUCUAAAUUAGAAUUAAAACAAAUUAUUAAACUAAUGAACUAAUUAAGAUAAAAACUUGCAAUAAGGAAAAUGCAAUAAAAUAAAUUAUCACAGCAAAUAUAUGGAUGUAACCAAGGGGAAUGGAGUAGUUGAGUGAUUAAACUCACUUAAUGAUUUUGACUAUUUUUCUAAUGUUUGGUUCGAUUGCUACAACAUCUGCUACAACACUGGGCAAAAUUCUUAUGUAUCCUCAGCUGUCGCAUGCUGGAUAUCUUAUACCUAGAUGCAACUUAACAUUGACCAAUUGUUAUGCUAACAUCAGAUAUAACAUUACACAUUUUAGAUUCUAAUUACCCUACAAGGUGAAUCUCUAUAUCUAGUUCAUCACUAAUUUUAGAUUACGCAUGAUCCUUUUGAAUCAAGUUAAACCCAACUCAGGAAACCCAAUUUAAAACCAAGUAUUGUUCUGAUAUGUUCCACUAAGACAUGCCUUUUUUAGGCUCUUUCUUAGCUAGUACCACUAAAUGGGUGGUCAGCCGAAAUAGUGAAUUGAAAUAAUUACUAUAAAAACAACGAGCUAUAACAAACAUGCAGCAACAUAAAAUAUCACUCAACCACAAGUAAAUUUAGUUCAUAAUUUGCGAUAAAACAAGAAUCAAAAUAGUUUUAGCCAUCAAACAAUCUAUCAUAACAAGAUAAAAGCAAGAGAAUAAUAAAUAAGAGUGAGAUCCGCGUGAUCUUCUUCUUGAAUACUUUAUUGCAAUCGCCAAUUCUCUCUCUUGAUAUUUGUUUUCUCUUGUUUUGUUUCUCUAUUCCUUUUCUCUAAUGACGGCCCCCGCCUUUUUUCUUUGCGUGUGUGCUUGUUUUAUAUCUUAGAAUUAGGGCAACCGGAAGCUUAGGGCACGCAUCUUCCAGUUUAGGAAACUCUAGAUCGCUAUCUUCAUAGUAUCUUGUGUGAAAUCUUCUUUGUCAAUGCUCCAGGAUUGCUAUAGUAAUGGUGCUACAGCAACAUUGCUACAAUAACAACUUCAGCAUUUGCAUUGUUCCAUACUUGUUUCAAUUCUUUCUACCAAAUUCUUUCUUUAUCUUUACAAGCCUAUUGCGGUCGCAUUCCUUUCUUGAAAUUUGAACUUCCGAUCACCUACAAUUAUGUAUAUAGUCUAAGCACACAAUUCAUUCUCUAUCAAACAAAACUUAUUAAAAGUAAACUAAAAUGGAUGUUCAUGCAAAACAUUACUAAAUGUAAUAAAAACAUGUCAUUUACUAUAUAAGUAAUCAUGAUUUAAGUCUAAAUGUCUAAGAUGUUAAACCAUGCGAACCCUAUCAUUUUAUAGCUAGGAGAUCUUGCAACUAUGGAGGCUUUGAUUACAUUUGCAUCUUAGGCCCCUUUGAACAUUUGUCAAAAACCCAUCGGUUUAUUAAAUGUUAAUAAUUUUUAUGAUGGUUUGAUAGUAUUUCUUCAUGAUAUAGUUAAGAAUCAUUUCAUUCCAUUCACAGUGAAAAAGCUCUUUAUUUAUGCUUCUACUACUAACAAGUUACUAGAUCUUUUACAAACUUACAUACUAGAAUCAGAUCUUAGGACCUUUGCGUUGGAUUGGUCAACUAAUGAUGAUAGCAGUAGUAGUAUUAAGAGGUGCAAAUUAGAUUUAACCUUCCAUUUGUACAUAUUUUCUUAUGUUGCAGCAUUCAGGUGAUAUCUUCUAAAAUCUACAUUUUUUCUUUUUAGAUAUUGAGGACAAUGUCUCAUUCUAGUUGGGGAGAGAUAAUAGUUGAUAGUUGCAGAAUAACUGAUAGUUGUUUUCUUGUACUUGUGGAAUAACCUUUUCUAAAUUUUUGAGUUGAAGAUGGCCAAAUAUAGAGUUUAGUUACUCUAGAAACACAUCUUCCUAGUCUUGCAGUUUAGUUAAAAAAUAAUAAAAAUAAAAAUAAUAAAAUUUAAGGCAUUUUAUGUGAUAUUUUGAUAUUGGAUGACAUGAUAAUUUCUAAAUUUUAGUAUUUGCAUUAUCUCUAAAUUUUAGUAUUUGUAUUAUCUUUAGUUUUGAGUUAUGUUACACCCACUUUAUAUAUUGAUAUUAGUGACGAGUGUGAAUUUAGAAAUUUGAUGAGUGAAAUUGAUUGAGUUAUUUGAAGAAAUGCACAUGUUAUAAUAAGUUCCGAGUGAGUUUUUAAGCCUAUCAUUUUUCUUGGAGAGUAACCAUUUUUCCAAGUUUAUCAGUUUAUUAUUUUAUACGUGAUCUAUAUCUUUUUCUUUUGAGUCGACCAAUGAAAAAAAAAAGAGAAUUGUGUGUUGUUACAUUUGGAAGUCCAUUGAAUUAGUAGAUAUAAAAGACUAUUUAGAGUUCUAAAAAAUGACAGAAAUACCAUCUUUAAUCCAUUUGACCCUUUUCUAGCCAUCCCCAUUGUGAAAUAUCAAUAAUUACCUAUCUUAUGCCUAUAAAAAAAAAAAUAUUUUGUUUGUUAACUUAUUGUCUUAUCCCGCCCCAACUUGGUGUACUACCUUAUAUUUUAUGUUUUCCAUCACCUAUUUAUAUUUGAGAAAAACAUAGAGAAUUUUUUCUUUUUCAGAAAAGUGUUGCACUCUUCUCUCUCUCUCUCUCUCUCUCUCUCUCUCUCUCUCUCUAUAUAUAUAUAUAUAUAUAUAAUGAUAAUACAAAAGAGAAAAAAGAAAUAAAUAAAUAAAUAAAAGAACCUUGCAAUUUAUACUCUAAGUAUCAUUAACAUAGAGGACUAUUCCUCAUUAAUCCAACAGUUCUGAGAAAAAAUUUUAGCUCCAUUUUAUGUAAUUCUCUUUCUGUCUUUUAUUUUCUAUGUAUUUUAGUAUAAAAUCACCAUUUUACAUGUGGUUCAAUAUGAGUGGCUAAUUUCGUUUCAAGCUUGAGUGGAAGGUGAAGUCUCAACAUGGUCCAUGAGCUUAAUUUAGUAAGUUUAUUAACUCUUUCUCUGAUUUAUGUGGAUUAUUUUGACUCAUUGUUGGCGGACAGUAAUAAUCUUGUCUAGAUUUUGUACAAUAUAUUGGCUCCCUAGUGUAAGAUCAUUACUAUUUGGUAUGACAAGAACUUUACACUAAUUUAUUAGCGAGAAAAUCCUCUCUAGUAUUCGUGGUUUGUCUUGACUCAGUAUUGAUAGAAAAUACAUCUAAGUUAUUUAGUGGAUGGUCUUGCCACAUUACAAUAGUGAGAUUAUUAUCACCUAGUACAAUGUAUACUUGACAUCAUAUUUAGUAGAAGAUUAUUUUCCCUUGGCAUAAUAAGUGCUUGAUAUUAUAUUUACCAGAAUGAGGACUAUGAGGAGUGGAAAUACCCACUCAUAAACUAAUAGGAACUAAAAAGGAAUAAUAAGCUCAUAGUGUAGUGUUGUUUCAUCUUUAAUCUAUUCCACCAUCUUUUUAGUUUAAAUCUUAUUACUGUUCAAAAAUCAUAUCCAACCAAUUCGCGUAUAAACUAGGAAAAUUAACCUCACACAUAAUUAAAUCUACCUUCUCGUAUGAUCGACACUCAUCAUCAUUUAUCUAUACUACAAUAGGUUCGUGCGCUUGCAAGUACAAGAAAAUUUGCACAACAAUAUGCAUAAUUGAUAAGUAAAAUGUGUAUUUUAAUUUUCUAAUAUAUGGCUAAUUUAUUUCAAUUUAUUUUAAUUACUAUUUGACUUUAGUUACAAUUUUUAUUUUUAUAAUCAUAUACAAUAAAACCUUGGUAAAAAAUGAGUAUUCGAUAAAUUAAUAACCUUAAUUAAAUAAUAAAUUCUUUCAAUUCCCAACUUGGGGCAAAUGUACUAAAUUAAUGAUCUCGCUAAAUGCAUAAAUAAUAAUUUUUUGAAUACCUUAGGGCCCGAUGAAAAUGUAAAUUAGUAAUUAUCAAAAUACAAAAAAAUAUUAAUAAUAAAUAACAUUUAAAAUUUAUAAUAUUAAGGAUUUUUUUGACAACUUUAAUUUUCUCAAUUCUAUUUUUUUCAAAAUAUUUGUUUAAUGAUUUGAGACUAAAAAUAAAACUAGUGACUUGUAUUUAUGGAGUUUAUAUACUAGUGCAUUUAUAGAGUUUAUAUUAUAAGUACUUUAAGUAUUUGAAACACUUUAUCUUUUAGGGUAUUACAUUUGAAAACUACGUACAUCAAUCUUAUGUCUAUGUACAAUGUACUUACAUUAAUUUUUUUCACUUCUAUGUACAUGUUCAUAAAAUUUAUUAUUAUUAUUAUUCUUUCUUUUUUUAGAAACAUAUCUUGGUAACUGAAAAGUACACAUACAAAAAUGACACAAAUAAAUAAAAUAUAAAUUCUUCAUAAAUUUAUAAACAUUCAUUUAUUGAUAAAUUAACAAAUUGUUUUAUUGAUAAUAUAUAACCUAAAACAAUAAUAUAUAACAUAGCUAAGAUAAUAUUUUUUCUUAAUUCCAAUAAUAUUAUUUUAUAAAGGUUUCAUUGUAUUUUUUGGGUUUUGAAUUUCAAUAUUUAAAUUAUUAAGUUAAAAAUGGGGCAAGGGUAGAUUAUUAAAUUUAAAAGAAGAAAAGUUAGAGGGAAACAAAAGCACUUUUAGUUAGUAUGAUGAGUUAUUGGGUUUGAAUUAAAUUUAUAUGGAAUGGAAAACUUGUAAAUUACUAUAGUGCCAAACCUGUAAAUAGAACCGUGGCAGUUAUGUAUGUAAUGGCUUCUCUGUAAAUAAAAUUGAAAAUCUUCUCCAAAUUUUGAAGCCAACACUUAGAAUGGCAUGUUAGACGGGUGUUAGCUUGUCUGUAAUAGUAAAUUAUUUACGAAUAUUGUAAUAUUAUAAUAAAGAGUAGUGUUAGACAUCCCAAAAUUAGGAGAUAUUGAAAUUAAUAUAUAUCACUUACCCUCUAUUGUUUUUAUAAUACUCAAUAAUUUUAUGUUACCAUAAUUUAUAAUAUUACUCUUAUUUUCAAAUAUACUUUUAUGUAUUUAUUAUAAAUUAAAUAUAUUAUAUAAAUCGAAAUAAAAAUAAAAAUAAUAAAAAUACUUAUUCUUAUUUUUAUAAUUUAUAGUCUUUUUUUAUUAAAUAAAAAUUCAAAUAAGUAUUUCAACAAAUACAUAACAUAUAAACAUCUAAAAGUUACCACAUUGCAAACAAAAAUAUUGCCGUUGGCAAUUCUAAAAUCAUAAUUAAAACUUCAUUACAUAGUAAAUAAAAUAGGUUUUGGUGUAAAAUAAUAAUAAUAAUAAUAAUAAUCCGAUAUUUUUCUUUCAUUUUUAUAUUUUUAAAUAUUUUAUAUACAUUGCAAACAAAAUAUUGCAUUUUUAUUAGCAUUUGAGAUUAAAACCUAAUGAAAUUUAGAAUUAUUUUGCUGUGGAGUAGGGCUAUUUAAACCCACCAAACUACUCAAUAAACCCAUUUUUAAAAAUAAUUUUUUUAUGAUUAAAAUACCCUAAAUUAAAUUAUAGUUAUGGACAUUAUAAUAUAAUAAAAAGGAAAAAAUCCAGAAUUUUUACUCAUUGAACCCAUCUUUAUAUUCAACAUAGUUUUAUAGGACCUUAAUAAGAUUUUCAUUAAACCCUAAUCAAUCAAGAGGUGUGAUUCUUCUAUCAAGCCGUAUAUUUUUGUUAAAUGGGCACAUGUGAUUCGAUUAAGAAUAACAAAGUUGGUUGUUAUUGAUUUGAUGGAUAUUGAUUUUAUGGAGGAACAAAACAAUAUUGACAAUAAGUUGAAUGAUGAACAUGUAUGAAAUUUUUUUAUUUACAUUUGAUUUUUGUUUUUUUCCUUUUCCAUUCGAAAUUGAUAGAGAGAUACAUUCAAAACCUGCUAGUAAACUCCACAUGCAUGUGAGACUUCGUCAAUAGUAACAAACAAACAAAUAUUUGGUGUCCUUCAUCAAAGAUUUUUCUUUUCACUCCAAGAAAGUAGUUUCUUGUCCUUGGAGGUUUUCUUUCGGUGUCCUUUAUAAAUCAACUUCAAAUACCUUUAAACAACUAUCUCUGAUCUUUUUUUUUUUGUUUAUUUUUAUAACCAUAAAAUAUUUUAACUGUUAGUAUUUUAAAGAAAUAAGAGACAAAUUUUACUUGAUUCUUUGACUUUUCGUUUAAUUGCAUAAGUCUUCCUUGUGCACUUUAAUGCUUGAUUCUUUGACUUUUCUCUCUCUGUUAUGCACUGAUCUUUGCCUUUAAUUAGUUUUUGGUAGCCUAAUAAAUAAUAGUUGUCGUACUUAUAUCUUAUUUUAUUUGAAUUUGCCAAAAUAAUUUAGGUUCCUAAUGCAUCACUAACAAUUGCUUUUGCAAGUUCUGAUAUUUAUGGAGUUGCGAUUUUGGAUGCAAGUGAGCAGAUUAAAGCACGAAUGGAGCCAGUUGCUUCUGAGCAUUAUUUAACCUAUUUGUCGAGGUUCACUUCUUUUAAUAGUUUGUUUCUACAACUUUAUGUUUUUUUUGGUAGUAACUGUUAUUUUCACCUAUCUAAUACUAAGAAAAUUAUAUCAUUUUAGUUUUGUCUUUUGGUUUAUGUCUAUAAGCUUUAUAGAAUGCUACUUUUCCUUCAUUCUAUCAGCUAGUACUAUUGUGAAGGUCUUGCAUAGUAAACAAUAAAUCUUAUGUGUCAUAUAAAACUGAUUUUUUAAAUGUAUUUUAUAGUUUUAACAAUGAUAUUUUAUUAUAUGUAGGAUGAUGUUUCCAUCAAAUCUACCAAUUCUGAUGCACAUUGUGUGAUGGAUUAUAGCAGUGAAUUUACAACUCAUGAGGUAACUUUAGUUUGUAAUUAAUUUUGGAUUUUUUAAUGAAAUUUUAUUUAACUUCCAUGAGAUUUCUUUCUAUCUAGAUAUUCAAGCUUCAGUGGACUCGUAAUGUCAGAAAGAAAAAUGGUAUAAUGGUUGUCAUCAAGAGAUUUGAAGUGGGUUGUUGUGGUAAAAGACCAAGUAUCUUUUUUGGUCGUGAGAGAGGUGGAAAGUAUGAAAAAUAAAGAAGAAAGACAACCAAAAAGAUUCAAAAUCGAGAAUAACUAGUACAAAAAAAUGAGGAUUUUAAAUUAAAGGGUCGAAAGUUAGACACUUAAAACGACUGGAUGCUAAAGGUAAUGCGCGGAGUCCAUAAUCAUCCAAUUGCAAAACAUCUUGAAGGGCACUCAUUUACAGGGCAACUAAUUGCUGAAGAAACAUCAUUAUUAGUUGACAUGUCAAAAAAUAUGGUACAACCAAAAGAUAUUUUAGUCACUUUUAAAAAGAAUAUAUCUAUUUUUAAUGUUUCUACAAUGAAGUCAAUAUACAAUGCACGGCAGAGAUAUACGGUGAUUGAGAUUGCUGGCAGAUCACAAAUGCAACAACAUUUGAGUAAGUUAUCUGAACAUAAUUACAUUGAGUGGCAUAGUUGAUAUGACAAUACAUAUAUUGUGAAAGACUUGUUUUGGGCACACCCUAAGAGCAUAGAGUUGUUAUAUUUAUUUCCAAGUGCUUUGCUAAUGGACUGUACUUAUAAAGUCAAUAAAUACCAUCUUUCUUUAUUUGAGAUUAUAGGAGUCACAUCAACUGAUAUGACUUUUAAUGUUACUUAUGCAUACCUAAGUUAUGAGUGGGAAGAUAGCUACACAUUAGCAGUAGAUAGAUUGAGGGGUUUAAUGGACAAUGACUUUUUUCUAGGGUCAUUGUCACUGAUAGAGAGUUGGCUUUAAUGAACACCAUUGAUAAAAUAUUUCUUAAUGCAAAUCAUUUUUUUUUUUUUUGUAGAUGGCAUAUCAGUAGGAAUAUUAUAGCAAUAUACAAGAAGUUAUUUGCAGUAAAUGAUAAGUGGGAGAAGUUCAUAAUGAGUUGGAACUUAUGGAUGUUAUCUUCAAAUGAAAUUGAAUUCAUUGACCACUUUAAAAUCAUGUAGAGAGAUUUUGCUUUUUUUUUUUUCCAGCGGUGAUGGAAUAUGUAAUAGAUACAUAGUUGAACAACUAUAAAGAAAGAUUUGUUUCAGCAUGGACAGAAAAAAAUUAUGCACUUUGGAAAUUUACUACAAACAAGUAUAUAACAUUUUAAUUUUACCAAUAACUUAUUGGUUUUACUUAUUCAAUUUAUUUAUUAUAUUAUUAUCGUUGUUGUUGUUGUUGCUGUUGUUGUUGUUAUUAUUAUUAUUAUUAAUUUUUUUUACUAUUAUCUUUUUAAUAGGGUUGAAAGUGCACAUUCAAGGUUAAAGAAGUAUCUUUCCACAAGUCAAGGAAACUUUGAGACAUCAUAGGCAAAUAUACACAAUUUACUUCAGUUACAACAUACAUAUAUUAAAGCAUCAUUUGAGACAAGUUUGACAAUUGUUCAACAUCAAUUCAAGCCUGAAGAAUUCAAACAUAUUUAGGCUUCAUCUCUAUAAUUGCAUUAAAUAUAAUCCUCAGUGAACUGAAACGUGCUAUUUCUAUUAGGGUCGACCACUCUGCAUGUGGGUGUGUUGUUUGCCAAACACACGGUUUACCAUGUGCUUAUGAGAUUGCAUAAUACAAAAAAGAAUGUCAACCUAUUCCACUUGAGAGAAUUGAUCUAGAAGUGAAGACAAGAAGCAAAAGGUGGAGUUAAGUUGUUAGUCGGAGUUUGAGUUGAUUGUUAAGCAGCUUAAUAAGGGUUCGAUUAAAAUCCAAUUAGAUAUUUUGUAGCCAAUCUUGGGUGUACCUUUCUUUUAGAUCCAGAAGUGAAGACAAGAACACGAGGUCGACCAUCUAUCAAAGCUGAUACUUCUACCCGUUGUGACCCAUCUGCUUUUGAGAUAAUAUUAUCUGGCCAAGAAAGUUGUUCAGUUAAUGUGAAGAGUAAUUUAGUUAUAGCUGCUGUAUCAAAACCUAAAGUUAAACAUAGAGGAUGACCGAAAACAAAGGUAAUACAAAUUUAUACUUAAGUUAUUUAGUAAGUCAUUUAAUUUAAAUUUUUUUAUUAUAUAUAAUACUUAUAUUUGCAGGUUAACAAGAGCAUGCCAAUCAAAUCAAUUAUGUUUAUUGAUGAAUUUUCAGUUGGAUUACAAUCAUAUAUUCAUUACAUUAAAGAUGUUGUAGCUGAUGGUAACUGUGGUUUUAAAGAUAUACCUGACUUAAUAGCUUAGGUGAGGAUGGAUGGGUACAAGUGAGGAAAGAUUUACUAAAUGAGUUGUACUCUCACUUAGAUGAUUAUGGCAAAUUAUACGAACUUAAAAGAGUGAACGUGCUUAUUCACAUCGUUUCAUAUUAUGAGAAUUGGCCAACGUUGUCUGAUCGAUGGAUGAGUAUGCCUGACAUGGGUCAUCUUAUAGCAUCAUGCUAUAAUGUUGUCUUAUUCCACUUGUCCUCAAUACAUGCCUUGCAUUUUUACCUUUGAGAUCUGAGCCAGUGCAUAUACUAUCUCACAGAAAUAUUGCUCGUGGCUAUGUAUUUGGCAAUCAUUUUGUUGAGGUAUAAUUUGUUAUUUUAUUAAUUUAAUGUUGUUCCAUAUAUAAUUUUUUAUUAUUAAUUAUAAGCUUUUAUAGAUCAUGUUCCACCUAUAACACUUGAUUGGGGCACAUAUCAUCACCCUAUCGCAAACGGAUGAGAGACUUCAUAUACUUCUCAAAUACAACAUUUUAGAGAAAUUAUAAGUCCUAAGGUGGCUACUACAAAUAGAAUAGUUUUAGACAAUUGAUUUAUAAUACUAUUCAUAUGUUUAUUUAUUAUUUUUUUGCUUUAAUGUUGGCAUGCCAUUCGGGUCGUUCUUUUGGCUCAACGUUCAUGGAUAUGGAUGAUGGAUAUGAUUCCUAUAACUCUGUAGAAAUGAGAGAAGGGGGAUUUGGCAAGGUUGUAGAAUCUGGGGAAUACUUGUUUUAUGAAUAGUGCUCUCCAAUGCUUAGUCCAUAACCCCGAUCUGGUUCAAUAUUUCUAAGCAAAUUACAUUGAUGAGAUCAACACUGAAAUCCUUUGGGAAUGGCCCCUCACUCAAGCUAAAUUUAAUUAAAUUUCAAAUUAAUAAUCAAUUAUUGUCGUCUAUUAAUUUUUUCAAAUUGUAGUUUAGUAUUAAUGUGAUAAAAUCUGUUAAAGUUGUGAUCAAAGAAUAUUUCAUCAAUAAUCAAUUACUUAUUCUUCCAAAUUAUCAACACCGAGAUGUACAAGCAUUAAUCAAAUAGUCAAAUAUCAAUCCACAUGAUAGCAAGUAUUAAUUUUAUAAGUAUAACAUCUAAUAGAAUUCAUUUUAUCAUUUCAAUUUUUAGUCCAAAAUAAUUUCACAAACUGAUCUAGAACAUUCCAAAGAAUAAAAUCUGUUGGAUGCAUAUGCGAUGCUAACCUUAACAUACCUUGCUUUAUCAUGAAUGUAUUCUAAAAUGUUAAAAGCAAUAAAUUUAUUUCCUUUCCUUUUGCUUCUUUUUUAUUUUUUCAGAAGAAACUCGUUGACUUAUAUUCAAUCAAUUUUUUUCAGAAGAAUUUAAUGGCUUUGUAAUGAAUUUAAUGGGUUUAAUGAAUAAAAUCACCAUUAUUAUAAAAAUUGGGUUUAGUAAGGGAAUAUUAGAUAUUUAAGUGGGUUUACUGAGUAAAAUUUGAAAUUUCAAAAUUUGAGGGUGGAUUUAUUUAGUAAAUAGGGUUAUUGAGUAAUUUGGUGUAUUCAAAUAGUCUCAUCCUUUGUUGUGGGAAGAACACUCAACCCAAGUUUGAUUAAAGAAAAACUCUUGCUUCUGAAGUUAAUUUCUCCCAAUGAAAAAUUAUCUUCCUUCCUCUCAAAUCCUCCUCUGUCUCCCUAAGAUUAUGAUUUAAACAUUGUUUUCCAACAAUAAUUCUCAUUGCAUUUAUGAAAAUAAUGACAUCUUCGCCGCCCUUUGUGUAUUGUUCUAACUUAGUGUAAGACACUUUUUAAUUUAUGUGAUUUUUGUGCCCUAAAGUGGCCUAUGUAAUAGAGUUAAUAAUUAUUAUUAGUUAAUUAAUUAAUUUAAACUUCUUAUCCUUAUUUAUAUCUACCUAAAUUUUAAAAAACUUAAAAAGCAAUUUAAAGAGAAGUUAUAUUAACAUCCACUACUCCUAAUAACUUUUUACACGUUAAGGUAGUUAACGAACAUUGAGGGAUUGUGGCCCAUCUCUUUUUAUUGUAUUUAUAUUCUUCUUGACGGGAGAAGAAAAUAACUAAUUUCAGGAAAAAAAUAAAAUUAAGGGCCCCCAAUCCAACAACUUAAGUCGAUAUAUUCCAUAUACUCAUGGGUAUAUUGGUGUCGGAUAGACUAAAACAUUCUAGUGAAAUUAUAAAAUACAAUAUGAAAUCCAGAGGAACUGAUAGCUAUGGUUAGAGGAAAGUUCUUUGAAAAUAAAAUAUUCUUACAUUUUGGUAUCAGAGUAUGUACCUUUUUAAAUUUGGCUUUCGAUUCUUUGAGUGUGCUAGAAAUGGUGUUAUUAAUAUUAAUGACAUACCUAAUAUUAGUCAAUAAUUUUACAUCUUAAAUUUAUAUGUGUCUGCAAUAGAUGUACAUGUUAGUGCUACUUGCAUGCAACUAUAUAUAUGAGAACCUAAUAUACGUGGAUUUUAUAAGUGAUUAUUAAUUAGGCUACUAAAAUAUUAAAUUAGUAUGCUACAGUGAUAUGUUAAUUUGCCAUAUAUAUUGUACAUAUAUUAAAUGGCAAACUCUAUCUUACAUGCAUGUAAGAUACAUGCCUCUCACAUGAAUAGUGUAUAUAUGGGACCCACACACUAUUUAAAAUACCUUAAUUUUGUUAUGUGACAAAUUCAUUUUUAUGUGGCGUCUGGAAUACUAUUCUUGUUCGUUUACCUUCUAUUAUUUAUGUAUUAUUGGUAACUGAGUUUUGAUGUCAAUCUUAAAGUUUAUUACAUUUGAGUAGUUGACGGAUGGCCACAUCAUCUUAAAAUUAUAAAAAUGGAAUAAUUAGGACAUAUUAAUUUUAAUGACUUCAAAUGUUGUACUUAAACAUUAAAAUAUCAUAAUGUUCCUACACGGGAAUUAUAAUACUCGUAUAAGCCUAAUGAGAUAGUAGUGAUUUAUUCUUUUACUUAAAAUAUAUACAUAAAAGAAAAACUAAUUGCCCACAUGCUUGAUAAAUUUUGAUAAAAUAAUUGGUAACAUGUUAGGCCCAUUAUACAGAAUUAAUCAAUUGCAUGUUACAAAUUUUACCCAUAGGACAAUUAUAAUGAUGCAUUAAUUUAUUUUGGAAUCAUUUGAUGUAUAGAUUUUCCAAAUUUUAUGCUUUAAUUAUAGUUGGUAAACUCAUUAUUUAUUUAAUUUAUAGUCAUUCAAUCUUUAUAUGUUCCAAUCUAUGAUGCAUCUCACAUCCUUUUAUGAUAAUUUUAAUGACUGGAAGGAGAAAAUUCUCUUAAAUUGGAGCACAUGGACCUUGACUUAGCGCUUCAAUUGGAUGAACCAUCAGUGCCUACAGAAUUCAGUUCCAAUAAAGAAAGUAUCAUAUAAUCAUUGGGAGCAGUUCAAAUGCUUAUCAAGGCUCAUGUUGGAAAAAGCAAUAUGGGUCUAUUCCUAAUUUUACUAAUGUGAAAAAUUAUCUUAAUGCCAUUUAGCAAUAGUUUGAGACAUCUAACAAGGCAUUAGCAUGCGCUUUAAUGAGCAAAUUGUCAUCCAUAAACUCUAAAGGCAAAAAUCGUGCAUGAGCACAUUACGAAAAUGAGGGAUAUAGCUGCUCAACUGAAGUUUUUACAAAUUAACAUUUUUGAGCGUUUUCUAGUUGACUUUAUCCAUGAUUCACUCCCAUAUGAAUAUGGACUUUUCAAAACCUCCUAUAACACACAUAAGGAAAAGUAGUCCAUUACUGAACUUUUGACUUUGUGUGUGAAAAAGGAAAGGAGACUGAGUUAGGAGAGGAUGGAAAAUGUCCAUACAUUGACUCAUGGAAAGAAAAAUGACUAGACCAGGAAAAGAAAAGGAAAGGCAUCUCUUAGUUAAGUCAAUAAGAAUGUUGUUGAGUGCUUUUUCUGCAAAAAGAAACAACACAUGAAGAAGGUUUGCCCAAAUACAAGAUUUGGCUUAAAAAGAAACGUAAUCAUAUAUCUUUAGUGUGUUAGGAAUCUAAUAUGGUUAAAGUUUCUAAAACACUUGGAUUGACUCUGCUUCUAUAAUCCAUGUUGCCAAUACCACGUAGGGUGUCUUGAACUAAAGGAAACUAAUGAAUAGUGGAUAUGCAUUCUAUUUAGGGAACAAGAUCCCCUAUAUAUUGAAGCUACAGAGGCCUACAAAUUUUAUUCUUAAUUUUGGCUUUGUCUUAGACCUUGAUUAAACCUUUUAUAUUUACUUCUACAAACUUUAUCUUUGUUUCAAUACUUUUGCCUCUUGAUUUUAGUUUUAAUUUUGCUAGGAAAUCUUUUCAUUUGUUUAAAGACACUAUUGUUGUUGGUAAUAGAAUUUUAGAUGACGGUUUGUUUAAACUUUAUUUAAAUCCUACUUUUGAUUAUAACCUUAUGACUUUCCAUGGUAAUAUUGCUACAAAGAAAGGCGUUGUAAAUGAGAAAUCAUCCAUGUUUUGGCAAAAGAGAUUAUGUUACAUCUUCAUUGAAUGAAUCAAAAGAUUAGUAAAAGGUGGCGUCUUUAAGGCUCUUGAAUUUAUUGAUUUUGGUACUUGCAUAAACUACAUUAAGGAAAAGCAUACCACUAAGACCAAGAAAGGUGCUAGGAGGAGUUCCGACAUAUUAGAAUUAUACACACGAAUAUUUGUGGCCAUUUCUAGAAGUGUGCUUAAAUGGUCAGAAAUACUUCAUCUCUUUCAUUGACUAUUAUCCACGAUAUAAGUAUCACUACUUUCUCUAUGAUAGAUGCAAAGCAUUAGAUACUUUUAAAGUUUGUAAAGUAGAAAUAGAGAAAAACUUAGGAAAAUAAAUUAAAAUUAUCAGAUCAGGUAAAAGUGGAGAAUAUUAUAAUAUUAUAGUCAAUAUAUAAGAUAAGGACAAAGACCAGAUCCAUUUGUUAGGUUUCUAGAGGAAGAAGGCAUUGUUGCUCAAUACACAAUGCUAGGCUCGCCAUAUCAAAAUGAUGUAGUAGAAAGAUGAAACCAAAAAUUAAUAAACAUGGUUUGAAGUAUGAUAAGUAACUCCAACUUCCUAUUAUCCUUGUGGAGUGAAGCUCUAGAAAAUGUUGCAUAUCUACUAAAUAAAGAUCCAAUAAAGGUUGCUUUUAAAACACAUUUUGAAUUAUGGAAAAGUUAGGAACCUAGUUUAAAAUGUGCAUAAAUGUGGUUGUCCAGCCGAAGUUAGAAUAUACAACCUACAAGAGAAAAACCUAGACCCGAAGGCAGUUAAUGAUAUGUUUUAUUGGCUAUGGGGAAAGGUCUAGAGGAUAUAGAUUUUGUCAUCAAUCCUAUAAUUCUAAAAUUAUAGGAAGCAAAAAAAAAAAAAAAAAACGCAUUUUCAAGAGAAUGAUACACAUAGUUAAAGUACCUCAAGACUUGAUUUUUAAGCAAGAUCUAAGUUUCGAACCUACUCCUGAAUCUUCAUGAAAAUUAGUUGUUAUUCAAGAUAAUCAUCAAGAAUUACAAGAUUAUCAACAACCAAUUCUUAUCACACUUUUCACUUAACAAGAAAGAAUUGAUUAUCAUGAAACGUCCUUCAGAUCUCCAUUGAGGAAAGCAGUUUUCACAUCUAUUUAAUAUAAUUCCAUAUCAAAUGGGCCACUAACGCCAAGAUUAUCCGAAAAGAAUCCUUCUUAUAGACUAGUGAUAAUAUUUUGCUUGAUUUAAGUGAUUUGGGCUUGCUUCAUAAGGUUAAACUUUUUCUCUCACAAUAAUUUGUUAUGAAAGAUAUGGGUGAGGCUUCUUAUGUCAUUAGUAUAAAAAUUAAAAUACAUUAGGAUUAUCCUAAGAAACUAUAUCAAUAAAAUUCUUGAAAUAUUUUGUAUAAAUAAUUGGUUACCCAGUGUGGCAUCUAUUUCAAAGGUGCCAAAUUCAAUUUGACACAAUACCCAAAGAACAAAAUUUAAAGGGAAUAGAUGACCAAUAUUUGUUAUGCUUGCGCAGUUAAGAGCUUAAUGAAUGCUCAAGUUUGCACAAGGCCUGACAUUGCAUUUGCAGUAGGAAUGCUAGGAAGAUAUCAAUGCAUCUAGGUAGGGGUGGGCAUGGGUUGAUUUGGAUUGGGUUUUAAGUCAAUCCAAACUAAACCAUAAAAAUUUGGGCUCAACCCAAAUAUUUUUAACCCAACUUAAACCAACCCAUUUGGGUUUGGUUUGAAUUUUAUAAUCAAAAUACUUUUUAUUUUAAUAAAUUUAACUAUAUCAAAUUAUAAUAAUUAUUAAUUAGUAAAUUAUGAAAAAUGUAGUGGAUAAAAAUUAUGAAUAAUGGAUUUUACAAUAACUUCGUUCUUAAAUAGUAACCAUAUUACAACAAAAAUUUUAACAAUGUCAAUACAAAUUAAAGUAAGAUAAGAUAUCUCAACUCAAGUAUCAAAGCAAUCCAUCAAAAUUAAAUUAUUUAAUUUUAUAAAUUUGAAUCUUCCAAGAAAUAAAUCUAAAAUUUAUUGUAAUUAGAAAAAGCGCCAAAAUUUUAAAUGCAGUAAGAAAAAAUAGACAUGAAAUCUAAUUAGGUUUAAAUUUAAUUAAAAAAUAACAAUAGAAUCAUAUUUUAUUUGAUAAAAUCUUAUAAUCAAUUACAUUUUUAAUUUUAGUAAAUUACAAUACAAAUAGGACUAUAAAAUUAUAUUAGAGGAUUUCAUAAAAAUAUUGUUUGAGUAAUUUUAUUAAAAUGUUAAUUUAGUCUUUUAACUCAAGUUGAGACCGUAAAAAUUGUUAUAUAAUAGUGUACUGUACAAACAAUUGCAUUUGUAUUUGCCCUGUGCAGCACUUCUAUUAGUAUUAUAUAAUAAUAAUUAGUAGUAGUAUAAUUACUAUAUAAUAAUAAUUAUUAGUAGUAUAAUUAUUAUAUUAUAAUAAUUUUAAUAAAAAUUUAUUAUUAAAAUAUUGAUUUAGCCUUUUAUUUUGUUUAAUUUAUUUUUCAUUGAUAUGUUACUUUAAAUUUGUUCAUGACUUAUGGGUAAACCAUGCCCAAACCAUUAUGAAAUGGUUUCUUCCAUAAAAACCCAAAUUUAACCCAUCUCAUGAUUUAUCCAACCCAAACCAUUUUAUUUGGUUUGGGUUUAGGUAAACCCAUGGGUUUUGGGUUUAUGCCCACCCCUACAUCCAGGUGUAGAACACUGGAGAACUGCAAAAAAAGUGUUAUAGGAUCUUUAAGAAACCAAGGACUACACGUUUACUUACAGAAGGUUUGAUCAUCUAGAGGUGGUUGGAUAUUCAAACUCUGAUUUUGUUGGUUACUUUGACACUAAAAGUUCAACUUCAAGAUAGAUCUUCUUAUUAGCUAGAAGAGCUAUUUCCUGGAGAAGUGCAAACAAUCAUUAAUUGCUAUCUCAAUUAUGAAAAUAGAGUUUAAUUGUAUCUUAUUUUGAAGCAUCGACAUAGGCUAUUCAACUCAAGAGUUUCAUUACUGGAUUAGGAAGUGUUGAUUCUAUUUCCAAACGACUAAGGGACAGCUGCAACAAUUUUGCUACAAUAUUUCUAGCUAAGAAUAAUAAAAGUGUAUGUGGAAGAAAGCAUAUCGACAUUAAGUACUUAGCUCUUAAGGGAGCAUGUCAAAUCAUAAAAAGUGGUUAUUGAACACAUCAAUGUGAAAUUGAUAAUUACAGAUCCUCUGAUGAACGAAUUACCACAAAAAAUGUAUAAGAAACACGUAGAGCACAUGGAACUCAAUUCUAUUAUAUAAAUUUCAUGUACUUGAGAUACCACCAAAAUGUUGUCUUAUAAAGUUUGUAUUCAUAUAGUUUAAACAAUGACAAUAUGCAUAUAUAUUUCAAAAAAAUAAGAUCCAAAAUGAGCAUUUGGAAAGUUUUUCAUUCCGUAUAUGACACAUAAAGUACUCUGAUAGGUCCCAGUCAAAUUACAAUGAAACCUCAAUAAAUUUGGCUUUCUUUAGGUGAAAGUCAACCACAGCUUUGAGCAAAAUUUUUAACGUUCUUAUUCAGUCCCAAAUAAACUCCUUAAAUAGAGUUUCAAUACAUCAAACCGAUAGCAACACUAACUCUUAAACUUCAGCAUGUUAAAACCAUGACAUAACUAUUAUUCUGGAGGUGACUAACCACCUUUGACUAUGACCAAGCAAUUUGAAAUAAAAACAACAACUAAACUGGAAAAGGACAAGUCAAUCUUAAGCUAAAAACUUGGGAUUUUUCUUGGGAAUUCCGAAGAAUCUUCUCGGUGUAUCAAUACUUCCCCCCACAAGCGGAACCUUCUCCUUAAGGUUGAACACAAGAAAUUAUUGUUUGAGCAUCUGCGUUUCCUCCCAAGUAGCAUCUUCCGCAGGCAAAGUCUUCCACUGCACCAAACUCUCUUCAAUAAACUUGGUACCAUGCCUUACCCAUCUUGUAUCGAUCACCUUCUCCGACACAACUUGAAUCUGUCCUUUAUCAGACAUUGGUGGCAGGUCAACAACGUCAUAAAGAAAAGUACCGACAUACUUCUUUAAGAGAGAAACAUGGAACACUGGGUGAAUCUGAACUGCAGGUGGUAAACAAAGACGGUAAGCUACCUUGCCCAACUUCUGCUCAACUGGAAAUGGGCCAUAGAACCGGCUGGCAAGUUUGUGAUAGUCGCGUUUGAACACGGAUUGUUGGCGGUAGGGGUGCAAUUUUAGAAGCACCAAAUCUCCUUUUUGAAACUCCACUUCUCUUCUCUUUUAAUUAGCUGCAUGUUUCAUUCUAGCGGCAAACAACUCCAAAUUUGUCUUCAGUUGUUGCAGUACUUCAUCUCGAGUUAGGAUACUUUGAUCAACCUCACUAACAUGAGACAAACCCUCUGUAUAGUGAGGAAUGGAUGGAGGAAGGCGACCAUAUAAGGCUUGAAAUGGUGUCAUCCCUGUCGAGCAAUGAUAUGUGGUGUUAUACCAAUACUCUGCCCAUGGUAGAUAAGUAUACCAUUUACGAGGCCAUUGAUGGACGAAACAUCGCAGAUUCUAUUUGAGACAACAGUUCACCACCUCCGUUUGUCCAUCCGUUUGAGGAUGAUAUGCUGAACUGAGCUUCAGCUUAGUACCUGACAUGGUAAAAAACUCUUGCCAAAAUUUGCUUACAAAAAUAGGGUCUCGAUCACUAAUGAUAGACUUCGGCAUUCCAUGAAGUUUAGUAACAUGUUCCACAAACUUUUCAACAAUGAUUUUUCGUUGAGAAAUGAUGAGAUAAAGCAAUGAAAUGAGCAGACUUACUAAAACGAUCCACGAUCACCAUAAUACUAUCCUUACCAUGUGAAGAUGGCAAUCCUUCGAUGAAAUCUAAUGAGAUGUCAUCCCAAACUAGACAAGGAAUUAGGAGUGGUUGGAGCAGUCCAGCUGGUACUUGUGUCUCAAAUUUCAUCUUUUAGCAGGUUGCACAUUGUUGAAUGUACUCUUGUAUAGAUUUGUGCAUAGAGGGCCAAUAAAAUUGCUGAGCUAGCCGUUUGAAAGUCUUUAGAACUCCAGAAUGCCCAGCCACCUUACUGUCAUGAAACUCUUAGAGCAGCUGAUCUCGUAGGUGCAGGCGGAACCACCACUCUUUGAUUGUAAAAACAUAGCCCAUUCUUCACUACAUAAUUGCCCGUAUGAUCAUUUACUGCCUGCUGGAAUAUUUUUUUCAUGUACAAAUCCGUUUAUGCUGCCUCUCGAAUGUCAUCCCAUAAGGAAACCUGUGAAAUAAAUAUUGGAUUAAGGAGAGGGUUGUUGGGAGGGGCAAGAUAAAGCAUCCGCCGCUAAAUUUUCUUUUCCAGACCGAUAUUUUAUCUCAUAGUCAUAUCCAAGAAGCCUAGCAACCCAUUUCUGCUGCUCGGGAGUGGUUACUCGUCACUCUAAGAAGUAUUUGAGACUUAGUUGGUUGGUUUGAAUGAAAAGCUUUUGACCCAAGAUGUAUGGUCUCCAUGUCCGAAUGGCCUCCACAAUUGCUAAAAUCUCUUUGGCAUAGAUUGACCAGGUACGUUUACUACUCCCCAAAGCUCGACUCAUGUAUGCAAUUAGUCUCCCUUGCUGAGUGAGAAUAGCUCCAAUUCCAUCCCCAGAAGCAUCAGUCUCGAUAGUGAAUGGCUCGUUGAAAUUAGGCAUGGCGAGAGUGGGUGUGGUUGUCAUAGCUUGUUUGAGCAUUGUGAACGCACUAGCAGCAUCCUCAUCCCAUUUGAAAUUCCCCUUCUUGAGCAAGUUGGUGAGGGGACGAGCUAGUACUCCAUAACUACGGACAAACUUCCUGUAAUAGCCUGUCAAGCCUAAAAAACCACGCAAUUCAGUAGUAUUAGUGGGUUGUGGCCACGUAACCAUAGCCUCAAUCUUCUUACCAUCUACCUUGACACCUUGAUUUGUCACGAUAUAGCCCAAAUAGUCCAAUUCAUGCUUACCAAAGUCACAUUUGUUUGCUUUGACGAGAAAGCUGUGUUUCUUCAAAAUUUCUAAUGUCUUCCUCACAUGAGUUAAAUGCAAUUCCCAUGUAGGACUAUAGACUAAUAUAUCAUCAAAGAAAACUAAUAUGAAUUGUCGAAGGUAAGGCUGAAAAAUAAAAUUCAUUAUGGCUUGAAACGUAGAUGAAACAUUACAUAACCCAAAGGGCAUAACAAGAUACUCAAAAUGUCCAUUAUCCGUCCUAAAUAUAGUUUUCAGAAUGUCGGGAGCAUGUACUCGUACUUGAUGAUAACCAGCUCGAAGAUCCAAUUUAGUAAAAUAGGUAGCGCCGUAUAACUCAUCCAACAUGUCGUCCACUGUUGCAAUGGGAAAUAGAUCUUUGAUUGUGGCAGUGUUUAAUGCUCUGUAAUCUGUGCAAAACCUCCAAGUAUCAUCUUUAUUUUUUACUAGAAGGACAUGAGACGAAAAUGGACUAAUGCUUGGUCGGAUGAUUCCUAAGUUCAGCAUUGCCUGCACUUGUUUUUCAAUUUCUACCUUCUGAAAAUACGCAUACCGAUAUGGUUGAACAUUGAUGAGCUGGGUUCCUUUCUUAAGGGGUAUAUGGUGGUCGAUUUCUCGUAGUGGUGGCAGCUUAGAGGGUUCUUGAAAGACAUCCUCAAAUUCGCUUAAAAGUUGCUGCAUAUCUGGUUGAAUGCCAUUCCAGGAAGUCUUCCAAGUUUUGAAGAUAAACAGCAAAGACCAUCUGACCCUGUCGAUGCUCUUUUGCAACAGUCUCUAGUGAAGUCACUUGAAUGGGCCUUUGUAUCCCUUGCAGCAUUCGUGCUUGAUUGUCCCAAUUGAAAUCUAUGGUUAAAUGGUUCCAGUUACAAACUAUCGACCCCAGCAUCUCCAACCAUUGUAUUCCUAAUACCAUGUCUAGUCCUGCUAAUGGCAAAGAGUAGAAAGUAAGAGAGAAUGGAAUGCCUUGUAAAUCGAUCGGUACAUUCUCAUAUCGCCCUUGACACAUGAGUCGUUCUCCGUUGGCGACAUGGACUGUGAAAGACUUUGUAGAAACCACUGGGAGCCAUAGUGUGCUAGCUACUUUUUCGUUCAAAAAAUUAUGUGUAGAUCCACUAUCGAUUAACACCACUAUUGGUUGCGACUUGACGGAAGCAGCUACUGGCAUGGUCCGUGGAGAUGACCAUCCAAUCAAUGCAUGUAUAGAAACUUCCAAUUCCUCUUCUCUAUUACCUUCGCUCUAUGCCUCUUCUUCAUUCUCCGGAGAAUUGUCAUGGCCUUGGAUGAGUAGCAGUUGAGGCCUUUGGCACUUAUGGCCUGGUGUGAAUCAUUCGUUGCAGCUGAAAAAUAGCCCUUGAGCUCGUCGUUUUUGCAUCUCUUUCCAGCCCAAGCGUUUAGGAGCUAUUGCUGCUUUUUGAUUGACCAGAUUGUCGGCAGCCGGCGGCUGAUUUUGUGGGAUUGGCCGAGCAAACCUCUUUUGUCGUGUAAGCUAUUCGGCUCUCGUCCUGGAUAAAUUGAUGGCCUCUUUUAGUGAUUUUGGCUUGAACAUUUGUAUCCCAUCAGCUACCUCCGGUUUUAACCCGCCCAUGAAAGUUCCCACGAGAGCCUUUUGAGUCCACCCCUGUACCCGAUUGCCCAAUUUCUCAAAUUCACGUUGAUAAUCCCGAAGAGAUCCAUUUUGUGUUAUAUGUGAGAGAGCCUUGUCAAAGUCUUCUCAAUUUGUUGGUCCAAACCGUGCCUAUAGCUCUUCAACAAACAUAGUCCACGUCACUGUUCGAUUUUCUUCCUUGUAUGUCUGGUUCAACCAUUGCCACCAUUGGUUCAUUUCACCUUCCAGGUGGAAAGACACCAAGUCACCUUUUGAUCUUCAGGAGUUCUUUGAAAUUCAAAGAACUGUGCCACUCUAUUUAACCACUCUGUUUGAUCAUCUCCUGCAAACCGCGGAAACUCAAUUUUGGCUCGAAGAGGGGGUAUGUUCCAACAAGAACUUUCUGUUUCGUCAUGUUGGUACUAAUGCAUGUGUCCUUGCUUCACUGAGUGCAACGACUGAUAUGCCUUUGAGGAGAGAACCGCAUUGGAUAAAGCCUUCAAAGACUCCUCUAAGCGUUGCAUACAAUCGUUCAUUUUGAGCCCAGCUUAUGCACCUCAUCCUGUAAGCCUCCCACUCCUUGCUCCAAUAUUUCAAUGCACUCUUUGUUGGUUGUCAUUGUAGCUCUGAUACUACUGAUAGAUCCCAGUUAGAUUACAAUGAAAACUCAAUAAAUUUGGCUUUCUUUGGGUGAAAGUCAACCACAGCUUUAAGCAAAAUUCUUAAUGUUCUUAUUUAGUUCCAAAUAAACUCCUUAAAUAGAGUUUCAAUACAUUAAACCGAUAGCAACACUAACUCCUAAACUUCAGCAAGUUAAAACCAUGACGUAACUAUUAUUCUGGAGGUAACUAACCACCUUAACUAUGACCAAGCAAUUUGAAAUAAAAACAACUAAACUGGAAAAGGACAAGUCAAUCUUAAGCUAAAAACUUGGGAUUUUUCUUGGGAAUUUUGAAGGAUCUUCUCGGUGUAUCAUACUCACAUUAAGACAAGACUACCUUGUAAUAAAUGGAAGGAAAAACUUAUUUUUUAAAGGACUUGCCAGCACGAUUCAUGGUUUUUUAUUUUUACUUUGCGUAUGAAGUUAAAAACAUAUAGAGAGAGUUAAAGAUAAUGAGUUUGUGAUGAGAUAGACAAAGUGGGAAAUUGUAAGAUACAUUUUUAAUUUAUGUGAUUUUUAUGUCCUAAAGUGGCCAGUAUAUUUAAAUUUCAAAAUAUUUAAAGAACAGUUUAAAGAGACGUUAUACUAACAUCCACUACUUCUAAUGUCUUUCUACACGUUACGGUGGUUGAUAAAUAUUGAAAAAUUAUGGUCCGUCUCUUUUCCUAUUAUUUAUAUUCUUCUUGACAGGAGAAGAAGAUAACUAAUUUCAGAAAAAUUAAAAUUAAAAGUUCUUGAUCUAACAACUUAAGCCUGUAUAUUCCAUUUACUCAUCGGCAUAGUGUUGGUGGAUAGACUGAAAAAAAUUCUAGUGAAAUUAUAAAAUACAAUUUGAAAUUUUGGAGAAUUUGAUAGCUAUGGCUGGAGAUAAGUUCCUUUGCUUCCACUACAAUUUUAUAAAAAUCAAACAUUCUUACACUUAGAACUAAGUGUUGGGAAAAUAUGCUCUUUAAAAGCGUAUGUGUUUAUUUAAUUGUAAUAAAUAAUUUUUCUGAUUAAUAAAAUAAAUGAGGUAUUUUAUUCAAAUAUUUUAAUUACAUUAAUAUUUUUAUUAAAGUCCAUUUAAUCAUAUUAUAUGUAUUUAUGUGAUCACCAUGUGGAUUCGCAGAAGACAUAAAUACAAGUUAUCUUAUGAUUAAUAAAUUUAAUUCGCAGUUGAUAAAUAAAGUUGGGCACUUUAUUUAGGUAUAGACUGUAAUAAAUUCAUUGAAUGAUUUUUCUUAAUCAUGUAUGAAUUUAUUGAUGUAGUACGACUACAUUGAACAGGAUCACAUAUGAGAUUUAAUUAACUUUGUAAUAACUGUCAGACUUAUUAAAUCUCAUAGGCAUUGAUUUUACUGUAAUCUUAAUCUUGAGUUAAUUAUGAUUUCAUAAUUGUAAUUGUUAUUCCAUUUAAGUUACCAAUGGGCAUGACACAUACUUGUGAAAUACAAGUAUGCAACCCAAGAGGAGGGGUGAAUUGAGAUUCUAAAAAUUAUUUGAAUCUAAAACAAAUUAUAAUGUAAAUCUAAAAUGAAUUUAAUGGAAUAACAAUUAAAUCAAAUACAAUAUAAAAAGAUAAGGGAAGAAAGAUUCAAACACGAAGAUUUUUACGUGGUUCGGCCAACUUCGCCUACGUCCACGCCUCCAAGCUUUCCAGGCUUGAGGAUUUCACUAAGCAAGCCUCCAAGGCUUCAAAUGCUUACACUUGACUUCCAAGGUAUCAAUGAUCCUUUACAACAAGAGAUUACCCCCAAUCUCUUAACCCAAGUGUAUCCCAACACUUACAAUCACUCAAAGUAAAAGAUUAAAAAUUGUUUUUCUCUCACACAAUAUUUAAGAUUACAAAUCAAUGCCCAAUGUGUGAAUAGAUGAAGCAAGAAUGUGUUUUAAAGCUCUAUGAAGAUUGUAUUCUCGAAUAUAAGCUCAAUGGUCGUGUUGUGAUCAGAUCUUGUUUGAAUUUGAAUGAGCUUAUUUAUAGAUGAAGCUAGAAACUAGUCGUUAUUGACUUUCUGUACACUGUCGGAUCGUCGUUAACUAGAUGUCGGAUCACCAUUUGACUGGUCAAUAUGACCGUUGGGCUGGAUUUUCAAAUUGUCGGAUCGCCGUUAUCUGGAUGUCGGAUCACCGUUUAGGUCCAGAGGCUAAUCUUCAGUUCUGUUCGAUAUCGGCAAGCCAUUUAUCAAAAUUGUCGGAUCGCCGUUUAGGUCUAAAGGCUAAUCUUCAGUUCUGUUCGAUUUCGGCGAGUCAUUUAUCAAGCUUGUCAGAUCGCCGUUUUCCACAUUCAUUGCUACAGUGAACUAUUUUGCAAAAGAACAGUUUGUCUCCAAAUCUUUAUAAAAAAAAACUUUAUAAAACUUAUCAAAAUAGAUCCAUUUACAGGAUUUGAAACAAUAUUUGUUAUUAUCAAAAUUCUCAAAGCUUUUUCAAUUGAAACCAUUAACAUGAAAAUAACCAAAAAAUAUUUUCAUAGAAUAAAAGUGAGAAUGAUGAUUUAAAAGUAUAUGAAAAUUAUUUUGAGCUUUUAAAAGAUUAAUCAAUCUUAAUCAAGUUUGUUAUCAUCAAAAUCAAAAAUAACGAAAUAUUUAUGUUAACAACUUGUAGUCUAGAUUACCCGGUAUCUUGGUGGGAGCAUUUAUGAGUAUUGGAGUUAUAGAUUAACAAUAUAGAAUUUGUACAACACAUCUCUUGAUGGGUUUUCGGCACUUGAUCAUAGAAUUCUCUGGCCAGAGUGUGUCAACAUAUUUAGUAUGUUGAAAAUGAUCAUUAGAGAAAAUCAGUAAGUAUCAAGGAAUAAGAUGUAAUUAAAUCGAUUGGACAGUUGAGAUGUCGAUUUAAUUAACGAUGUGGUACAAAAGAUUAUGUAGUAAAGAAAUCAAUGUGGCUUGGGACGAAUUAUCAUUCGAGCAUACAAUUAUGGAGGUCAGUUCCAAUCUUUCAUUGGAGUAGAUUUGGAAUUAAAUAAUUGAGCUAGUUUAAUUACAAGCCUAAUUAUUAUAGCCACUAUUGUAUGUUCCCAAAUGAUCCCCGGAUUAGCUCAUUUAAUUGACUGCACCACUAUUGGAUUAAUAAGCAAGAUAACUAGUCAUUUGGGUCAAAAGCCUAAAUAUAUCAUUUAGUGGGAAGCUCCAUUUAAUAUGCUUGUGUGUAAGGGGCUUUAUGUUAUUUUACAAGAUGGGCCCCCUAUAGAAAAAGCAAGUAACAUGGCUUUUGAUUUUCAUUAUUUGGAGCCUAGGGUUUUCACUAAAGAGAGAUAUAAAAAGACUUAUUUUCUUUAAAAGAAAGAGAGCAGUCACUUUAUACAGAUCAGAGAAAAAGAUUUUUCUCUCUAUUGUUGAGAGAAAAAUUUUCUCGUGCUAGUUGCUUUAGUGGUGAUAAAGGCGCCCACACGUCAAGUGCAGAUCAAACUUGAGUCAUAACCUGGAAGAUCAUUGGUGACAGUUCGUGAUCUAACAAGCGUGGUGGUGACGGAUCGUGAUCUAACAGGAGUGGUGGUGACGGAUCGUGAUCUGGGAGCCUAAAUCACUUCAGCGGAAAAAGCCAAAUCGGAUUUUCAAAGUACGAUUUCUAGAUUA
This 104673-nucleotide long non-coding RNA is filed under the name Citrus x clementina. RNAcentral describes it as "Citrus clementina (C. clementina) long non-coding RNA (CCLE_LNC006661)". The stretch from base 64003 to 64110 matches the Rfam family "Plant small nucleolar RNA R71". The record is from RNAcentral. Lineage: Eukaryota; Viridiplantae; Streptophyta; Magnoliopsida; Sapindales; Rutaceae.